Molecule: long non-coding RNA, 91725 nt
Filed under: Manihot esculenta (cassava)
Lineage: Eukaryota; Viridiplantae; Streptophyta; Magnoliopsida; Malpighiales; Euphorbiaceae
Description: long non-coding RNA (MESC_LNC007267)
Source: RNAcentral
ACGCAUGCAUGUUCGGCGGCCGAACUUGACUUUCGGCGGCCGAACCUGGGUUUUCCUUCAAGGACUUUUCAUGUAAAAACUCAUUAAAUUUCUUACUUAAAAACAUGAAAUACCUGAAAACAUUUCAUAAAAUCAUAGUUUUACCCUUCUAGAGGUUUCCGACAUCCGAAGUCCCACCGGACGGUAGGGAUUCCGAUACCGGAGUCUAGCCGGGUAUUACAACGGCGGACUGAGGAGUAAUUUCAUCAGCAUUUAAGGCCUUAUUGUCUCGGGCAGAAGACAACAGCUCCACAGACCCUUUCUUCUUCUCACCAGGAGGGAGAGCUACUGCAGGCUGCUUGGAAAUACAAGCCUUCUUGGGGGAGGGGUAGCAGGAGGAAUUUUCAAAGAAGGAGCUCGCUUACUAGUGGCCUCCCUAAGAGUGAUGGCACCACUGGCAGUGGUCUUUUUGGGAUGAGGAGCAGCGGGGAUGACCUUAGCUCCUUUCUUAGAGGUGCCCUUGUGACAGUCGGCUGUCAAAAUCGGUCAAAAAUAACCUUUUAAGUUAUCAACAAUAUUACUACUGCAGAUAGUGGUGAAAGGAUCGAAUCCACAGGGAAUUGAAAACUUACCUAUCUUUCUUAUCAAGACCAAAAGAGUAGACUGAAAGCAAGAGAACUGAAAGCAAAUUAAACUGAAAGCAAAAUAAAAGUAACUACAAGUAAAGUAAAAGGGGGGUUUUUGAGAUUGAUUGGGCUUAUCUAAUGCUGAAAGCAAUAAAAGAAAGCGAAUAGUAAAAAUAAAGAGAAAUCAAUAAUGAGAAAGAUCUAGUUGAAGAAUUGGAUCCACUUCAUAUGUUGGGAUUGAUCAUUGACACUUAGUUUUCCUUGAUAGAUUUAAUAGAUUAGUUAUGGAAAUGGAAGACGCUUCUCACCACCAUGUCUCUCCUUAAUCAUAAACCAAUUAGGGAACGUCCUCUAAUUAAUCACUAAUCAAUAAGUUGCCAAGGAAUGUCCUUGGGCCUUAGGCAUCAAAACAACUAUCAAUUGCAUUAAGAAAUAGAGAGAUCUAAUCCUAGUUACCCAAACGCAUGGUGAUAUUGCUAGAUUAUGCAACUUCCUUAGUUUUUACACCAAGUGUUCUUAUGUUUGAACAAUCCAAGUAAUUACGGACUCAAAAUUAUUCAAACUAACAAUAUAUUACCUUGCAAUCAAGAAUCAACUGGCCACAUUGAUCAAAAUAAAAGCAAUAAUGGAAUCAAUCAUGAAAUUGCACAAAUAUUGAAUAACCAAAAGAUGAACAAUAUAUGAUCAAGUCUCCCAAUCCAUAAAACAACCAAAGUAUCACCUAAUCUUCAACUAGAACAAAAGGUUUCAGCCACUCAUGGCUGAACUAACACCAAAAAAAGAAGAAAAGAAGAAGAGAAAGAAGGAACUGAAGGACUUGAAGGCUUGGAGGCGUGCGGCUACUCCUUGGCCGAAUGGGAGAAGUUGCGGAAGAGAAGUGUUGAAGAGGUGGCCAGUCCUUCAAGUGGACUUUAAAUAGAUCUUAGGUGCUGCCCUAGGUCUUCCUUGCUGCCCAAGUUGAUGAGUUGCUGCCCAAGAGGCUACCCUUAUACAACUUGCCGCCCAAGUUAUUUCAUGAGAGAGGAGAGGCGCAGCACACAUGUGCUAGAGCAAGGAGGCAUGCAGCUAGGGUAUCAGAAGUGGGGAGUAUGUUGUCCAAACUUUUCUUUUUAGGUGGAGCCUUCUUUUGAAUUUCAAAUUUUGAAUUCUGAAUGCAUGAGAGGCAAAUGCAUCUUAUUGAGAUCUAGCUUACUGAAUAGGCAGGACUGACUGCUGAGGUGUCUUCACAUUCUGAAUAAGGAAAGAAGGAUUUGCAAUUUGAAUUUCAAAUGAUCUGCUGACUGUGCUUUUUUUAUUGGACUCUUUCCUUAUUUGGCACUUUUCAUAUUUGAAAACUUUCCAUAUUUGGCACUUUUUGGUAGUUUUGAGAGUAUUUUCACCAUAUUGUCUCUUUACACCUAUCUUCUGCAAAAUAAGAUCAAAACCACAAAAUUAGGCAGAAAAGGUGUAAAUAAACAUUAAUAACAUUAUGAUAAAAUGGUCUAAAACAUGCUCUAUCAAAUACCCCCACACCUAGCCUUUUGCUUGUCCUCAAGCAAAUGAAUAUAGUCAAACAAGCUCUUUUUGCUACUUGAUCCUUAUUUCCACUUAAGCUCUCACUCUAGAUACUUAUUUUAAAUCAUUGCAGUGAAGAAUAUAUGCAUCAAGGUUACUCACCUUCCUUCCUUGUUUCCCUUCACUUACCAUGGCUAGGAUUUAUUUUCCUCAAGAGAGAGAUUACACAUGCACAUAUUAUUUGUUCAAUUAAUACUUUUUCUAGCUUUCAGAGUGAUUUGACCUUACCUUGAAGUACUUUAUUCGGCCUUUUGCACAUUAAUUCUUGCUUGAAAAAGUCACCAACCUUUUGACAUGAAGGUACAUAUUUGUGAUACCCACCCCCAGUUACUCAGUUGGUCACUUGUCCAAGUGGCUACUAGCUCUGUUCAUAGUCUUUCAACCAUUGGAACAGUUUUCAAUUUGUGCUCAUGAAGUCUAAGCCUUUGCCGAAUUCCUUUUAAUCAAUGAAUUGGGCAAAUCAACAUCAAUUGCUAAAACAAGUCAUGUUAAGUUCAUUCACACAUCUUUCAAUUCAUUUUCUCUAAUUUGUGUCAUCAAUAUAUUUUUCACCAUGGCAAGCUCAAAGAUUCAAUUCAAAAGGCAAUUCCCAAACAUGAAUACAACUCACUGCAAUUGAUUUAACUUAAGUUUAAAAAGUCAUCACAUCAAUGGGGUCAUGGAAAGAAAGCUCAUCCAACAUAGUCUAUCAGUUCAAGUAAAGAAAAUCAAAACAGAAAAACAAAAACUGUGACUAAAGUGUGUGUUAUUGAAAGCAAAAAACGAAAAAAAUUUGAAAAAAUUCAAACUAUGGCUAGCAUUCUCAUGCAAAACUGAAAGAAGAAAACACAAGACUGAAAGACUGAAAGCAAAAAAUCGCAAACUAAAAGCAAAAAAUUGCAAAACUGAAAGAAGAAUUAAUUCAGAGAUAUGCACUCCCACACCUAAAUCAUGCAUUAUCCUCAAUGUAUUGGAAAAAUUAAAAGAUCAAAGGAAAUUGAGUACUCCCCUGGGGUGGUGUGCAUGGUGCGAUCCACUUAAGCAAAUUGAGAGACGAAUAGAUGUUCGUCUGGGAAGUCUUCCUUGAUUGGACUUGGCAUAGAGCUGGAGGGAAGGCGGCUCAGGUGAUCAGCCACUAGAUUCUCCUUUCCUUUCUUGUCCCUUAUCUCCAUAUCGAACUCUUGUAACAAUCGAAUCCACCGAAUGAGUCUCAGUUUGGCCUCCUUUUUCUUGAUCAGAUAUCGCAAGGCUGCAUGGUCUGAAUAGAUGAUGACUUUAGUCCCCAGGAGGUACGAUCUGAACUUCUCUAAGGCAAAUACAACAGCUAAUAGCUCCUUUUUUAUUGUUGAGUAGUUGCUUUGGGCAGCAUCCAAUGUGCGAGAUGCAUAAGGAAUCACAUGGGGUGAGUUCCCCACAUGUCCCCAAAACUGCUCCCACUGCAUAGUUGCUUGCAUCACACAUGAUUUCAAAGGGCAAGUUCCAAUCAGGUGCUUGAAUGAUUGGGGCAGUCACAAGUAAUUCCUUUAUCAGAUCAAAUGUUGUCUUACAAUCUGUAUCAAAAUCAAACGUUACAUCCUGUUGGAGCAAUCUGCAUAAUGGCUGUGUGAUUUUGGAGAAGUCUUUUAUGAAUCUCCUGUAGAAUCCUACAUGACCAAGGAAAGAGUAGAUAUCUCUAACAUUUGUGGGAUAAGGCAGAUUUUUAAUGAUGUCUACCUUGGCUUUGUCCACUUCAAUACCUUUAGCUGAAACAACAUGCUCUAAGACCAUACCUUGGUUAACUAUAAAGUGACAUUUUUCAUAAUUAAGUACAAGAUUAGACUCAAGGCAUCUCUAUAGGAUCUUUUCAAGAUUGGCAAGGCAUUCUUCAAAGGAGUCACCGUGCACUGUGAAGUCAUCCAUGAAGACUUCAAUGGUUUUCCCCACAUAGUUAGAGAAUAUGCUCAUCAUGCAUCGCUGAAAGGUGGCAGGUGCAUUGCAUAGUCCAAAUGGCAUUCUUCUAAAUGCAAAAGUGCCAAAAGGACAAGUGAAGGUCGUCUUCUCUUGGUCUUCUAGAGCCACUGGAAUUUGAUAGAAACCUGAAAAACCAUCAAGACAGCAAUAGUGAGACUUACCUGCAAGCCUUUCUAACAUCUGAUCAAUGAAGGGCAGAGGGAAGUGACCCUUUCUUGUUGCUGCAUUGAGCUUUCUAAAGUCCAUACAUACUCUCCACCCAUUCUGAACUCUAGUUGGAACAAGUUCUCCUUCAGCAUUUGGAACAAUGGUGAUCCCAGUUUUCUUUGAGACUACAUACACAGGACUUACCCAUUUACUAUCAGAGAUUGGGUAGAUAAUACCUGCAUCUAGAAGCUUGACUAUCUCCUUUUUCACCACCUCCAUCAUAGGUGGAUUCAGCCUUCUUUGAGCAUCUCGGACUGGCUUGCAUUCCUCUUCCAUGUGUAUUCUAUUCAUGCAUGUGGCAGGGGAGAUGCCUUUUAUGUCAUCUAUGGUCCAUCCUAUGGCUCCCUUGUGCUUCUUCAGUACUCUCAGGAGGCUUUCUUCUUCAGUCUGACUCAAUUGAUUGGACACUAUCACUGGAUGUGUCUUUUCAGUACCCAAGUAUACAUAUUUCAAGUGGUCUGGAAGAGGCUUCAGAUCUGGUUCUGAAAUUUUUUGACCUCUAUUCUGCUGCUUGGGGGGACAAGUGUCUGUCUGAGUGUGGUGCCUGGCUGAACCGGUUUCAGCUUCCUCCUUCUACGCAAGGUCUUUCUGAAAUGGAAGGCUGAAGGGAGUGAUCUGCGAUUGGAGCUGCAGAGGUGCAGCUGGAGUGCGCUCUGUCUGCGCAAAGCUGAUUCACGGACCGAGUUGAAGUGGUGCGUUCGAUUUUUGUUCUUCCUGCGGUUGUCUGCAGCUCAUUUGCUGGAUGCUGCAGACUGUUUCUUUCAGUUCUGGCUCUUUCUGGUUCUCAUUCCUGCAAAGGUCAUUAUUUAGCAUAUCAUCAUGAUUCAUAUCAAAAAUUUCCUAGCUCAAACAAUUAAUGAUAUCUAAACCAUAAACAGGGGACAUGUCAUGGGGAUAUUUCAUAGCAUCAUAAACAUUAAAUUUAAUAACUUCCCCUUCAAAUUCCAUGGUAAGAGUGCCAUCAUGCACAUCUAUCUAAGUCCUGGCUGUGCUCAAGAAAGGACGUCCAAGUAGGAUGUCUGAAGUAGUGUUACCAUUGUCUUCCUUUGUAUCAAUCACAUAAAAGUCUACUAGAAAGACAAGUUCAUCUACUUGUACUAGAACAUCUUCUAGAACUCCUUUUGGAUACACCACAGAUCUGUCAACCAACUGAAUUACUACUCUUGUGUCUUUCAGUGCACCUGCAUUCAAAGAAUUAUAAAUAGCAAGAGGUAUAACAUUAAUGGAUGCACCUAGAUCACACAUAGCUUUCUUUAUCCCAACAUUGCCAAUUUUGCAAGAAAUAGCAAACAUUCCUUUGUCUUUGCAUUUGGUUGGCAGUUCUCUUUUUAUCACAGCAGUAACAACCUCACCUACACUUAUUUUUUCUCUCUCAACAAGCUUCCUUCUGUUAGUACACAGUUCUUUCAGAAAUUUUGCGUACCUGGGAAUCUGUUUCACAGCAUCUAACAGAGGUAUGUUGAUUUCCACUUUCCUGAAGGUCUAAAGGAUCUCCUUUUCUUCUUUUUCUUUUUGUGUCCUUUCAAAUCCUUUUGGAAAAGGAGGUGGAAUUUUGAAAUUUACCUGUUGAUCAGCCUUAUGCGUGUGUGUAGGAGUGGUGUGCCCAAUCGGCCUGGAGAAGGAGCAUUCGGCUUGCUCUUCUGCAGUGGCUUGUUCUUGCACCCUUGGUCUUCCUUCUUCUGAUUUGUCAUCUUGGAGCUCCUUCCCACUUCUUAAGGUGAUAGCACUCACAUUCUGUCUAGGAUUAGUUUCAGUUUGGGAAGGUAGCUUACCUUGGGAUUGAAGCUUGCUUAUGGAGGUGGCCAUUUGUCCCAUCUGCUGUUGGAGGUUUUGCAAAGUCUUCACUACCUCAUCAAGAGUAGUGUUGGAACUCGGAGGUGCUGGUUGGGCUUGAUUUCUUUGGUAGUUCUGGUAUUGUUGGCCCUUCCAUAGCUGAAAUUUGGGUGGUCUCUCCAACCUGGAUUGUAUGUAUUAGAAUAUGGAUCAUGUCUUACCUGGCUAUUGUAUCCUCCAAUUGCAUUGACUUGCUGGCUAUCUUCUUGAAGUGUAGGACAUUGAUCAGUUGGGUAUCCCAUAUAUGCACAAAUCCCACAUGGCCUAGGUGGCUGAGGUGUCUGAGCCUGUUGAGCUUGGCCUAUGACAAAAUUUUUCAUAACAGAUGUUAGUUCAAAAAGCUGAGAGGAAAUAGUAGAUGUACUUACCUCAUUAGCUCCUCUCUGCAGUUGCUUUUCUUCUCCAUAUUGCCUAGAUGAGGCUGCAAGUGUUGAGAUCAACUCUAUCAUCUCCCUAGGUGUCUUAUCUGCAAUGGAUCCUCCACAUGCCACAUCAAUAAAUCUCCUUUCAGAUGGUAGCAAACCUCCAUAGAAGAAUUCUAUGAGUGACUUGUCUGAGAUAUUAUAUUGAGGACAACCUGUACACAAUCUUUUGAACCUUUUCCAAUAGUCAUAUAAAUCCUCAGAUUAUUUUUGCCUAAUGCUACCGAUCUCUCUUCUUAUGCCAAUGGCUUUAGAAGUUGGAAAGUAUUUGUUCAGAAAGGCUAUUACCAUGUCAUCCCAAGAAGUGAUAGAUCCAAGUGGUAAGUAAAACAACCAAUUCUUAGCAUAAUCAUCUAGUGAAAAAGGAAAAGCUCUCAAUUUAACAUGUUCUUCAGUUAUGCCUUGCGGCCUCAUGGAUGAACAGACAAUGUUAAAUUCUUUUAAGUGCUUGUGUGGAUUUUCAUUCUCUAAACCUCUAAACUUAGGGAGUAGAUGAAUCAAACCUAUUUUGAGUUCAAAAGGAACUGUUAGAGGUGGAUAAGUGAUGCAAAGAGGUGCUUGAUCACCUAUAGGGGCUGCCAACUCUCUCAUGGUUCUUUCUCUUGGCAUUGGGGCCCUCAUGGCUGGAUUUUCUUGUAUUAUUUCAUCAUGGACAGCAUGUCCAGCAUGGGCAGCAGGUUGUGCCACGUUUUCAGCCAUCUCUAUGGCUUGGUGAUGCGAUUCAAAUGAUUCAGAAGGUUGUUCUGCACAGAGGUGCUCUUCAGUGGACGGUUCGGCUUCAGCUGUCUCCCAAAGCCGAGUUGUUUGCUUUCCUAAUCUCCUGAUUGUGGGCUCAAUUUCUGGAUCGUAAGGCAGAGUCUCCCUAUGUCCAAAUCUGGUCAUGAAAGAAAAAUAAAUCAGUUAAAUUAAUUCUCCGGCAAUGGCACCAAUUUUUGACAGUCGGUUAUCGAAGCCGGUCAAAAAUAACAUUUUCAGUUAUCAACAAUAUUACUACUGCAGAUAGUGGUGAAAGGAUCGAAUCCACAGGUGUAAUACCCGGCUAGACGUCGGCAUCGGAAUUCUGACUUUCUGGCGGAAUCUCCGUUGGAAUUUGGAAUUCGAGGAUGUCAGAGGUUCUUUGAAGGGUAAGAGAAAGGUUUUCAAAAUGUUUCUAAGUGUUUUAUGGUUUUGAAUGCAAAGGAAUUAGGUUUUGAAAGGGAAAAGACCAAGGGGACAAAGUGCAGGUUUGGCCGCCGAAGGAUAAGUUCGGCAGCCGAAGGAUAAGUUCGGUCGCCGAACAUUGCAUGGUUUCGCCGCCGAAGGAGAAGUUCGGCUGCCGAACGUUGCAUGAUUUUGCAUGCUGCUUAGGCCACCGAAGGAGAGGCGGUUUGGCCACCUAUAAAAGCCCUUUGACCGGCCAUGGAGGGUUUUGAGCUCCCUGUUUGUGGGUCAAAAGGUAGCUUUUGUUUCCUUGGGAUGGUUUCAUGAGAUUUCUUCAAAUCUUGCAUGUUUUAAUGAGGUUGAACUUGGUUUUUAGAGUUUUUAAGCAAAGUUGAGAGCUUGGAGACUUUGGAGCUUGAAUUCUCCACAUCUCUAGUUUUGGAUCACAUCAACCCUUGUUCUUCAAGAGGUAAGUGUAGAUCCUUAGCUUCUUUGAUGUUUUAUGAAGGUUUUAUGGAGGUUUAUGGGUAGAGAUGCAUGUUUAGGGUAAAGUGAGUUUUUGGUUGAUUUGUGGUCAAAGCAUGCUUAUGUGUUUAGAUGUGUUAUUGGUUGGGGUUGUAAGUUAGUUUUGGACCCCUUUGUGCCUAUACUUGAGUAUAUGCAGGUUGUGGAAUUGUGGUUUGCAUGUUUUGGGUGUUGGAAGGUUUGAGUGGCUUGUUUGUGCUUGAAGCUGAGUUCUGGAUGAACUCAGGUUCGGCCGCCGAAGCAAGGUUCGACCACCGAACCCCUUGAGAAGGCUGUUUUGGCCGCCUAACCUUGCACCCGAAAGAUGGGACUUUCGUCUCUGGAGGGAAGGUUCGGCCGCCGAACAUGCCGCCGAAGGUUGGUGACUUUCGGCUCUAGAAGGUCUUUCAACCCCCGAACCUUGCCCCCGAAAGUUUAGACUUUCGGAUCUGGAAGGGACUUCGGCCACCGAAGGUGCCGCCGAAAGUGCCCGAGUUUCGUCUCUGGAGAGGGGGUUCAGCCGCCGAAGGUGCCGCCGAAGAUCCCCUGUCCAGCUUUUCUUUGCUUGUUUUCCAUGCAUGCUUGAGGAUGUCUGAGGGGGUUUUUGGGGAGUGUUAUAGAGUUGGUUAUGAGUUGUUUAGAGUGUGUUUGGCACCUCAUUCAAGUCCACCUGUCUAGGAUCGGACCCGAGGGACCAAGGAGGCCGUCAGUAUUAGCUGUUGCAGAGUCAGUCCAGCGUCUGCCAGAGGUGAGUAGAACUAAACUUAAUCUUUUAAAUUGAGAAGUUAAAUGCUUUUAGCAUGUUUCAUGCACCAUGAGUACUAUAAGUAUGCAAUAGGUUGAUUGCAUUAGUAGACACGAAUAUGAUGCAUUGCAUUAUUUAUUGUUGAUGGGGAUGGACCAAGGCGAUCUCAAUAGCCCACGAUCUGUUAAGCAAGGAAAGACCUGUGUGAGCUCCUGGGAGGGGCCGGGCGCUGACAGAGAGAGUUUUGAGGUCAUGUCCAAUCCGAGAUGUGAAAUGUUUGUGCUGUGACGCAUUUCAUGAAAGCAUGUAAUUAAUGAACUGUUUUCAUUGUUUCUACUCACUGGGCUGUUUAGCUCAUCCCUCUCCCUUAACCCCAGUUUUGCAGGGUCAGAGAUAGCUAUGGGAAGUCAGAGUCAUCAGAGUUAUGAGUAUGAGUUGGCUGAGGUUUUGGCUAUGUAAUAGAGUAGUGAACAUGAUGUAAAUUAAAAGACUAGUAUAUAAAGUAUUGUAUGGAUAUGUAAGGUCAUAUAAGGGAUAGAAUUGUGCUUUGCCCUGGUGUAUGAUUACUCCCUUGUUAUGCAUGAUCCUGUUUUAUGUUUCUUGAUGAGAAAUGUGUUGAACCAAGGCUGACAUAUGGUAUGCUGACCCUAUGAGAGUGGGUUCUAUGUUUACAGACAUAGUGCAUGCAGGUCAAGCUUGGUAAGUGGUAGGAAAGUUUUUCAGUUUUUAUAUUUAUGUUUGAUCAUGUAUGGGAUUUAUCAGGUACACAGAGUUCAUGUCAGGCUUGCUACGGGUUCCGGCGGCCUUAAGCCGACCUAGAUCCUAGCGCCGGUAGCGGUUCGGGCCGUUACAGAGGGGUAUCGGAUUCCGGGCUGUUACAACAGGGAAUUGAAAACUUACCUAUCUUUCUUAUCAAGACCAAAAGAGUAGACUGAAAGCAAGAGAACUGAAAGCAAAUUAAACUGAAAGCAAAAUAAAAGUAACUGCAAGUAAAGUAAAAGGGGGGUUUUGAGAUUGAUUGGACUGAUCUAAUUCUGAAAGCAAUAAAAGAAAGCGAAUAGUAAAAAUAAAGAGAAAUCAAUAAUGAGAAAGAUCUAGUUGAAGAAUUGGAUCCACUUCAGUAGUUGGGAUUGAUCAUUGACACUUAGUUUCCCUUGAUAGAUUUAAUAGAUUAGUUAUGGAGAUGGAAGACGCUUCUCACCACCAUGUCUCUCCUUAAUCAUAACCCAAUUAGAAAACGUCCUCUAAUUAAUCACUAAUCAACAAGUUGCCAAGGAACGUCCUUGGGUCUUAGGCAUCAAAACAACUGUCAAUUGCAUUAAGAAAUAGAGAGAUCUAAUCCUAACUACCCAAACGCAUGGUGAUAUUGCUAGAUUAUGCAACUUCCUUAGUUUUUAAACCAAGUGUUCUUAUGUUUGAACAAUCCAAGCAAUUACGGACUCAAAAUUAUUCAAACUAACAAUAUAUUACCUUCCAAUCAAGAAUCAACUGGCCACAUUGAUCAAAAUAACAAAGCAAUAAUGGAAUCAAUCAUGAAAUUGCACAAAUAUUGAAUAACCAAAAGAUGAACAAUAUAUGAUCAAGUCUCCCAAUCCAUAAAAUAACCAAAGUAUCACCUAGUCCUCAACUAGAACAAAAGGUUUCAGCCACUCAUGGCUGAACCAAAACCAAAAAAAGAAGAAAAGAAGAAGAGAAAGAAGGAACCGAAGGACUUGAAGGCUUGGAGGCGUGCGGCUACUCCUUGGCCGAAUGGAAGAAGUUGCGGAAGAGAAGUGUUGAAGAGGUGGCCGGUCCUUCAAGUUGUCUUUAAAUAGAUCUUAGGUGCUGCCCUAUGUCUUCCUUGCUGCCCAAGUUGAUGAGUUGCUGCCCAAGAGGCUGCCCUUAUACAACUUGCCGCCCAAGUUGUUUUAGGAGAGAGGAGAGGCGCGGCACACAUGUGCUAGAGCAAAGAGGCGUGCGGCUAGGGUAUCAGAAGUGGGGAGUAUGCUGUCCAAACUUUCCUUUUUAGGUGGAGCCUUCUUUUGAAUUUUAAAUUUUGAAUUAUGAAUGCAUGAGAGGCAAAUGCAUCUUCUUGAGAUCUUGCUUCCUGAAUAGGCAGGACUGACUGCUGAGGUGUCUUCACAUUCUGAAUAAGGAAAGAAGGAUUUGCAAUUUGAAUUUCAAAUGAUCUGCUGACUGCGCUAUCCUUAUUGGACUCUUUCCUUAUUUGGCACUUUUCAUAUUUGAAAACUUUCCUUAUUUGGCACUUUUCAUAUUUGGCACUUUUUGACAGUUUUAAGAGCAUUUUCACCAAAUUGUCUCUUUACACCUAUCUUUUGCAAAAUAAGAUCAAAACCAUAAAAUUAGGCAGAAAAGGUGUAAAUAAACAUUAAUAACAUCAUGAUAAAAUGGUCUAAAAUAUGCUCUAUCACCUUGGCAGCUGGGACGAUCUCGGCUCCACCCUCAUAGGCGCCCUUGGCAGUCGGGACGACCUCGACACCACCCUCAGAGAUGCCUUUAUCAGCUAGGAUGACCUCGGUGCUGCCCUGGGAGACAACUUUAGAAGUAGAGAUGACCUCGGUGCUUCCUUUGGGAGCGACCUCAGUCCUUCCCUGCAAAACAUCCUCAGCGGACUCUUCAAUGACUAUGUGCUCCUUGAAAGUCCGGAGUGAGGCCGGUUUGGACUUUGGGGCAGCAGGAGAUCAGGAGGAGGAAGGAGUCUGGUUGCAGCUGGGUGCCUUGGGAGCGUCAGAAUGGGAAUCCUUCGAGGUUGGCACUAGGGUGCGAGAAGAAGCUGGGGGAGGAGGGACAAUCUAGCCAGCUGCCUUGGGGGAGAUAACAUGGGCGACCUCCCGAGUUGUGUGAGCCACGAACAUGCCAGUUCGGAAAGCAUCCAGAGCGGCCGUCAUAAUCUCCCAGGACAGUAUGAAAUUCUUUGGUGGCUUGAUUCUAUCCAUGGGGAGGUCAAAAGCUGCAGAAAACAGAAAUAAUCAAACGAGUUAGAAGCACAUUCAAUAAAGACAGAAAGUGGAAAAGGUAGGAUCUCAGCAAAUAAGUACCAGCUUUCUAGCAGUUUUGAAGAUUGGACACAAACAUACACUUCUCAACAUUAUACUUUCGCUUAACAGAAGUUAGUCUGAGAAGGCCAAUCUGCUUAGAGAGGGUCAGUUGAGGAAGGUCAUUGCAGUCCGGGAACACAUCCCUCCAAGAGAGGUCAACUUAACACGACACUCCAGGGCCUCCCUUCAAGUCCACAAUGGCGAACCCCUUAGCCCAACCAUUGAUAGAGUCUUUAUGUCCCGAGAAAAUGGACAAUCCUCCUCGAGAGGCAAAAUAAUAAAAACCCUGGCAAGCCCGGACUAGACGGAAGAAGGUAGAAAACAGGGCAGCCAUAGGGUUGAAUCCUCAACUGAGACUCACAGACUCGAAAGAACACAUAAAGAGGAUGGAGUUGGGUGCAAGUAUACGGGGAGUAAUUCCAAAGUAACGGAAAACCUCAACGAAAAACGGAGAAAAUGGAAAAGUCAGGCUGAACUCGCGUUAUUUGACAAAAAAAAACCAAACUAAGAUCCCUCUAGGGAUCAACGAGACCAGAGGGAGGAGAAUCGGGAAGAACGAUCUUCUCAUUGAGAUUGGGAGCCCUAAUACGGUAAAUGGGGUGUCUAGGUAUUCCCGAGAAAAGAAGGUCGAAAGAGAAGAAGGGGUGACAUUAGACUCCAGAUUCAGGACAUCAGGAAGCCUGGGACUAUUCAUUGCAGAACAGGAAAUGUACCUUGAAGACGAUUUGGCAAGGAAACGAGAGAGAUGGAGCACACAGGGAGCAGAAUGAGAAGAAGAGUUCUGUGGAGAUUUGGGGUUUUGAAUUUUAAAAACAGUAAGGUAAAUAAAAGACGUUUUGAUGGGAGCCGUCCUUGGGCCGCGCGGUCAUAAUGAGUUCUAGGGAUUUACCCCUUCAUCAAUCAUGCAAUAAUUGCUUAGGAGGUAAAGGGGGAAUUGAUGACCGCCGGGCCUCACCACCUCUGGGAAAGGUCAAGCCCAAGAAAACAGCGCUGAUCCAAAACCCAUGGAGCCUUCCUCAGUCGACCAGUUCAGUAUCCUAAGUCUCGGCCUAGGCACGCGGGGCAGGCUGGGUCGUCCGUGAGCCCAGGUCCGAGGAGAAGAAAUCCAGUCCAGUGAUGUGACGUGAUGAAGGAUAACAGGUCCAGUCACUUCGCAGCCCUACCUGCAUGUGCGCUGGGGGGAAUUAAAUAGCCGUCUGGCAUGAAGAAAGGUUCUGACACUUCCGUACGUACGGACCUGCGUGACAGAAACAGGUGGCACUGUAGCAAAGAGGUUGUUAGACAUCACUAACGGACAAAAGGAAAGAAAUAAAAGGAAAGGAAUAAAAGGAGGGAAACACAUUUCUCUCCAUAAAAGUUCACACUCAUACUGUAAAACCCUUUUUCUAGAUCUCAGAACAUCAGUUUGAUUUGUUUACACCCCUACUAACUGUUACCUUUGAUCCAUUUUUGCAAUAGCGAUUACUCAUUUUAUUUGAAUUGAAGAAAUUAAUUCAUACACUAAUAUUAUUAGAAACUUUAGUUAUUGUGUUGAUGAAUGGAAAUAUAAAUGAAAUGGAAAGAGAUAACUGUUAAAAAGCAGAGAACCUCAAUACAAAUCUGAACAAUCCCAUCUGCAUUCUACUGAAAAAUUAAUUCAUCCCUCCAUAUUAUAACCAAAUUAUUUCUGGUUAUCUGUAAAGUAUAUAUAGUUCUUAAUUUAUAUUUAUUAAAUUAAAAUAAAAUAGAACCUUAUAUAUAAUAAGGCAACAUAUAUUAGAGUUAGUACUGAGUACUGUUCCUUAACAUAUCUAUUUAAACUAAACAGUUGAGAUAUCCUAGAAGAAAUUAAAAUGAGUUGAUAUGGCAAAUUAUGAUCUCAACUAUUUAGCUGUAAUAACAUACUCACAUAUAUCUAAUGUUGAUCCCUAUUGUCUAGAUGAACAGCCUGAGACAUAUAAACUUAAUUAUGUGGAUUACAUCAUUAUCCAACUUUUUUAAUUUUAAAAAUCUAUUUCAGUUCUCCUCUUAUAGAUAUGCAGUGUGCCAUAAAAAUUCUUAAUAAAAUAAUUGAAUUGAUUUAAUUUAAUCUUUCAAUUACAUUAAUUUAAUAGAAAAACUGAAGCGGUGAAUCUGAGUUGUUGGAUUGGUAAUAUAGGGAUCUCUUAUUCAAAUCGAUUAAUCAAUCAAAUUAUUUCAGGUCAGUUUAAAUUCAUUACUAUUUUGUCUGAGCUGUAAAAAAUGAGAAAUUCAAUCCUUUUUUUCAUGAUAAAUGAUGGAGACAACUUUGGCACGUGAGGGGCAGAUGAGAUAUUAGAUUUUUCAAUGAUGAGGUGGCUUGGGUGGGAUUAACGUGACCAUCACCCAAAAGACUGCCACAGAAGCGAAGAGAAGAAGAUCAAGUGUCAACUGUCAAUCCGGUUUGCAGUUGGGAUCCAAAACUGCUUUUUAAUCUUUCUUCUCUCUCCCACUCUCAAUAUUUAGCUAAGUUUUAUAGUUAAUUUUAUGCAAAUUUCACCAUAAUCAAAAUACUAUAAUAGUUGGUGGAAUAAUUUUUUUAAUUUUUUUAAUUAAAAAUAUUUAUACAUUAAUAAACAUCAUGAGCUAGUAUAUUAAAGAAAAAAGAUAUGGAGGACAGUUACACCAUUCUUUUGAAACUGCCAAAGAAACAGCAUCUCGGACAAGAACAUGACCAUACUAAUUCGUAAUUUUUCUAACAUACAUAAGAGAAAUAUUAAAAAUCUCUAAAAGGAGAACCAUUAUAUCUUGAAUAAAAAGAUCCAAAUAUGAACUUUCCAUUCUUUUAUUGUUCACUGAAGAAACCAACUGCAAUAUAUCAGAUUCAGCAAUGUACACCAUGCUUCUUCAACCAUGUCAAUGUUUUACCUAAAGUCAAAGCUUUUUUAAGCAGCCAACCAAUCUGUGUAAAAAGAGAUGGUGAAAAUGUAAACAUUCAAGGUUUUUUAAUAUUAUUAAUGGGUCUUAAAUGUUGUUUGUAACUUUUUAUUUUUAUUAAUUUUGUGAUCGAUCUUGCAUUCUAAGACAACCAAAUCAUUGUCUGCGUGCUGUCUCAUAAAGCUUGUUUUAAUCAAAUGUAAUCUCAUUUAUUUUUUAUAUUUAAUUUAUGUAAUUAUGUUUAUUAUAUCUAUAAUAAUGAAAGCUAAAAAAAUUCCAAAUAUAGUGUUUCUUUAAAUUCAAUUAAUAUGCCGGUUACCAAACAUUUGAGCCUAAUAUUAAUAGAGAGUAAAAGUUUAUUAAUUAUUUUAUGGUCAUAAGCUUCACAAACUAUGCAUAUAAGGUCAUGCUAUUGAUAUGUAUUUUGGUUUUUUAAAGCUAAGUUUUAUUAAUUUUUUAUAGUAAGGAAAAUAUAAUUCAUUAUAAAAAUAAGUCAAAUCUUUUCACAUUUUAAUAUUUUAAUACAAAUAUUAAUUUUUGGCAGAAUUAGCCCGAAUUCUAAUAAAAAAAAUAUUCAAUUUUCAAUAAUUAAAUUUUAAAUUCCAUUUACUAUUAUGAUUGGAAAUCUUAUUUUACUACAUUUAUCAACCUUUCAUAAUCAAUUAACCUCAAAACAAUAGUGUAUUUCAAAAACCAAAAACCAUCAAAAUAAUAGUGAUGAGAUUAGUAAAGGUAUGCGACUAAAACCAUCCAAUUCGACUAAAUGAUAAUAAUACGGGUAAUUGAGACUCAAAAACUUAAAUAUUUAUACGUUUUCGUUUAAAAUUAAAAGUUUAUAUAAAUUUAUUUUCAUAUGAAAUUAUAAUUAGAGAGAGUGUAUUUUUAAUGAUAGAUAGUUUUUUUUAUUAAUAAAUAUGAAUUCUAUCUGACACAUAAAUAAAUAACAUUCACCUUAAAAGUCACACAUUCAUGUACUUUAAUUAUUUUAUUUAAUUUUUUUAAAUUUUAGCAAUUUAAUUAAAAAGUUUAUAUUAAUUUUAUUUUAAUUUGAAAUUAUAAUUGAGGGAGUGUAUUCUUAAUAUUGUAUCACUACAUAUGGGUUUAUUAUUAUUAUUAUUAUUAUUAUUGAAUGUGAGAUCUAUACACCUAAGCAAAUCUUUAAUACAUAAGCUAUAAUUAGAAUUAUUUUAAUUAAUUAAAAAUUUAUUUAAAUCAACAUAUAAGCACAACCAUACUCUUUCCAAAUGUAAUUUUAAAAUUGGAUAAAUUUAUAUAAAAUUUUCAAUUCUAGGUUAAAUUAUUAAAAUUAAAAUAUUUAAAUAAAUUAUCAAAAUGCAUAACGUUUGAUUUUUAAGGUCAAUUGACCUUUAUCUACAUACUACCCUUAUUUAAUAAUAAAAAAAGUUAUAUAUGGCGUUACAUUAUUUAAAAAAAAUACUCAAGUGUGAUGUUAAAUAAAAAAAAUUGUGCAAAUUUUUUAAUUUUAAAUUAAAUUAUUAAAAUUAAAACAUUUUUUUUUAAUUAGUUCCCUAAAGAUAAAAGGUAACAUCAAUUAGAAUAUGAAAUAGAAAAAAAUGUGUUGCAAAUAGUUGGAUAAAAUCACAAUAACAUUCCACGAUCUUGAAAAAUUUGAAUAAAAUUUUUAGAAAAUUGAAAAUAUGGUAAAUUAUGGGAAGAUUUAAAAGUUUAUAUUAGAUUAUGAGAAUACAAAAGGCUUGACUUGUUAUUUUGAAUAGGCUUACAUAAACAUCUUUAUAAUAAUCGCUACUGACGUGGAACCCUAUGACACAAGCCUUAAACCCACACGCACAAGUAAAUAUGGAAUCCAAAUAUUUGAUAAACCCACCUCUUAUGGCACUCCACUCUUAGAGAAACUGAAACACCAAAGAUCGAAAGAUUUAGAUAAGAAUCCGACAAAUGCCACAACGAAUAGUUGAUAAGUUAGCCAAGAUUUUUGGUGCAAUUGAUGAAAGUAAAGUCUCACUCUCACUCAAAGCAAUACACACCAAAAGCAUGAAAAUAAUUCUGAAAAUUUGGAUUUAAAGUUGCCUCUUACAAGUGUUUCUUAUCCUUAUAUAGUACGGAGAAAAAUAAAAUCCUAAGACUCUUCUGAGACUUGGCCGCACCACACACAAGAUCCAAGCCCAAUUACACUCUAAAAUAACACAUCAAACACAUAAGUAUUAAAAUAUAAGCGCAAAACAUAGCCCAACACUCUAAAACUUAAAAGAUAAAAUAUGGCCAGAAUACAAGUCCAAAUAAAGUUAAAAUAAAACAAGUGUUUAAAUAAUAAAAUAUAGCAAACCCAUCAUAACAAAGUUAAAUCUUCACAAAAGUCUUUCUUAAUCUUCACUUUAGCCUUCCCUUUGUGUAAUUUUAGCCCAUAGGUUUGAUUAGGCUCCCUAAGCCUAUGAUUGCAAGUGUUGCACCAAAUCUGCCCUAUAUGAGUUGAAGCACGCUCCAAAUAUAUAUGGAUCAUAUGAAUAUGAUUUUGAACUCCUUUUAGAUCUAUUUGAAUUACAUAAGUUUGCUCCACACCAUUGUUAGAAAUUUGCUAUAUUGGAUCCGUAUCAUCCCUCCUUCUUUAAAAAAGAUUCGUCCUCGAAUCUUGCUGAUAUUUAUGUCAAGAAGGGAAACUUUAGGAACCCAUAUAUCUUCAACGAUCUCCUCUUGAAUAUGUGGAAAUAGCAUAAAACUUUCAUCAUAGAUGUUUCCAUCAACAACCUGCACAUCAAGAACAAAUGAACUAGGUAUAAAAAUAUUAGUCAUAGAAAAAUCAUGUGGAUGUGACCCAUUCUCCUCUACAACUUCCAAAACAGUCUCAUUCGCAUCUUCCACCUCAUCAAUCAUGUGCUCCCCAUGUUCACCAUCAUUCACAACCUCUUCUAUAAGCUCAUUGAUGGAAUUUUCAACAACAACUAUAUUAGAUUCAUGCAUUACAACUUCCUCUUCAAUUUCAAUCUCUAUGGAAGUUGAUAUUGGAACUUUAGCCUCUUCUUUCUCCUUUUCUUUCUCCAUCUUCCCUCUUUGAACUAGUCUUGAUUCUUUUCUAGUCUCUUUACCCUCAAACUCACUCUUUUUUCUCAUUUUUUCCGCAGAAUUCAAGCUCUCACUUCCAUUUGUAGCCAAGGCCGAGGCCUCCCUCUCUCCUCUCCAGCAUCUUUAUUUGAUCAGCAUAUACCUCUUGAGGUGAUAAAGGAGCGAGUAUAAUCUUCUAUCCUUCAUGAGUGAAGGAGUACUUGUUAUUGAACCCAUCAUGUUGCACCUUUCUAUCAUAUUGCCACGGCUUACCCAACAACAUAUGGCUUGCCUGCAUAGGGACCACAUCACACAAGAUCUCAUCCUUCUACCUACCAAUAGAAAAUGGUAUAAUCACCUGGCGUGUAACCCUAACCUCACCACAAUCAUUCAACCAUUGCAAUAUGUAUGGCUUAGGGUGUUUAAUAGAAGCCAAGCCCAAUUUCUCCACCAUAUACACACUAGCCACAUUUGUGCAACUAUCUCCAUCAAUAAUGAGAGUACACACUUUUUCAUUAACCAAACACCUAGUGUGAAAUAUGUUUUCCCGUUGUUCUAUACUUUCUUUCUUAACCUGCAUAUUCAAAGCACGCCUAGCAACAAGCAUCUCACCAUGUUCAGCAAGCAACCCAUUAUCAACAAACACAUCCGAAUCAUCGUAGUCAUUAUUGCAAUUAAGAGUUCUUUGAGGUAUUCUUGUAGAAGUUGAAACUUGUGAGACAUUCAAACUCUCCAUAGUUUCAAUCAACCUCUCAAGAGUCUUAUAAAACCUUCUAAACUCACAACUAACUGAUUUUUUGAAGAACUUAUAAUCACUAGCCAUGUUCCAUUCACUUUCAUCAUCACGAUCCACCACAUUUUUAUAUUUACUCAUUCUGCCUUAAAUCAAUAAAGAACAAAGAGAACUAGCAAAUAUAAUAUUAGAAAUAAAAGCACUCAAGUGUUUACACUCUUACCACUCUUUUGUUGAUUCUUCAAUUGCACUUCAAAAACUAAGGUCAACCAACCAACCAUAAAGUGCGUUUAAUGAAAUAAAGAAAAAAACCUAAAGAAAGAAGGAAACGCGCAAAAACUAGAUAGAAGACAUUGACAAUUUGAAAAGUAACACAAAACUAGGUUUUGUGCUACUUAAAAAAUAUCAUCUAGAGUAUAGACACAAGCAAACAAUACUCCAGUAAUGUCAAGGAAGUAAAAGCAAGCUUAACCAAAAAAAGAAACUUAGAAUUCAAAUAAAAAUGAACAUGGAUAAAAGUUUGAAUUUAAUUCACUUCAACGCAAAUUAAAUAUGGAUCUAUUUAAAUCUACCCAAAAAGGCAAGUAUCAAAACCCCACAAAUAGAAUUAGAAAAAAAAAAAAAGAUUUCACUCAGUUCAACAUCAUGGACGAAAAUUCAGGUGUUAAAAGAAGGAUUUGACAUCAAAUCAAUUUAGAUGCAAUUGCCUUAAAUGUGCACUUUAAGAAAUAGGCAGAAUUUAUUUUGUCUCCUAAUCUGGAUUCAACCCAAUUCAAAAUUCAAAAUUGAUUCCAUAAAUUACAGUUAUCAAUUGAGAUAGGUAAGGCAAUAUAGAUGAAAAAGGAAGUAUAUCAUAAUUUCGGCCAGAUCAAGAUAAAUAAGGCAAAGGCCUUUUUUUUAUGGAUUUCGAAUUUUUCUUCUAAAAGAGAUUAUGUGAUGAUUAAUAAUCAAGAAAGUGCAGUCAUGGACACACAAGCUUUCACUGAAAUCAACAAGGAAGAAAAGGAAAACUCAAAAACCCUAGAUCCUAAGAUAAAUCAGAAUUUACCUCACUUUGACUCUGAUACCAACUGACAUGGAACCCUAUGGCACAAGCCUCAAAUCCACACGCACAAGUAGAUAUAGAAUCCAAAGAUUUCAUAAACUCACCUCCUAUGGCACCCCACACUUAGAGAAGCUGAAACACCAAUGAUCGAAUGAUUUAUAUAAAAAUCCGAUAAACGCAGCAACGAAUAGUUGAUAAGUUAGUCAAGAUUCUUGGUGCAAUUGAUGAAAGCGAAUCCUCACUCUCACUCAAAGUAAUACACGCCAAAGGUAUGAAAAGAAUUCUUAAAAUUUAGAUUUAAAGCUGCCUCUUACAAGUGUUUCUUAUCCUUAUAUAGUAAGGAGAAAAAUAAAACUCUAAGACACUAUUCUGAGGCUUGGCCGAACCACACACAAGAUCCAAACCCAAUCACACUCUAAAAUAAUACAUCAAAUACAUAAGUAUUAAAACAUAAGCGCAAAACAUAGCCCAACACUCUAAAACUUAAAAGAUAAAAUAUGGCCAGAAUACAAGCCCAAACAAAACUAAAAUAAAAUAAGUGUUUAAAUAAUAAAACAUAGCAAGUCCAUCAUAACAAAGCUAAAUCUUCACAAAAGCCUUUCUUGAUCUUCACUUUAGACUUCUCUUUGUGUAGGUUUAGCCCAUAGGUUUGAUUAGGCUACCUAAACAUAUGAUUGCAAGUGUUGCACCAAAUCUGCCCCAUAUGAGUUGAAGCACGCUCCAAAUAUAUAUGGAUCAUAUGAAUAUGAUUUUGAACUCCUUUUAGAUCCAUUUUAAUGACAUAAAUUUGCUCCACACCAUUGUUAGAAAUUUGUCCUAUUGAAUCCGUAUCACCUACCUAAUAGGCCUUUCUUAAACUAUCAACCUAGAGAAGCAUGCCAACUAAAAACUUGGGACAAAAGCUAUAAAUAUGGAGCUAAUAUCGGGAUUUAUGACAAUGUACAUACGUCACAAAAAACAAAAUAAACUUAUUCAUAUUAUUGAUUAAUUAUCAACCUUUGAUAAAAAAAAAAAAUCAUUUUCCAUUGACAUGUCUAUAUGUUUUGAAGCUAAUGAGAUUGGAUAUAUGAAAAAAAAAAAAAAGUAAAAGGAAAGAUUUCAGAAUAACUAUAUCAAGGAGAUCAUACUUGCCAUCUUGCUAGGAGGACGUUUAUUUCGAGCUUAGCAAAUAAUUAGAAGGGUAACAACUCAACCUCAAUCACAAAGAGAUAAUCUAAUCUUCCACCUUCUUUUGCUACGUAACUCCAUGCUGGAAAUAAACAUGUCUAUGUUCCCCGCACCCACAAAAAUAAAGAGCCAAUAAUUUAUAUUUAGAAAAUGUUUUUUAAUAAAAUAAUUUAUUUUUUAUUAAAUUUUAAUUUAAAAAAUAAAAGAUAUUAAUAAAUUUAUAUAUAAAUAUAUUAAUAAAAUUUUUAAAGUGAAAAAAUAAUUUUCUCUCUUAAAAAAAGUCAUUCUCUUUAAAAUAGUCUAAUUUUUUUUUUAAUUAAAAAAAUAUUUUUUAUUAAUUAAUUUUUUUGAAAGUUAUAAAUAUCAGAAAAUUUAAACAAUUCAUUGCAUUUUCAGUGCAUGCAUGAUGUAUAUAUGUAUAUAUUCAUUAGUUGUACGGUUUCAUAUGACAAUAGAGUUAAUUCUUUAUUAUUAUUAUUAUUGAUGAGAAGCAUUGAUAGGGGGCAAAAGGCAAACAUAUAAUCCUGUCUUUGGUUCAAUGAUUGUCUGUCUUUCUCUCUAUUGAUCACCUCUUUCCUGUCUCUAAAAUUGAUCAUGUGGGGGACAUUGGGAGUUGGGUUCCAAGCUUUAUGGAGCCAAAAUAAUAAAAAAAACACACCCACAAGGAUGAGAUUAAUUGUUGAAGGAUAUAUGCGAGGAAUUAAAGCAAUUUUCUAAAGAGAAUAUAUGCAAGAACCUAUCUCGCAUGAAAAAUUCCCAUGCUUUAAUUUGAAAACCAAAUUUUAUUUUAUUUUUAUUAAUAUAUAGCAAGUGUAUGUAUGAUCUUGUUGUUGAUGUUGGUACCAAUAAGAAGCUGCCAGAGAUAAAGAUAUAAUUGAAAGAAAGAUAAAAUAGUAAUUAAAAUGAAAAAGAUUCAUUACCCUUUUGCUCAUGAAAAGCUAUAUAUUAAUUCUGAAAGAAAAUGCCCCACUAUCUCUAACUAUGAAGGGGAUGUACAAGUGUGUUAACUUUAUACCUCUUUGAAACAUAAUUUAUACCUAUUGGAUCCCUAGCUACCCUUAUUGACAAGGCCACAUCCCCUAUUAUAAUAAUAUUUAUAAAUUCAAUCCUUAAAUCACGUUUAUAAAAAUAGAUUUAAGUAUCCUUGUAAAUUUCCUUUUAUAUACUUUAAUUAUAAUCAUAAAACAAUAAUAAUAAUUUAAAAAUCGUUGCAUUAAUUUACCUUUAUUAUUGAAAUAUAAUAUAAUUAUUUACUUCUUUUUUAUGAUAAAUAAAACAUAAUUAAAAUUAUAAUUUUAUUAAAUAUAAAACAAUUUUUUUUAUAUAUAGUAAAUUUUUUUAUAACAAUUUUAAACUAUUAUCAAAUUGUUAUUGCUAUUAAGAUGAUAAUUUUACUAUCGCUACUAAAAUUGUAUUGUUUGAAGUCUAAAAUGUAACGGUAACAAAUAGAAAGAGUCAUGUCAAAUCUUGCUUAAUGCAAUAUAUAAUAUACAUUCCAUAUCGAUAAUAGCUACCUCACUAUCAUUAAAUAAUUUGAUUAAUUAUUUUAAAUUCUAAAAAUUUAGAUUAAUUUUAAUAUUACUAUUAUAAUUAGUAUUAAAAUCAUUUCAAUUUAAAAAAAUUAUAAAAAUAUAAAAAAUUAGUGUGCUCGUGAGACAAGAUAAAAAUGUCUGAAUUAGAAUCGGUUAUACUAAUUUAAUACAAUAUAAGAUAAAGAAAAUUAUGAUGAAAACAUCAUAAAAUUAAAUUUGGGAGAAUUGUAAUAUCUAUUUCAAAUGGAUAACAGCUGGUUUAAAUUUAUUAAAUAAUUUAUAUUAAUCAUAUAUUAAAUGUUGGCCAAUUUUUAACCGACUAUUAACAUGUACGUAGUUACAAGAAGAAAAAAAAAUUAUAAGGAGUCACAAUCAUUGCAAAACCAUAAAGCGGUUAAAUGUGGCUUUCAAACCCUAGUUGACCAUAACCCAUGAGGCUGGCACGUGCCAGCCGUGGUUUGCGUGUAGAGUUUCCUUGUUAUUACUUUUGAGAGAUGAAAAUAUGUAAAGAUAUUAUUAUUGAAUUUGUGUAUCUACAUAUGUUUGCCUGCCUGUCUGGUUAGCUAUAGCUUCGCUUGUGUUAUUAAUGCAUAAAAAGGCCUCUCCAAAUGACCAAAAUGCCCUCACCAACUUGUAGUUUUUAUGGGUUCGAAAUAAUUAUUAGCUAGGGCAUUCUGGUCAUAAAAUAAAAUCAAGAGGAUGGUGGUAGUUUGGAUCAUUGAGAUGACCUUGUACUCACCUUAUCUUUAUUUUAUUCCGUAGUUUGCGUUGGUUUCCAAAGGAGUAAGCAAAAUGACGAUAAUACCCUUUAUUGAACUCAACAUUUUCGUCAUUUCUCAUCACCUGACUAAAAAUUUUAUAUUUAUUAAAAAUUUACUUAUUGCAGAAAUAUAAUUAAGAAGAAAUUCACUGUUUGUUCUCCAUAUACGCAUGUAUUUGUUAAUUUCGUUUUGAAUAGACCAGUCUGGAUAUCUCUGACGUGUAAAAUACUAAAAAUUUCAAUGACUAUCAUGCCCUCAACUCUCAGAGAGGGGCAUAUAAGUAAUUUGCUAUGAUAAAUUGUAGCUCAAGUUUUUUUUAGUAUUUUUUGUGUUUAUAUUAUUUUAUUUUAUUGUUGUCAAAAUGAACAACAAUUAAAGAAAUAUAUAUAUAUUUUUUAAAAAAUUACUAUUAAUUUCUAUAUNNNNNNNNNNNNNNNNNNNNNNNNNNNNNNNNNNNNNNNNNNNNNNNNNNNNNNNNNNNNNNNNNNNNNNNNNNNNNNNNNNNNNNNNNNNNNNNNNNNNNNNNNNNNNNNNNNNNNNNNNNNNNNNNNNNNNNNNNNNNNNNNNNNNNNNNNNNNNNNNNNNNNNNNNNNNNNNNNNNNNNNNNNNNNNNNNNNNNNNNNNNNNNNNNNNNNNNNNNNNNNNNNNNNNNNNNNNNNNNNNNNNNNNNNNNNNNNNNNNNNNNNNNNNNNNNNNNNNNNNNNNNNNNNNNNNNNNNNNNNNNNNNNNNNNNNNNNNNNNNNNNNNNNNNNNNNNNNNNNNNNNNNNNNNNNNNNNNNNNNNNNNNNNNNNNNNNNNNNNNNNNNNNNNNNNNNNNNNNNNNNNNNNNNNNNNNNNNNNNNNNNNNNNNNNNNNNNNNNNNNNNNNNNNNNNNNNNNNNNNNNNNNNNNNNNNNNNNNNNNNNNNNNNNNNNNNNNNNNNNNNNNNNNNNNNNNNNNNNNNNNNNNNNNNNNNNNNNNNNNNNNNNNNNNNNNNNNNNNNNNNNNNNNNNNNNNNNNNNNNNNNNNNNNNNNNNNNNNNNNNNNNNNNNNNNNNNNNNNNNNNNNNNNNNNNNNNNNNGAGACACCACAUAGCUGUAUAGAGAUAAAGAAAGGAAUUCGCAGAAGCUUUCAAUACCACAUAAUAGAAAACGAUGGCUGAGAGCUUUGCAUCAUUUCACUCUCUGCAACUCCAAGAGGUACUUGUGUUUUUAUGUCUCUCUCUCUCUAUAUAUAUAUAUAUCUAUCUAUAUAUAUAUAUGAUGAACAAAGCUGAAAAUGAUAAAGGGAAAUUAAUAUUUUAAUUAAAAAAAUCAAGGAAAAGCUCUAAGAAAGAUCUUUCUCUUUCCUUUCUUGUUUUUUUGCUAUGUUUCUUGAUAUGUAAACUCUGAUCAAAAGAUGGGUGUCCCUUGUUUUGCUUGUGUAGUCUAACGAAUCCAUGUUUAGCAGAAUUGAACACCAGAAAGGGAAAGAGAAGACAAGUGGGUGACGAGAAAGUGAAAAUUUUAUAUAUACAAGAGAUGAUGAUCAUUAUCAAUAUCAAGAAAGUGAUAUGGGAAUAGCAACACCACCGCUCCCUCCAAUUCUCUCUCACUCCAAGAUUCACCAGUCGGUGGCUCCAUUAAUUCCACAUAACUCUGAUUCAGCCAAUUAUUCUAUGUCCCAAGACUACCACCAAGCAGCAGGCAUCUUCUCUUUCUCGAAUGGCUUCGAGAGAUCCCAGGUAGCUCACCAAGAACAUCACCAGCAGCAACAGCACCACUUCGCCCACCAGAUCCACAGAGACAAACUUAGAGUUCAAGGAGGUUAUGGCCCAUCUCCAGGGCCAUUAGUGGGCAUCGAAGAGGAAGAAUCCAGUGGCCUUCCGGUCUAUGAAACUGCCGGUAUGUUAUCAGAAAUGUUCAAUUUCCCUCCUGGGGGGCAAGCCAAUGCUGCUGAAUUGUUGGACCAGCCGUUGCAGUCUAAUUACCGGACGGCUCAUCAUCCUCGGCAGCAGCAAUCAGUAACUACCAGCGAGUGGUACAGUAACAACAGGCAAGGGAUGGUAGGAGGUUUGGGUCCUUUAGGGGAUAAGAAUCAUACUACCCGCGAUAGUUUAGCUCACCAUCAUCAGAUUUCAGGCAUUAACGCAGAUUCAGCAGCUUCCAUGCAGCUUUUUCUCACGAAUCCCCAGCCAAGAUCACCAUCUCCUGCUCCUUCCCAUCCUCAUAAUCCUCCUGCUACUUCUUCUACGCUUCACAUGUUGUUACCAAAUCCAUCUUCUUCUCUUCAAGGGUUUAGUAUGUCUGGUCCUGGAGGAGAUUUCGGCACUAGUAAUGAGAUAUCUCCCCAACAUUUCACAUGGGUUCCUGAUAGUGCUCAUGCAGGAACCAAUACUGGUGCUCAGCUCACUAACCCAAGUGAGAUUGGCAGUGUUGUGGAAGGACAAGGACUUUCUUUGUCAUUAUCUUCAUCGUUGCAGCACUUAGAGGCAGCCAAAGCGGAAGAAUUGAGGAUGGGAGACGGUGGCUUAUUGUAUUACAAUCAAGCAGGAGGCUCCUCCUCUGGUGCGGCUCAAUAUUACAAGAAUUUGGGUAGUCAACACCAGGCAUUGCAUUUGCAAGCAGGAGUGGGACAAAAUCAUCAAGUUCAUGUUGGGUUUGGAUCAUCCUUAGGAGUGGUUAACGUUUUGAGGAAUUCCAAAUAUGUGAAAGCAGUGCAAGAGUUGUUAGAAGAAUUUUGCAGUGUUGGGAGGGGUCAAUUCAAGAAGAACAAAUUCAGUAGACAAAACACAAACCCUAGUUGUAAUAAUCCUGGCGUCAGCAGUGGUGGCGGUAGCGGCGGCGGCGGUGGUUCUUCAUCUUCAACAAAGGAUCUCCCUACUUUGUCAGCUGCUGAUAGGAUUGAGCACCAGAGGAGGAAGGUCAAACUUCUAUUUAUGCUUGAUGAGGCAUGUAAUCCUCUCUCUCUCUCUCUCUCUCUCUCUCUCUCUCUCUCUCUCUCUGGACCCAAUCUUUCUUUGUUUAUUUUAUUAAGUCCAUUACUUUUGAAAUCAGAGGGAAGAACAGAAAAUUCCGGCCUGUUUUUUUGUAAAUAUUUUAACAGCCAAUUAAAGAAAAGCCGGCUGGUGCAAUAGGUUUCCAUUGCAUCUAGUUGGUAGAGUCGAAUUAGUCAUUAUUUAGUAAUAUUUUUCAUUUUUUAUUUAAAUUUUUUCCCCAUUGAUUGGAUUGGUGGGGGCUGUUAAGGUACUUUGGAUUUUUCAUUCGGUAAAAACAUGAGACUACUAUAAGGGGUAUGCUGGUCCAUCAAGAAGCGACCUUCCUCCUGACUGGGAAGAUGACUAGCAAGCCACCAUAUUACGUAGAGAAGUUAUUACCAAAUAGCUGCUCCUUCAGAUUCAUUACACACCAUAGUAAUAUUUCAGAGAAAGCCAUUGAUAUCAUCAUAUCUUAGUUCUUUUUCUGUUGAAAGAUAAACGCACACAUGUACCAGGAUUGCAAUUAGUGGAUCCAAGUCAAAACCAUGGAAAUUUGGACAAGAGCUAGAUUCUCUUUUCCCCCCUUUUUCUUUUCUCUUCAUGCUUUUUCUCUUUGUUUAUGCAUACCAAAAUAAAAUAAUUUUGGAGGUCAUCUAAUUCUCAAAGAGGAAUUUGUUUUGGCUUUCUUUCCCUUCUCUUCUUCAUUUUGUCUCAUAGUCCUUCUUUUUCUCUCUUUUUUUAUUAUAUCAGUCUACAGACAAUUUUUUUAAUGGGAUGUCAAAUCUAGUACAAUAUUCAUAUCAUAGUCAUUUGUGACAUGUUUUUGUCCUUUUUAGACUUCGGUCUUAAUUAUCAACUGCCACUUAUAAUAUAACAAACUAUUAGGAACUUCUGUUUUUAAUUUGCAUCUCUAUCUUUCAUCAUUACUUCUUUCCUUGGUAAGGCAGAGAGGGUAAAGAAUUUAAUAUCAAGGUACAUGGUACCAUGAUUUCUGGUACUAGACCUCAACAUUUAACAAGCAUUGGGAUUGAUGAGAUUAAAUUUUCUUCUUCUUGAAAUUAAUUUGUCUGUGCAUCUGAUCAACAAUUUGCAGGUGGAUAGAAGAUACAACCAUUACUGUGAACAAAUGCAAAUGGUAGUUAAUUCAUUUGAUCUAGUAAUGGGUUUUGGAGCAGCAGUUCCUUACACUGCCCUUGCCCAGAAGGCCAUGUCGAGGCAUUUUCGAUGUCUAAAGGAUGCAAUAGCAGCACAAUUGAAGCACAGUUGUGAACUACUUGGGGAGAAAGAUGGAGCAGGGACCUCAGGCAUAACUAAGGGAGAGACUCCAAGGCUAAAAUUGCUAGAACAAAGCUUGAGACAACAAAGAGCCUUUCAUCAAAUGGGCAUGAUGGAACAAGAAGCUUGGAGACCACAAAGAGGCCUACCUGAAAGAUCUGUCAACAUUUUGAGAGCUUGGCUUUUUGAGCAUUUUCUCCACCCGUACGUUACUAACUUUACUUAUCCAAAAAUACAUAGAUCAAAGCAAUUAUACUGUUAAUUAUUAUGUAUUCAUUAACGCUUUUUACUAGAUGACAUAAUAAUUACACUUUACAUAUUUAGUUAACUAGAUUAGAUGCAUGGAUACACAAGAUCCAACUUCCCUUUGUUGUUUUCUAGCCUUUUCCCAAUUUGUGAUUAAAGGAACAGCAAUACAGUGUCCUUGGAUGUUGUCUCGAUCAGCUAAAAGCUGUAAAAGGAUUUUCUUUGCCUAGCUAGUGCUUUUUUACAUCACAGCAAUACCUAGUUUCUUCCAGAACCGAAAAUUAUUUCGUAUAAAUCUUAAAACUCUAUUAAAGUGUAAUAUCACCAGCCAGUGGCCACCUUUUCUUUCUCUCUCUCUCUCUCUCCCUUUCUUUCUUAAAAAAAUAGAGAAAACGAAUUUUGUUUAAAGACAAAUGUAAUGUAAACAAUAAUAAGAUGAAGAGAGAUGAGGUAACGCAGUUGUCCUACUAUGAACUUCUGCGAGACUGCUAUAGCUACUGCUGCGGUGCUGUCUGCUACUGUGCUCAUCUUUCUUCUUUUAGAUUCUCACGCCCAUGCAGAAGAAAGGUUCAAAUCCAUCUAUACGGUUUAGGUAAUAAGGUCUCUGAUGUCAUUUUCUGUUCUCUUUCUCAGGUAUCCAAGCGAUGCAGAUAAGCAUCUGUUGGCUCGACAGACUGGGUUAUCGAGAAAUCAGGUUAGUCCUUCACAUACUCUCUUUCUCUUCUUGUAUAUAAAUACACAUUUCAUCUUCUUAAACAUAGUAGUGAAAAGAUUAAUAAAGGAAAAAAUAAGACCUUUUUCAUGUUUCGGCUUUUUUUUGCGCUGAACUUGAAGAACAUAUUCUUAUUCGAGAAACCCAGUGGAAGGGACCAUUAGUGAGUUCAGUGGGAACUUGCAUGGUUUUGGGUUUUCUUUCUCUGAUAAAUUUAUUGUCUUUCUGUCAACGAAAGAGAAAAAUUUUACCAUAAUUUUCCUAUUUUUUACGGGAAGAAGAAAGAAAAAGAAAAAGAUAAAGAUAAAGAAAAAGAAAAUCUCCUCUAUUAUUUUCUUUGGAUUCUUUUUUAAACAUUGAGACAAAGAUUCUGAAAUAGACAUAAAUACUGAGACAGUGAAGAAACUCUUCAGACAUAAAUAUUUAAGAGCAGAAGCAAGUACACUAGAGAUGAGACAUGAAAGUUUGCAGCUUUGGUUUUCUCUCUCCUCACAUCCAAUGACAAUAUCCAACCACUCAAGAAAGAACCAUUAAGACAGCGAACAAAUUUUUUUUUUCCGUAUUUGCAAUCUUAACUUGUGUUUUUUUACCUCCUUUUUACACUCUGCUAAGUUGUGGGAAAAGACUCUCUCCUUCAUUACUCUCUCAAAUCUCCAUUAUCACGUACGUUCUCAUGCAGCUUCUGUUGCUUAUUUGUGGGUGACCAGCUAAACCCUUGUUUUUUCUUAAAGAAAAGGGAAAAAAUCACCAUAUUCAUCUCGGAAAUGGUAAAAAAAGAACGGUGAGAUAAGGGAAAUGAAGUAUAAUUUUUAACGUGUAUAAGAAGUUGUCUUGUCUAAAUAACAUUACUUUCCAAGAGAGAUUAAAACGAACACUGAAUUGCUGCGACACCAAGUAUGAAGAAACAGACACCUAUUUCUAUGUCUUUUUCAUGUGUAAUAAAUAACAAGAGUCACCAAAUCUCAUUAAUGGAGUUCCCUCACUCUGAUAACUUUUGAGUUGUCCAUGGCACCCACGACCUUUUGCCGCCACCAUAGAAAAUAAAUUACAAUUUUCAUUUAAGUAAAAUUUUUAGAGAAAAUGAGAGCUUGAAUUCUUAAUAUAUUAAAAUGUGAUUAAAUAUGAAAUUUAUUAUUAUUUUUAUUUGUUAAUUAUUUAUUAAAUAGUUAAGUAUAUAUACAGUCGGGUGUGUAAGAAUUAUAAGUAGUUUUAAUUGUUGAAAAAAAAAUUAUUUAAAGGGAUAGUAAUGAAUUCAAUAGUGAUUAAUAUUUUGAAGAUUGAAAAAAUGGAUAUAUAAAUACACUGUGUGUGUGUUUUAUGAUUACAUAUUUGAUCUAUGUAACUUUAUAAAAUAUUCAUGAAGUGCAAGAUCAAUAUUGAAGGCAAGCUUGCUAAUGAUUCCAUUAAUUGAAUCUCUUCUAUAGGUAUCAAAUUGGUUCAUUAAUGCUAGGGUUCGAUUGUGGAAACCAAUGGUGGAAGAGAUGUAUCAACAAGAGGCGAAAGAAGAAGAAGAAGAAGAAGAAGAAGAAGAAGGAGCAGUAGAAGAUAGAGAAAUAAAGCAAACCAAUAACAAUAAUGGGGUUGCACAGACACCAACACCAACACCAACAGCAUCCUCAUCAGCACCUCCCACCACAACAACACCGCCACCACCACCACCAGCAGGAGGCAAAAGAUCCGAAAAUGCCAAUGAAAACGACCCUUCACUUCUUGCAAUCAAUACACAAUGCUCCUCGGAACACCAAGCAAAACACUCCCCUUCCACCACCGCCACCACCUUUAUUACACCCACCACAGAGUUGGCGCCACCAUCUUUCCAUGACUUGGCUGAUGAAACGUGUCGUCGUGGCAGCUUGGUUCCAGCUGAGUAUGGGACCACGUCUGCUCAUCACGCCAAUGCUGAACCUGAUAUUGGGUCUACUCUUAUAAGAUUUGGGACCACAGCAGCUGGUGAUGUGUCACUCACUUUAGGGCUACGCCAUGCCGGAAACAUGCCAGAUAAAGGUUCUGCUUUCUCUGUUAGGGACUUUGGGAACUGUUAAUUAUUUUAUAACUUUUUUAUUAUAUAUAUUUAUUUUUAUUUUCUGUCCUUUAUUUUCUUUUUCUACUUUCUUUUUAUUAAGAAAAAAACANNNNNNNNNNNNNNNNNNNNNNAAAAAAAAAAAGACCUAGAAUAUAUAAUUCUAUGUUAGUUAGCUGUAUGGAGUCUCUGUUGUAAUUGUAUAGAAGACAAGGUUUCGCUCCUUGUGUAUUUAUAAGGUUUUGUACCUUAAUAUUCGCUAGAAAAUAACAUGAAAAAUUUUAUAUUUUUUAGAGAAAUGGUCUGAGAAGGCUUGCAUGAAUAAACUUUUAUCUUUAGUUUAUUAUUUCCAAAUUCUAAUAAUAAUAAUAAUAAUAAUAAUAAUAAUAAAAUCCCCGUUAUUUCUUAUAACAAAUUUAUUAUAAGAUUGUUUUUCUGGUAAGAAUGAAUUAAAGAAUUUAAUAAAUUUUAUUAUACUCCUUCCUCUUUUGUCUGAUAUUUCAUAGGAAUAGAUGAUAGAUAUAAACAGUAGACACAAAAUUAUAUAAUUAUAUAUACAAUGUUUUAUUCAUAUAAUUAUUAAUUAUAAUAGUUCCAAUUAGUUGGAUUAACGGUGUAGAACUAAUCCCUAAAUCACUUAAAUUAGAGAUUUGGACCUUAACAUUAUUAUCAUGGUUGUGAGUGUUGUUAUCUAAAUUCAUUAGAUUCCACAAAAAUUUAUAUUUGGAACCUCUCAACUUGAGAGAUAAUUCCAACACUAAUAAAUUAAACUUCAUUGAUAUCCAAAUAAAAAUUAAUUUCAUUUAUACGUGUCUGUUAUAUAAUUGUAUAAAAUAAUUAAUGUGACUAUGAUUGAGAAAUGAAAGGUUUCCCUAAUGGACAGUUGUGGCCAAAUAGAUAGUUAACUUUGAAUUUAACGCAGCAAUGUCAAUUUCUCACCUUUAUUUGGCAUCAUCUUAUCUUUUUCUGUUAUAGAGACUAUUUUUAAACCUACACUUAUCUACUACAAGUUUAAAUUAUAUGUAUAUAAUUUCAGUUUUCAAUUUUAACUAAUUGCUUUGUCCCAAAUUAUAUAUUUAUUAUUUUAUUUUUAAUUAUAUAAUUACUCAUAUUAUCCAUUUCAUUCGCAGAUUAUAAAUAAUCUUAUUCUAAUUGACAUGACACAACUAACAUUAGAUUUUACGACAAACUUGAAUUGAUCCUAAUUUUUAGAGUUGACAUUAAAUGGAAGAACCACCAUAACUUUUCAGAAAGAGAAUUUCAAGACGCACGACUUUAAAAAAUGUGACGAGAGCUAUAGACUUAUAACAAAGUUCGAUAUGAAAAUUUCAUUAUUUAGGGGUCGAUUUUGCAUUUUAAUUAUUUUUUUGGAUAUUUUAAAUAUUUUCAUAAUUUUGCAUAUUAGAAUUUUGUUUCUAUUAUAAAUAGCAUUUCUUACUAUUAGAAACUCAUUUUUUAAUUUUUGAAGAAUUUCAAUAAAAUUAUUCGUCUUUCAACCUAUAUUUUCUCUUAUAUCAUCUUAGCUAAAUGAUAUUAGUUAAAACUUCUGAUGGAGUUUAAUUAGUUCUUUAUCAUUGAUAAUAUUAUUUUUAUUUUUCAAAAUUUUAUUAAAUUUAUUAAUAAUACUCAUAAUUUUAUUUUUAAGUGUUAUUAAAGAAAAUUUUAUUAAAUAAUUUACAUAAUUUGUAUUUAUUAAAGAUAUAAAUAUAUAUAUCAUUUAAUCUUAAAUUUUAAAUAACUAAAUUGUUAUUUUAUUUUUUAAAACUAUGUAUAUGUAUAUAUUCUGUAAAAAAAUUUCAAAAAAAAAAACAAUGGAAUUUAUAGACAAAAUAAUGAAAAAUGUGGUUGAUAAAAUAAAUUAUUAACUAUUUUACCAACUAAAUUGAUAUAUAUAUGUUAAAUUUUAAAAAAUAUAUAUUAUAUUAUGAAAAUAAAAUUAUAAAUAAUCUGUUACAUCCCACAGGUAAUUUAUAUAACUAAAAACAAAAUAUAAAAUAUAAAACUAGUGUAAUGCAUGCCAAAACAACUAGUUACUUAAUUAAUUAAAACAAUUAAUUAGUAUUUUAUCAAAGAUUUUUUUUACUGUAUGGCUAUUUUCUAAGUAUCAUUAUUAAAAUAGUUGACAAGCUAACUAAAAUUUAAUAUAAACUUCUCCACUGUAAAGAUAAAUUGUGCUUGUAAUAGUUUUUAUGAUUGUAAUAUUCAAUUUCAGUUAAAUAUUUUUCUUUACAGUGAUUAACAAAGAACCAAGACCAAUUUAUAUUUUAUUUUUUGUUUUAAUUUUGUGUUAAUUUCUAAUUUUUUAAGUAUGUAAGAAAUGGGGUAUUGUUUUGUUAUUAUCUCUUACCCUAUAUAAGGGCUUCUAACCGUUAUACAGAGAUACGAUCUCAUUUUUUAAUGAUAUUGAAAUAAAAUGUUCCUGAGGUUUUCCUUUCUCUCUAUUGGUUCUUUCAUGGUAUUAGAACUAGGGUUAGGGAUUUGUUUGCCUUUCUCUCUCUAAAUUAUUGUUGCAUGUCGAGUAGAUCUUGUGACACGGUGAAAAUAGCAAGAGUGAAGAGAGUGUGAUGGCCGACAAGUCACAAAUCACGACUCAAACAGUUGGGGACACUCUCGCUUUACAACUGUCAGAUCAUCUAACUAUAGUUCUCGUCUCUGCUCUGUUAGUUGGAACCAAUUUUAGAUCUUAGUAUAGGGCUAUCAGAAUAGCACUACGGAUCAAGGAGAAGUUAGGUUUUAUAGAAGGUACAAUCUUUGUACCCGACAAGGGCUCCAAAUAGUAUGAACUAUAGAAGAAAUGUGAUUUUAUGAUCACAUUUUGGAUAUUAAACUCAAUAUCUAAAUAGCUGGUGGAUGGAUUCAUCUACGCAGUCUUGGCUCGUGAUCUUUGGAUUGGAAUCAUCAACAGAUUCAGGGAAUACAAUGGACUAAUGAUCUACCAAUUGCAUAGGAAGAUCUCCUUGAUUACAUAAUAAAAUGUCACGGUCUCAGUCUAUUUUAUAAGACUCAAGAGACUUUGGGACGAGUUAGGAUUAAUGAAGAUCCUACCUCCUUACGCUUGUGGUGCCUCAAAGGGUAUUAAGGACGUUAACUAUAAUAUAAGCUAAUACGGUUUCUUAUGGGACUGAAUGAUGCUUAUGGACCUGUAAGAGAUCAAGUCCUUAGAAUGGAUCAUUUGCCCUCUGUCAAUAAAGCCUAUUCAAUGGUGCUUAAACUUGAAUCACAAAAGGAAGUUUUAGGGAAUAUAAACAAUAGUAUGGAUUCCUUAGAUUUGCUUAAUAAGACACAAGGGAAAUAUCAGGGGAGACAGAAGAGAAAUGAGUACCAGAAAAGACAUUGUACCUACUGUAACAUGGAUGGCCAUGUUAGAGAGGGAUGUUUUAAAUUGUUUGGAUAUCCAGAGUGGUAUAAACCCAAAAAAAAGUUUGGUGGACAAUCUUUUAGAAUUGAUAGAAACGUAAAGACAUGGAAAUAGAAUGGUGGUGGUGGCCACAGUUGAAGGAUUCUACUUUGAAGAGGACAAUCCUCUUAAAAACAUCUAUGAGCUCUACAAAGAUUGAUGAGCUCUUAGCGCCAUGCUUAACUAACUUCAACAAAAAGUUAUUAAAUUGGCUAAAGGCAAGGUAGAUCUCAUAGUCAAUACUACAAUGACUAAUUAUUGUUCUAGCAUUGCUUCUAAUUCAAGCUUCAUGAAUUUUACAAGUACUACUAAUCUAAACACUGAUUGUUGUGCAUCUGCUUAUGAAAAUACAACUUAGAUUUUAGAUUCUAGAGUUACUGAUCACAUGUCAUUUUAGAUUCUAGAGUCACUAAUCACAUAUCAUCACACAAUUCUUUAUGUAACUCUUUGCAAUUGCUUGAUAAGAUUAUUUAUGUUCCUUUUCCUGAUGGGACUACUCUUAAGGUCACUUAUGGAGGAUCUAUUAUGGUCUCUAAUUGCAUCCAACUUGAUAAAUAUUCUUUUUGUACAAAAAUUUCAUUACAACCUUAUUUCUGUCAGUAAACUGAUAUAGACUUCAUCUCUGAAUUUAAUAUUUUGUACCCAUUAUUGAAUUAUACAGGACCCUCUGAUUAAUAGAGUGGUUGUUGUGGAAAGAGAAGACGCAAGAUCAUACAAACUGAAUCGGUUAAGCUUCUUGCACUCUGAAAUUGAAAAUUGCUUACUUCAUGCAGUAUCUUUGAUGCUUGUUUUAUAUACAUUUAUAAAUACCAUGCCUUCUAAGACUAGCAUAAAUAAAGAAGGUCGUUCUCUUGUAUCCCCUGUUUAUAUGCAUGUCACUAAUAUAAUUGAUAUACAUGAAAGACUAGAACAUGCUUCUUUCAAUAAAUUUAGACAUAUCAAGAGCAUCCAAACUAUUAGGAAUAAUGAUUUUAAAUGCAAUAUCUGUCCUUAGACAAAACAAACUAGAUUUUCUUUCCUAUUAACACUAUCGUUGCUAAACAACCUUUUGAUUUAAUUCACAUAGAUAUUUGGGUACCUUAUAGAGAAUAAUCAAUCACUGGUGCCAAGUAUUUUCUCACUUUAGUAUAUGAUUGUACUAGAGACACUUGGACCUUUAUGAUGGCCUUCAAAGGACAAACUAUCAAAAUUCUUUUCACUUUUCUUAAGAUGGUAGAAACUCAAUUUAAUGCUAAUGUAAAAAGCAUAAGGACAUACAAUAACUAUGAAUUUCUUAGCCAUAAAUGCUCCACUCUGCUUACAAAAAGAGGCAUUGUCCAUCAAAGAACUUGCACCUAUACCUCACAACAAAAAGAAGUUGUGGACAGAAAGUAUAGACACAUUCUAGAUAUAUCUAGACCCUUAAAUUUUAAUCUCAUAUACCAAAUAAAUUUUGGUCUGAGUGUGUUCUUACUACAACCUAUCUAAUCAAUAAAUUGCCCAUUGAAAAACUGGGAUAGUGUAGUCCCUAUGAGAAAUUAUUUAAAAGGACCCGUGAUUACUCACAUUUAAAAAAAUUUUGUUGCUUAUGCUAUACCACUAAGGUUGGACUCACCAAAGAUAAGUUUGCUACAAAUCCAUUCAAGUUGUCUUUCUUGGCUAUGUUGGUAAUCAGAAAACUUACAAACUUUAUAAUAUGAUUAAUCAUACUUUUUUCGCGAGUAGUAUGUCAAAUUUUAUGAAAAUAGCUUUCCUUUUAAACAUAUUGAUGACAUACAAGAGAUUGGUUUACCCCUUCUAGCUUCUAACAUAGAUUCUCCUCCUCUCCCUUCUUCAAAUAUCAUUCCCACACUCCAGCCACCACCUAUGAUUAGAAGAUCUGCCAGGAUCUCUAAACAUUUUACUUGGUUGCUUGAUUUCGUUAGCAAUACAAUCACUAGCAAUGCCACCACUUUUUCCACUAUUUGUUUCACUCCUUCUCAUUCUUCAUAUGUCUCUAAUGCCUCUAAAGUUCAAGAGCCUUCAACCAUUAUUCAAGCAUCUAAAGAUGCUAAUUGGUUAGCUGCCAUGCAGUUGGAGCUUCUAAACUUAGAAAAAAAAAAAAAAACACUUAGGUGAUUACUGAGCUACCCAAAGGAAAAAAAAUUUCAUAGGUUAUAAAUGGGUAUAUAAGGUCAAAUAGAAACCUAAUGGAGAUGUUGAAAGAUUUAAAGCACAUUUAGUAGCUAAAGGCUACAACCAAAUAGAAGGUCUUGAUUACAAGGACAAAUUUGCCUUUGUUUCUAAAUUGUCCGUUGUUCAAAUCUUGAUUGCAUUGGCCACUAUUAAAUAGUAGCCUAUUUUCCAACUUGAUGUUAACAAUGCCUUUUUUUCAUGGCUAUCUUGAUGAAGUAUAUAUGGUACCUCUUCAGGGUAUGACGAAGCCUUACCGGGGCAAGUCUAUCUCCUCAGAAGGUCCUUGUAUGGGCUCAAAUGGGCCUCUAGAUAAUGGAACAUUGAGUUUUUCGAAUUUCUUAAGACUUUGGGUUUCAAACAAUCAGCUCAUGAUCAUUGCCUUUUUAUGAGUAUACAGAUACUUAUUUUUUGGCUCUUUUGAUUUAUAUGGAUGACAUUAUUCUCACUGGUACUUCUCUUGAUGCCAUUCAAGCAAUCAAUAAUGCCUUGCUUGCUCAGUUUACUAUUAAAGACUUAGGGCCUCUCAAAUAUUUUUUGAGCCUUGAAAUGGCUAGAUCUGUCACUACUACUGUACUUAGCUAAAUUUAUUUUAGAUAUUCUGAAAGAUGUUGGGAUUAUGGAUUGCAAACCAUCUUCUUUCCCUCUUCCUCUAGGCCUAAAGUUGUCCACUGAUACCGGAGAUCCUCUCAUUGAGCCUCUGGUUUAUAGGAGGCUCAUUGGCAAGCUACUCUAUGUCAAUUUUGACUAGAUCAGAUAUUAAAUAUGUUAUCCAAUACCUUAGUCAGUUUAUGACUGCCCCUCGCAAGCCUCACCUGGAGGCCACUUUCCAUGUUCUAAGAUACCUUAAAGGGACUUUAUAUUAAGGCCUAUGCUUCCCUGUCUCCGAUGAUUUUCAUCUUUCAAUAUUUUGCGAUUCUAACUGGGCUUUCUGCCCUUUCUCUCCCAAAUUCUUAAUCGAAUUUUAUAUUUUUUUUUGGCCAAUUCCUUUAUCUUUUGAAAAACCAAGAAACAAAAUAUUGUUUCUCGAUAUUCAAUUGAAGCUGAAUAUUGAACCAUGGCCAGUGCUAUCUAUGAACUCCUUGGAAUUAUUUAUAUUCUUCAAGAUUUACAGGUUCCAGUUCAUUUGCCAAUCCCUCUCUAUUGUGAUAACAAAGCAACCCUACAUAUAGUUACCAAUUAUGUAUUAGUUGAAUCAGUCAUUCUUCUAGCUCCAACUUGAAGGAGAUAUAAAGAUAAAUUUUGCUUGUAAUAGGCUUUAUGAUUGUAAUAUUCAGUUUCAAUUUAAAUGUUAACAAAGGAUCGAUCUAUAUUUUGUCCUUUGUUUUAAUUUUGUAUUAGUUUCUAAUCGUUUACUAUAGAUAAUAAUAUAUUUUAAUAAAUAAUUUAUUUUAUAUUUAAUAAAAUUAUAAUUUUAACAGUAUUUUUUAUCUAUUGCAAAAAAAAAAUUUAUUAUUUUAUAUUAUAAUAACAGAGGCACAUAAAAUAAAUUUCAAACUAUUGUUAAUUUUUAUUAUAGUUUACAUAUAUAAAACAAUAAUUUCUAAUUACUAUCUUAUAUUUAUUUUUAUAGUAGCGUACAUACUAUAAAAAAAAUAUAGCUAAUAUUACAAAAAUCAACAAUCUAUUUCUGUUAAUUAGAAAUUGAAAGGUAUAACCUAUUGCACAUGAAUAUGGACUUCAUAUACUUCAGGAAACCGAGUGAUGAUCCUAUGUUUAGUGAUGGAGUAAGAGAAACAAACUGAACUGUGUACAAAGGCAAUGCAAGAUAUUGAUAUGGUUUAGUAUAAGCUUAAUUAUUUAAGGUAAUUAUAAUGUAUUUUGAGUUUAGCCAUAGGUAUUCAUUCCGAUUAAGAGUGUGAGACACUUAUCCGUCCCCAACUAUUUUUCAUGUUUUUUGAAAUGAUUAAUAAAUUAAAGUUUUUUCUUAAAAAGAAAAUAAUACAUCCUAAUAAAUAUAAAAAUUAUUAAAAUUUAUUACUCCAAAUGAUUCACACUUAGAAUAUCAAAAUGUUCACUAAUCGUAAUAUUUAUAUUUAGGAGGCAAUAUAUAUAUAUAUAUAUAUAUACUUAUUAAAUGUUUAAUUAAAUUCAAUUUAAUUAUGCUAAACUAAUUCUAAUUUAAUUAAAAGUAGAUUAGAAUAAAAUUAUAAUUUAAAUUUAUUUAAUUUAAACUCAUCCGUUUUUAUUUAAUUAGACUAAAUAAAAAAAUCGACCUUCUAAUAUUUUUUAAGAAUCUAGGAGUUAAAUUUAAACUUAGGGAAGCAAACUAUAUAGUAAUUAACAAGUUUAAACUCAAACUUAGAUUUAAAUAAAUUACAAUUAUAAUUUUUACAUUUAAAUUCAUCAAGUUUUCAUUUAGUUAGACUAACAAGAAAAAAUUGACCUUAGGAGCUAAAUUUAUACUCAGGGGAUGCAAAAUAUACACUUACAAGUUUAAGUGCAAUAUAAUUAUACUAAAUUAAUUUUAAUUUUGUUAGAAUUAUAUUUUAAUAAAAUUAUAAUUCUAAUUUAUUAAUUUAAUCUAGUUAAACUAAUAAAAAAAUCAACCAUUUAAUAUUUUUUAAGAAUAUAGUAGCUAAAAAUUCUUAAAAAUACAUUCAUAUUUAAUUAAUUUCAUUUAAAAAUUAAAAUUUUAGUAAUCGCAAUCGCUCCUGGUAAAAUUAGAGGAUUUUUUUAUUGUCUUUAUAUAUAAAGAAGGAGGAGGAGGAGGAGGUGUUAUAGCAGUCUGGUUGGUUUUAUUAAGAUAUCCGAUAACAAACGCAAAUAGAAGAUUACUUAAAAUCCAAACUGAUAAUGGACAAAGCAACAACUACACUUUACCUAAUAUGUUGCUUUUCAUUUUAGGUACUCACUGUAACUAAACCAAAGCUACCAUAUCUCUCCUUCAUUUGGAUUUACCAAGUUGUUCUGCUGCUGCAAUCAUUUCCGCUUUUUUAAUUUAAGGUAUUAUAAUGUCAUGUAAUGAACAAGAAUAUAUUUCUGUUAAAUUUAUUUAUGUAAUAAAUUUUAAAAAAAAAUCUGUUGGGUAUGAUAUUGAUGUUGCAGCUGUUAAAUUGUUACCUUGCUGGGAAAAAAAAAUACAAACUCUUCAUUGGAGCUCAGAGUUUCGCUGUCACACAUGUUAAGUAUCAAGUGAAGUCGUUUUCAAUUCGGCUUUCAUUCUUUGAUGAUGAAGUUGCUUAGAAACAAGUAAAUUAAAAAUGACUGCAUAUGUAUUUAGAAUAAAUAUUAUAUUAUUUGAUGAUUUUCAUUUUCUAUUUGGUUUCAUAAAUCUUCUUAUUACUUGUACAAAGUUGAAUGCAGGGCAAUAAAAGAAAAGUGUAAUAGAUGUCAAGAAAUUGACUCGACUUCCUUGAUGUAAGAGCAUUCUCUGUGUAAAUUUGAAGGAGAAAAAAGCAUGAGUUGUGAAAGGGAAAUUCCAUGAAAGAAAAAGAAAUGAAAAGAAAAUUUAAUUUUCCACUAGGUGUUAUUCUGGGUUAUAUAGGUUGGUCUUUUUGCAAGCCUUCAUUAAAUGAGCCAUAAAUGUUGGUUUUGUGGUGGGUGUGAUUAAUUUUUCUGAGCAACUGGUUAUAACAUCUGGGCUGAGAUAGCCUCAAAACCCUACUGCUACAGUGCUGCUAUUCAAUGGGGUUGAUAACAACCCCAGAAUGGUUCCUUUGUCUUGUUUGGACACAUAAAUUACAAAUUCAAUGCAGAGAAAAACUGACAAUCAAAAUGAUAAGUGGCCUUUUUUUAUAAAAAUAAAUAAAUAAAUAAAAAUGAAAGGACCAAAAAUUCAAGACUAUGCAAUAUAGGACAAAUUCCAUUGGAGUGGUCCCCUACCUAAAAUUGCUAGAUUGAUAGAUACCUUCACAUCCAAUCCGAGGACUGUACACCAACCAGUUCCCAGUUAUUGUUUUUAAAAUUAUUAUUUAAUUUUUAUUAUAAAAAAACUCAUUUUUAUAAUUUUUUUAAUUUUAAAAAAUAUAUUAAAAAUCUUAUAAUUAAUUCCUGCAUUAAUUUUAAUUAUUAAAUAUUUUAUUAUUUAAUUUUUAUAAUUUUUAAAAUUUAUUACUUAAUUUUUAAACUUUUAAAAAUUUAUUAAUUAAUCUCAUCAUAUUAAAGAUAUUUAAAUUUUUUUUUUAUAUUUGACUGUUAAAAUUAUUAUAAAAACUAAUUAAUAAAUAUUUUAAAAUAUUAAAAAUAUUUUAAUAUAUUUUUUAAAAUUGAAACAUUUAUUAAUAAUUUUUUUUAUAUCAUAAAAAUUAAAUAAUAAUUAAAAAAAAAAUUUAAAAUAUGGGUGUACAAACAAUUGAUGAGGCUAUUUCUUGGGUUUGGGCCCAUUUUUUUUUUCAAAGAUAAUAUACCUAUCAAAAAAUAUAAAAACUCCACAAUCACAAAGUAAACCCAAAGCCAGUAUUACAACUCAUAGUUAAAGGCAUACGUAAAACCUGAUAUAAUACUUAACGUAUGUCUCUGAUUCAGGUAUAAUUAUAGAUCAUCGUCACUCCACAUUUUUUUUACGCUUUUAUAAUAUUUUUUGACGAACAACUGAAGGUUUUACCUGACAACAAUAGCUAAUGCCAUAUAAACUUAAAAGAGAAACAGUGAAAAGCAAUCAAAAUCUUUCAAAUUAAAUAAAGGAGAGUAGACAAGCAGUAGGAAGCAUAUGCAAAGCUAGAAGAGAGAUGAAUGGCAAGAAUCACUCGCACAUUAUCGAAAGAGAAUGUGACACUUCUGCAAUCAACUCUAGAUCAUAUUGCUUGAGUCAAGAAAGGAAACCAUAAACAAUAGAAACCAGCGAGAGAGAAGGAAAUGAUCCCUAGGAAAUUAGAUCUACUAGUUGCUGCCGUCAACCAUCAUCAAAGAAGAACAUAUGUUAAGUAUGAGUCUAUGAGUUUCGUAUGCAAAUCAAGAAAAAACAACCACCACAACAAAGAAUACAACAAUAAGACAGAAUUAAAACCACUCCCCCUCAAUAAUCACAACAUGUCAAAAAAUCAUAAACAAAAGCUAUAGACACUCUCACUCAAAAUGGUAGGGAGAAGAACCCACAUACACGAGAGGGAGGGAGCCAUCCUUACCUGGUAGGAGCGGGACAGCUAUGAUUCCAAUAAAAACAAAGGGUUUUUAUGUCACAAAGAAAAUCAAAUAAUAGAGAGAAAAAUCUCUCUUUAAGAAACUUAGAGAGAGAAGAGAUCUAGGGUGCCAUCCUCUAGGUUGAUAAAAUUUUAAUGGCAAAGGAAUGGAACUAAUUAAAUGCAUCUCUCUCUAGAAUAUUCCAAAGAGAGAACCUCUCAUCUUCAAUUUUUUUUCCUUCUGCAACUCCAUUCGCCUCAUUUGCCAUCAAACGAAAGCUUUACUUUAGUGUUUAUGUGAUUGCUUCUAUGAUCCACACUUUUUAGGAGUCCAUUUUCUUAGCUUUAGUGGUUAUGUGCUUCUUGUUCUCCUCUUCUGGAAGACUACAGAGAUCAUCCCCAGUGCUCCUUGCCCUUAGGUGGCUGUGACAUUUCAGAAAACCCCUCUCAACAAGCUAGGAUUUCAUUGACCCUUGGGUUGGGCCUCUCUGUAGACUUUGGGUCAUGACUCUUUUGGGCUUCCUUGUAAUGCUGCUUGCUAUGCUGCUUUGGAAUCAGAAGCCGUUUUGUUUAUGUGCCAAGAAUCACAAUGGGCUCUAGUGUCUCUUCAUUAAUGAAAAUCUUACUUUUAAUUAAAAAAAAAAAAAAUUGAUUGGAUACAAGAGUAGGAUUAGGGUCGCUUGUGGAUAGGCUGGACCCUGGAUGAUAUAGCAGGAAACCAUUUUUAGUCUGGUAGAAACAUCGAUAAAUGAGUAUUCCAUACAAAAAUAUAUAUAAUUUAAUAAAAUUAAUUAAUUGCUCUUUAUAUUUUUCAAGAACAUAUCAUUUAGUACUUAAUUUUGUAAACAAUAACCAUUAAGUUUCUUUAUUAAAAUAUUAAUUUCAAAAGACAAUUAUUCGUCCACUUAAAAUAUAUACAUAUAUAUGUUAACUAAUAUGUUUCUUAAAAUAAAAGAACAUAAAUAGUUAAAUGUAUAAAUAUGAAAAAUGUUUAUUUAAAUUCGGUUCAUAAUAAAUUAAAAUACAAAUAAAGUGAGUCAGUAACUCCCAUCCAUUUUCUUCAAUAUCUUUUUAAGUCUCUCAUGGAUAAGUCCACUAAGAAUUUUCUAUAUAUAUAUUGUGGUAAAUAAGAAAUAUUUGGGCUGAGAAGAAGUUUGAUAUGCAGUACAAAAAGAUCCAACGUAAAGAUUGUUAGCAUUAUCCGGUAGUAAGGUGGGCUAACAGGCACCAUCUCUUCGACAUGGGCUGGAUGGACUAUUUAUUCAUUUAUAGCACAUUCUUCUUUUUUUCUUUUACAAUUUAUUUCGACUGGGUUUAAAAUCUGAGCUCAGUCUUGGAGAUCCACGGUAUCAAUGACCUAAAAUUCAUUGGAAGCACAUUCAUCUUCUUUAUUCUCUCUCAAUCUCUCUCUCUUCUUUUGUUUUUGUUUUUAUUUUUUUAUUUUUUUAUUUUUUGUGAGUGGACCACAUCCACAUUUCCUCCCAUUGAGAUUUCUGCCAAAAGAUCCUCCCAAUUACUGUGCAUGCAAUACAGCAGUUGUUCUUCAAUCUUCAAUCAUCUUUCUCAAUUAUUAGGCCCCACUCUUUCCUUUCACUUCUUAAUCACGACGUCCUUUUACAUCUCCUUCCAAAAGUAAAUAAGGUGAUAUUAAAUCUUUAUUUUCUCAUAAUUUUACUUAUAAGGGUAUAAUUAAAUUUUUACUUCAUUAUUACAUAGAACUGAUAACUUAGGCAAUAAUUGUGAGAUGUGGUAAUUUGCUGUCUGAUUUUAGGUACUAAAAAGACACUGCAAAAUCAACAACAGCAAUGGCAGAGAAACCAACAGAAGAUAAGACAAAAGAAGAAAAGCUAGUAAGAUGACUUUAUCUUCUAUGGACAAAUAACAUACCCAGAUCACUCCUCAGUCCUCAGUCCCAUUCUCUGCCUCAUCGUUUGUGUGCACGUGCAGGUGGGGUUUGAGACUCUCCAGUAUUCACUCAUCAGUAAUGACCUUUCAACAAUGACAAAACGAUAUUACCGUAGAACAGGAAAGGUAAAUGUGAAAAAAAAGAUAAUAGUUGCUCAUACACGUACUGUAACCCGAUCCGAAAAGUUUUGUGCUGCCAUCUGGAUUGGAUAAAAAACGGAAAUUUGUAUUCUGAGCAAUCUGUCUUAUAUUAUAUAAAAUUUUGAGAAAUAUUAUGCACUUGGUUCAACAAAUUUAAAUGUUUUUCCUUAUCCUAUAUAUCUUAAUAAUGAUUAUUUUAAUAGUCAUUAACUAUUUUAUUAUCUGAUAAUUUUUUAGAAUUCAUUACUUUUAACAUCUAAAUACUAAUAUUUUAACUAGUUAAAGUGCGGAACAUGGCUAUAAUAUGCUUAUCUGGACAAAACGAUGUUAUAAUAAAUAAAGAAAAGUAUAUGGAUAAUUCUUGUUUAAACAACUCAAACUAUAAACAUAUAGGUUUCACUUAUGUUUAUUUGGGUUCCAUCAUAAUUUUUAUAUUUUAGGUGCGUUGUUAUGAAAAUUUUAGGGUUUUUGAUAGUAGCCUAAUUUUGACCCUUUUCAAACUAUCCCUUGUUGAUAUUAUUUGGGAUGUCAAUGGUUUCAUGAUACAUCAAACAAGUAGCUAUCUUUUUUAUGUAUGAAGCGUAUGGUAGUUGGAUGUGUGGUGGCCUUGGUGGGACAUGGAAGGAAAGGACCUGGAUAGAGGAGAGAUGAAGAACAGUAGCCCUGAGGAGGACAUUAUCAAAGCUGUACGUACCUCUCCUUUAAACAAGAAACAUCACCUUUUGGGGUGACCUGCAUGUGCAUGCAUGGCACCGACACGUACAGUAAAAUUUAGGAUAACAUCACAUGUUGAUGUAGUAUUCAUAAAUAAUAGACAGCUUCUAGACAAGUAGAGUUAUUACAAUUAUGGAGGAUCCUAUUUCGAUUGCUAUAUAUCUUGCUAAGAGAAGAUUGUUUGGUAUAGUCAUAUGUUGCUAAAUGAUACCACUGGGACAAUAAUCCAGUGGUCUCUUAUUAUAAAUGAAGGAUUUAAAGGUUACCAUUUGGAUUAAUUAAUUGAAUUCUUAAAAAUUAUAAUACUUUACUUAAUUAAUUUUUAUGGAAGUAGUAUAAAAAUGUAAAUAUAUUUUUGCGUAAAUUCAAAUAGUUGAGACUCAGACUGUUUCAUAUUCUCAAAUAAUUCCAAAAAGAAAAACAUCAAAAUCUAUUUGCAAAAGAAAGAGUAAGUGCAAGUAAAUAAUGGGAUAUGGAAAUGAGAGAAGGCUUUCAAGAGCUCUUUAUGGGCCAAGGGAAAUUUUAUGGCCUUUUCCAUGUCCACUCUUAUACCAUCUGCCUGUCCAACACCACAGGAGAGCCCCAUCAAUCCAAUCCUUACAUAGAUUUGGUAGUCAUAUCUUUUUCUUUUUGUCAAUAGUAACUACUUAAUUAUUUGAUAAAUUAAAACUAUAUAAAAUUUAUUUGUUAAUAUUAUGAUAAAUGAAUAUAAAAAUAAAACUAUUAUUAUUCAAUAGUAUUUAUCAUUAUGAUAAUAUAAAAAUAUAUAAUUAGUUAUUCAAAUUUUUAAUAAUUUUUAUAACUAGAUUAACACAUUAAUUUGAAUUUUACUACAUAGUCGCAUAAAAUGGAAGUUUUAUAAUUAUAAUUGAAUUUAAUGUUUUAAUUUUUUUUCUCUAGUUUUUAUGAAUUAUAUAUAUAUAUAUAUAUUAAAAAAUUACUUAUAAAUUAUAAUAUAAUAUAUUAUACAUUAAGUACACAGCAAAUAAUUUAUAUAUUUUAAACUUCUAUAAAUAAUAAUAAUAAUAAACUAAAAAUAACAAUAAAAAUUGAAAAUGCAUUACAUAUUUAGUUAAUUUUAUAUUAAGUUAAAAAUUAAUGAGAUUUAGUUAAAUGGUGCUGUGUGGUUUUCAAGGUUAUAAGGUUUUUCAAUUCAAGUCCAAGUUAGAGCAAAUUAUAUUAAAUAAAAAUAUUAUGAAAAUUUACUUUUUCAUCUUUGAAUAUUCUUAAAAUAAUACAUAUUAUGUCUCUUUAUUUAUUAAAACUCAAUAAUUUAGUUCUGUUAAUUGGAGAUCCAUCAAUCUAAUUUUUUUAUUAAUUUAUAAUAAAUUAUUGAAAUAUCCUCAAAGAUAUAUUACUUUUUAAUCCUUAAAUUAUGUUAUUAAAUCUAAUACUUGUAUUUUAUUUUUAUUAAACUUCUGAAACUAUGAUUUUUAAUAUGGAUGAAGUCAAAAUUUAGGAAUUAAACUAUUAAAUUUUAAAACUAGUGAUAUAUAUUAAUUUUGGCAUAUAACUUUGAAAUAAAAAAAUAAAAAAAAAGUAAUGAAUCUAAAAUAUUACGUCAGAAACCCAUUAGCUAAUUUGAUCAAGUUUUUAAGAUGUGUGGAGAAUUUUCUAGUAAUACGCUAUCUUUCUUUUGGGUUAGCCUGGUAAGUUUUCCUGAAUUUUCAUUAAUAAAAGUUUUUAUUUAUCAAAAAAAUAUUUAAUAGGAAGUUUACCUAGGAAACCAGAUAGGACCAUGUUAAUUUUUAAAUAAACCAAAUAAAUAUAUUGGCCUGUAAUAGUUUCACAGGACAAAGUCCAUAACAUCAUUAUUCUAAUAAUAAAUAAAUAGAUACAGAUAAGAACCAUAAUUUAAUAUUUAUGAUGUGUUGACCUUCUGCAAGAUUCAAUCUCUCUUCCUUUGAAUCAAAGUUGAACCACACUAAAUCUUUGACGCCUAAACAAGAAAUGGCAAACACUAGUGUUCUAUUCAGCUUUUGUUCUCUGUUAAUGUCUGCAAUCUUUGCUUACUCAGGUUUUGUCCAGUUAAAUGAUCCAGGUACUUAGUUGCUUAGAUCCAUUUACUUCUCCCAUGUGCAUUAAAAUCUAAUUUUUUUCAAUUUCUUCUUCUUGUUUGGUAUAGAUUGGUACUUUUGGUUCCCUCUCUAUGCUAGCUCUUGUGUUGUUAAUAUGCUCAACUGGGCAAUCUCCUCAAAUUUUAUAAGGAAAAUUGCAGAGGUCACUUUAUGGCUGGGUAUAUUCCUGUUUUUUAAGGUUGUAAUGGAAGAUUUUGUAAAUGAAACUGCUGGAUUUUGGUCAUUGGAUUUGAGUGAGAGAGUUGUAAGAGAGAAAACUGGAAGUGGGUUGGUCAUCUUUUCCUUGAUUCUGCAAUUGCAAGCAUUAUCCAAGCUAGAGAAUUCCAAGUCUGGAAAUCAAAGAAAGAAAAAAGUAUUUCCAAGAUUUGUUGAAUAUGGUAAACACAUUUGACCUUUUUUUACAUCUUCAAAUCUAUUAAUUUGAAUUUGAAAUUGGUUACACAAUUGGUGAAUUGUCUUGACAGGAAUGGCUAUCUUGGUGAGCUUCAGUUUUGGACUCCCUUUGGUCUUCUUUGUAGUUAGAAAUGAAGAAAUGAAGUUUGACUAAAUCAAUGAUGAGCUUUCUUUGAAAAUCAACUACUUAUAGCUUGCACAUUUUCAAGUUUCAAUAUCCCACAACUAUUUUCCACAACUUACUAGUUGUGGUAUGAGGGAUAUUAAUGAUUUUUUUUCUUCUCUGUGUAAUACGUGAGAUUUUUAUAAAAUAUAUUGGCUUUAGAGUUUAAAAGCUCUAAAUUUGUAUUAUACUCUUCUUUAUAAUGGUUCAUCGCUUUAUUUUCGUUUUAUCCGCAUGUAUAGAUUUUAUGAUCGAACCACUUCUGUGUCUAUUCUCUUUCUUUUUUUCUUAUAUUAUGAUUGAUAAGUGUGUGCACUCCUAAUAUUCUGUAUUUGUUUCAUCAAUAAUAAAUUUAAAGAAGGCAAAGGUUGUAGGUGAAAGAGGUAAAAUCUGUAAAUCCACACUUACAAGUACGAAUAGCUCAUGUUUUUCGAUUUAAAAAAAAAAAAAGAAUAGCAUGUUUCCUACCGAAAAGACCAAAGAAAUAUAUCGAAGAUCUUAUAAAUAGCAAUGGGUUUGCAUUCAAUUUUGAAACUUGAUUUAAAUUUCACUUUUCGACUAUCAUUUGAAAAUAAUUCCAUCAUCAAGCAUAUUGGAAAGAAUAUUUUAAAAAAUUGACCCAAGAUUGUUGUAAGGGCACUACAAGAGGUGAAUAUUAUAAACCUCCAGUAUUUGACCGUUUCACAAUUAAAAUAUUCGAGCUUCUUCAGAACUCCCAUAAUCACCUUCAUAGAUAUCUUUUAGGAUUUUCUGGCCUUCCUACUUUAUAACACACAGUAGCCAUGGCUGUGUCGAGGACUUCUUGUAUAACCAAUCAUCAAUUAGUGCAUAUUUAGAAGACUUCUUUAUUAUCUAUUUGGCCGAUAACUCAUCGGCUGGAAGAAUAUCUUAUGUUAAAAAUUUCUAUACGGGCGUCAUCCAUGAUUUAUUCUCUUCUAUAGGAAAAGACUCUUCCACUUUUAUUGUUGGAGUGUAUAAUUCCUUGAAUUGAAAUGGUUGAGUCAGGCCAUUUUGCCAAAAGAUCCGCCUCUUUAUUGUUGCCUAUAGCUACUGGCAAAGUUCGCAGCUGCCUUAUCCUUCUUUGAUUUGCUCCAUUAGGGAUUGAACCUUUUCCUCGUACUUGACAAGAUUUGAUUCUCAAAACUUGAAUUGUCCCUGACGUUAAUUGAGAACCAGUUGUGAAUCACAAAAAAUAAUGAAUUUUUGUAUAUCUAACUCCUUGAUGAUCCUCAAGUCCAUUAUCACAGUCUCGUACUUGGCCACAUUGUUCGUGGUAUUGAAAACGAGCUUUGCCGCGUACCAAAACUUUAUACCAGUUUGAGACUGUAAUAUAAUCCCUAUUCCAGAACCCCCAGCUCCGCAGGCUCUAUCUGCCCAAACUUUUCAUUCUUCUAUGGUUGUCUCAUGGGACUCCGAAGGUUCUAUCAGCGGAGUCAUUUCCGCAAUAAAAUGGGCUAGCACCUGGGCUUUCAUUGCCUUCCUGGGGACAUACUUGAUAUCAUAAGCCGAAAAUAUUACUGCCCAGGUGGAUAAACGCCCUGACAGCUCUAUUCUAUGCAGAACCUUUCGCAAAGGAUAAUUUGUCCUGAUCUCGAUGGUGUUCGAUUCAAAGUAUGAUCGUAGCUUUGUAGCAAACACCAACUUCUCGAGAGGAGGAUAAUUCAACUCCACCCACUUCAAAACUUGGCUAGCAUAAUACACUGGACUUUGCUUCCCAUUAUUUUUGCGAACGAGCACUGAGUAAAUUGUUUCUUGUGUCAUAGACAAGUAUAGAAAUAAAACUUCGCCUUCGACAGGCGGGCUUAAUAAUGGAGGAGAUGAUAAAAAGUGUGAGAUUCAGCUGCUUGUGCUGUCCCACAUCGGCAGAUUACGGUAAAUCGAAAUUGUAUAUAAUAGCUGGCACGAAACUACAAAACAAUUUGGGUUAACUAUUUUGAGCCAAGUGAAAAGUGGGUCUAAAAGUUAUUUGGGUCAGUUUGGGUCGGGCUAUUUCAAUUGGUAUCAGAGCCAUCCUAGAUCAUAAAAAUUGUGCAGAGCUAGUAGACCUGCAAGGAAAAGGCUACCCGUGUGAGACGAGGUGGAGCCGCUCGAGGUACUAGCGAACCACACUACCCAAGGAUUCGGUCUUGACUUAACAAUUGUAUCUGAUUCAGUUGCGACGAGGACGUCACAAAUUUAGCAGGGGAGAGUGUGAGAUUCAGCUGCUUAUGUUGUUCCACAUCGGCAGAUGAUGGUAAAUCGAAAUUGUAUAUAAUAGCUAGCAUGAAACUACUACAUAACUUGGAUUAACUAUUUUGGGCCAAGUGGAAAGUGGGUCCAAAAGUUAUUUGGAUCAGUUUGGAUCGGGUUGUUUCAAAAAGGUAUUUAAAUUUUCAAAUGCUUCUGCACAUUCUUCUCCUUACUCAAACUUACCUUUGCCUUUUAAGACUUUGAAGAAUGGGAGACAUCUUCUAGCCGAGCAUGUAUGAAAUGACCCAGGGCCGUAACCCGUCUAUUCAACCUUUGCACUUCAUUAAUGGUUUUGGGUGCUUUUAUGUUUUGGAUAGUGCUGAUUUUCUCAAGUUUCGCCUCUAUGCCUUUUUCUGAGAUAAUAUAUCCUAGAAACUUCCUAGUUUUUAUCCCAAAGGUACACUUUUUAGGGUUUAGCUUCCUACCUGCCUUGUCUAGGACGUCAAAGACUUUUCGGAUGUCUUUUGGAUGGUCUUCCAGUAAUCGGCUCUUUACCAGCAUAUCGUCUAUAUGCACUUCGAUAGUUGAUCCCAACAUGUCCUUAAAGAGUCCUGACACCAACCUUUGGUACAUCGCUCUCGCGUUUGUUAGACCAAAAGGUAUUACCUUGCAGUAGUAAACUCCUUCGUCUGUUAUGAAUGCAAUCUUCUCUUUGUCCUUGAUGUCUAUCAUCAUUUGCUGGUAUCUUGAAAUGGCAUCAAGGAAGAAAAUCACUACGUGACCCGAGGUCAAGUCUACUAAUUUAUCGAUGGAUGGUAUUGAGUAAUGAUCCUUUGGACAUGUUUUAUUAAGAUAGGUGAAAUCUAUGCAUAUCCUCCACUUUCCGUUAGUUUUCUUAACCAGAACCGCAUUGGCCAGCUAUGUGGGAUACUGGACUUCCUUUAUUAAUCCGACACUUAAAAGCUUAUCAACCUCUUCUUUGAUCACUUAUUGCCUCUCGGGUGCAAACUUUUUUUUCUUCUAUUGAAUUGGUUUGGCUGCUUUAUCAACAAAUAGUUUAUAGGUCAUGAGAGCCGGGUCCACACCUGUUACAUCUUUUGGGACUCUUCAGCAACUCCAUUACAUAAGUCUUUGUUUAAUCGAUUAGUGUAGUACCGAAUUGUACUUUUUGCUCUUUACCUAUCUGAAUUUUCUCUACUGGGUCUUACGGUUCUAGCUUUACAUGAGAUUUUGACUUCUUCAACAAGUCGAUGGGCAUGGUAGAUUUUCCAAGGCUCUUUGCAGGGUGUCCGUAGUCUUCUUUGGCCAACCUUGAAUUGCCUCUGACCACUACUAUUCCUCCUAGAGCUGGGAGCCUAAGACACAUAGCACCCAUAUUAAUAACAAUACCGUGGCAAUUUAGGACUGGACGACCUAGUAUCACAUUGUAUGCAAAUGGGAUAUUUACCACCGUGAACUCUGUAUACUAUUCUCGCCUAUAAUUUUCGUCACCCAACACCAAGGGAAGGUUGAUGGUACCCAGUACCACCACGGUCUUAUCUCUAAUCUUAUUAAAGGAUAGAAAACUCUGACAAGAUUGUUUUUAUCCAAACCUAACUUGUUAAAAAUAUUUAAAAUGAGAAGGUUAAUAGAACUACCUGCAUGUACUAAUACUUGCCUUACUUCAUACCGGUUCAGGAGGAUCUUAACGACCAGUGGGUCAUUCUGAAAGAAUCCAAUCACUUUGUCAGUAGGACUAAACCUUACUUCUUGUUUGGUCCAUAGUUUUUAAUCGUACAUAUAGGACGUUCUUUGCUACAUGCUUAUUUUUCUUUUCUUUUCUUUUAUCAGGUCCUCUUGUAAUGAUAUGUACAAUUUCAGCCAUUUUGAAAGUGGAAGGUAGAGAAGAAGUUUGGUCAUAAUCCAAAUGAACGGAGGAUUCAAAAGAUUUUCCAGCAACGAAACCAAAUGAUGUUGCAGAGAUUAAAUUGAUAAUGUGGCCAAAAAGGAGUUGUACAGUAAUUAGAUAGAACCUACAAAGAAGUGAGAAUGAGGUGGUGGUGAGUGUCCACAACAGCCACUCUGACGCUCAACUUAGUAUCUCGAAAGAUUAAGAGAAUGUAAGAAAUUACUUAGAGGUUGAGUAGUAUAAGAAAAUAACGUAUAUUUAUCUAUGUGAUUAUUCUCCUUUUAUACUGUAAGAGGUAGAGAUGAAUAUGAUAUUUUCCGAUUAUCCGGCGAUGAUGCGACCGACUGCUUGAUAAAGAACAUCGCCAGCUAAUAGGUGGGAAUCUCGCGAUUACAGGCGUAAUGGGGAUAAUGCUAGGCCGUGCUUGAUAACUGUAAUUUCGUAUCAAGACUCGCCUUUUCGAGGGAAGGACGGAUUUUUUGAUGAUGAUUUGAGUAUCAAUGUGCCUGGAUUUUUCUUUUCUCGUGCUGAAUCGCGUUUCUCAUUUAUCAUAUUUCUGCUACGUGGCCUUAAUAUGUGAUGAUAACUCACAGUUUAUUUUGGAUGAUUAUUAUGUAGUAUCAGACUUUUUUUAUUAAUACAUUUAUAUCGAAAAUGUGAGAAGAUUAAGGAGAUUUAAUCACAAAUUUGGAGUUAUGCUUAUUCAGUGAUAGUAUGAGUUUAGUGAAUAGUUUUCCAAUUCUUUAGUUACUUGUUAUAGCCUCUUUUUGCAAUCAUUUUUAAUAUAUUGUUUAGUGUUUUUAGUAAGUAGAAAAAAGCUAAUUUUAUAUUCUUUCCAUUCCAUAAUUUUUUUAUAUUAUUUUUUUAAAUAUAUUUAAAAAUAAUUUUAUAUUAAUUUUUUAAUUAUAUUUAUUUUAAAUAUAUUAAUUUUUAUUAAAUAUUAAAAGAUAUCUUAAAUAUUCAUAAGAAAAUAAUAUUUAGUAAGAGAUUGUUUUAGAAAUAAGAAAAUAUUACUAAAAAAAACAUAAUAUUAUUAAAAAAAGAAAGAUGAAUAAAAAUUAUGAAAAAAAAAAAACAUUUAGCUAAUCAAUAUCAAAUUAAUUUUCAGCUAUUAAAAGUUAACAAACUAUUAUAAAAGUUAAAAUUACUAAAAUAGGACAUAAUACUAUUGAUUUGGUAUAUUAUUUCAACGUGUUGAGAUGCAUCCUUUAAAAGCACUUAAUAACUUCUCAGAGUUUAAAUUUAGAAGAGUUUAUUUCUUUAGUUUUUAGGAGCUUAGCCUCCUUAUAUUACUGGUGUGCAGUUUCCUCUGCCCGUUCUCUUUUUCUGGGCUGUGGUUUUAACUCUUCUCUUCAUCAAGUCUACUUUCCUUGCACCUCCCAUGACUUUCUACUCUGCAUUUGAUUCUCUAACUCCCUGGCUUCGGUGGGGUUGAUGUGUGAGGCCUUUUUAAGUCUUGGAUUAGAUUAUGUUUGUGUUUGACCUCCAUCUGUUUGGACUUAUUGAUCAACCCUGAUUUUUAAUAAUUGGGCUCUAGCAUCUGUCACGUUGCAUUUUAUCUAAUAAAAUUAUUGAAAUAAAUCCAAUUAAAUUAAUGUAAUUUUACCUAAGAUUAAAUAAAUAUUUUCUAUAAAUAGAUUUGCUCACCAAUUUGUUGAAAUCACCAAUUUGUUUAAUCACAUACAUAAAUUUUAUAAAACACUCUUUGAAAAAAAAAGAAGAAAUUUAUCUCCUAAAUUCACUAUUGGACUUUACAUACAUAAAUUUUAUUAAUAUUUUUUUAUUUUUUUAUAUUACAAAUAAACAAGGAAAAAAUAUAUUAUUUUCUUAAAUUUUUUGAAAAUUUAUUAAUCAAUUCUUAUCUCAAAAUCUUUCAAUUAAAACAAUUUUAUAUUUUAUAAAAUUAAAUUUGUUAAUUCAACUGUUAGCCAAUUUAUUUUACUUUUAAUUAGAAAGAUUAAAUAGUAUAAAUAUUUAAAAUUAUAAAAAUUAAAUAAUAUGUAUAAUUAAUAGUAUAAUGAUCAAAUAAUAUAAAUAUUUAAGCAACUAAUAGAAACAAUAUAAAUUUCAAGGUGAUUAAUGAUUUUUUAAUAAAAAAUUAAAGAGUUAAAUUUUAUAAAAUACAAAUGUGUUUUAAUUAAGUGAUUUUAAAAUAAAAAUAAAUUAAUAAAUUUUUGAGUUAAUCGUCAAAAAUAUCACGUAAUUUUAUUUUUAUUAUAAUUAUAUCAUAUAUUUUUUUAAUUAAAUUCUAAUUUUUUAAUAAUUUUCAAUUAUAUUUUAUUGUUAAUUGUAUUUAAUCGUAAUUAUCAUAUCACUCAUCACGUUAAUACUAUGUCAUUAUGCCAUGUCAAUAAAUAUUGUGGAGUAAUUAAUUUUAGAUUUUAAGAAAAAUUUAUAUUAAACUUAAUUUUUAUUGUCAACAUUCGUUGGAGGCCUACAAUAAUUUUUCGAAAAAAAAAUUUUGAGUUCGAAAUCCAAAUUCAAUUGUUUAGGAGUAAAUUUUGUAUUUUAAUUAUUUUUUUUAAUUUUUUUAUAAUUUUUUAUAUUAAAAUUUUUAUUAUUAUAAAUAGCACUUUUUUCACGAAACACUUUUGAGAAUUCAAUAAUAAAUUUCGAUUUUUAACAUUUUAUUUUAUAAAUUUUAUUUUAAUCAAAUGAUAUUAUUAAAAUUUUUUAUGGAGUCUAAAUUGUCUUAUUUCAUGAAAACUCGAAUCUACGACUCCAUAUAAAUUAUAUAUACGUUUAGACAUUUAAUUAAGUCAAGUCAAACAAUUAAAUUCUAAGGUAAUUUAUAUAUUAUUAAUUUUUUUUAAAUUCACUCUAUAUUAGCAUAAUUUAAAAAAAAAGUGACUGAUUAGUGUUUUGCUUCAGAGUUAAAAAAAUAAUUAAAAAAAAGUGACUGAUUAGUAUUAUGGUUGAUAGUUAAAAAAAUAAUUUAAAAAACGUUUAAAAAAUAUUUUAUUAUUUUUUGAUAUUGUUAAGCUAAAUUAAAUAUUAUUUAAAAUUAUUUUUUAAUAUUUUAUAACUAAUAUAUCUGAUAAUGUUAUUUUAUUAAUGUUAUUUAAAAAUAAUACUAAAUCAUAAGCAUAUUGGAUAAAUUUAAGGAAAAUCGGUGGAUUAUAAGAUUAAGAGAAAUUGUUAUUAUGAAAUUAUUGAUAAAAAUAAAAUAAUAAUAAUAUAAAUAGUAAUUUUAAAUAUAUUUAAUAAUAAAAAGAAUAAAUUGAUAAUUUUAUAAUUUUUUAACUAUAAAAAUAAUCAUAGUACAUUCAGUCAAAUAUUAAAAAGAUAUGAUUUUAAUUGUAAAAAAAUAAAAAUAUAAAGUGAAAUUAUAAUAAAAUAAAAAUAUAUAAUUUUUUUUAUUGGUAUGAUACGUUAGAUUAAUAUAAUAAAUGUGAUAAUUUUAUUGUUUUUAACAGUACAAAUAACAGUUAAAUAAUAGUUAAGUGUAUUUAUAAUAACUUUAAUCAAUUGUAUAAAAAAAUAAAAAAUGUAAUAAAUAUGAAAAAAUAAAACAUUAUAAUUAUAAAAAAAUAAAAAAAUAAAUUUUUAUUUUACUAUUAACUCUAAAUUUUUUAAAACCUCAUAAACUUAUCAUAAUUUAUCCAAAAUAACUUUCUUUGAAUACUAUCAUAAUUUCCGGUGUAUUUGAAAAAAAAAAGAUAAAAAUAAAAUCUAAAGCAUCUAAAGUAAAAGGGAAAGCAAACUAAAGAAUGAAUGAAAGUUGUUUUUAUUUUUUUUAUCAAAGAAGAAUUAAUGAAAGUUGAGCUACACAUUACGUGAUUUUCAAUGUAUAACCGAGAAUUAAUGCAUAAAUAAUUGGUAUUUACAAAGUUAGAUUCAUAUUUAUUCUUUUAAUGUAAUUUUGGUCUUGCUUUAACUUAAUAAUUAUUUUGAAAAUUAAAAGAAGAUAUGGUAUCCACUUUGGUAUCUGUUUCUGUUUUAAUGGAUAACUUUUCUUCAAGUUAGCAAUCUUUGCUCUUUUCUGAAGCCAUUUUUUCUCUAUCUAUGAACUUUCUCUAAGGAAGUGAAAUCUAUAAGAAAGAUGAUAUCUGCUUGGAAAAGAUUGAUAGUUUCAAUAUGGAUUUUAUUCUACUAAUUAUUUUUUUCUUUUUGAAGAAAAGAAAAAGACUGAGAAGCCAUUUUUUUAAAUCAAUUUGUCCUUUUAAGUCAAGAAAAUAAUUUUAUUUAUUUCUAGUUAUAUGCUGAUUAAGAAUUACAAUUUCUUUCAAACUUAUCCCGCUUUUAAUUUUGUGCACAGGAAGAAAGGACACAAUGUCUUGACAAUUUCUCUCGAGCUUAUCCCACUUUUAAUUUUGUGCACAGGAAGAAAGGAUACAAUGUUUUCUUGCCCAUCGAUAACUAAAAUGUUUGGAAGAGAUUAAGAGUUAUUUUUAAAAAUAUUGAAUAUGUUUUUGAGAGAAUGUGGGUUAGUUAAACUAAGUUGUUUAGAGAUUCUUAAAUAUUUUCAAAAAUCUCUGAUUUUAAUUUACUUUUAGAAUAUUUUUCCCUUUGAAAACUUUUAAAUAUCUAAAAAAAUUUCACCCAAACAAUAAAAAAUUACUAAGGUUUAAAAACUUUUAAAAAAUAUAUAUUAUAAAAUCAUUUUUUAUGAUAAGUUGCAAAACCCACAACUUUUUUAUAUUAAAUUCUAUGAUUUUGUUAUGAUUUUGAUAUAAAUAAUUUAUUUUUACUUAGACUUUGAUUUGGAUAAGUUUUAAGCCGAAAAUAUAAUAAGGAAUCAAAAUAGACUAUUUUGGAGCUAUUUUCGUAUGGAAGGUACAACUUUGUCCAAGCCCGACGGACAUAUUCCAAAAUUACUGUCUUACCAGCGGUAUAGAGUUCAAAAUUAUUUUAGAUAGAUGUAAACACAAUUAUAUCAGAAUUAGGAUAAGAGUUAUUAUACAAAUAGUAGAUUUAUUUUACUUUUUCUUUUAAAUUAUUUUUUGUCUGGGAAAAGUCUAUAUAAAGGUUGCCUUAGAAGUAGAAUCCAUCAUCUCUUCUCCUCUUCUCCACACUCUCUUUUUUGUCUCUCUUCAGCUGAACGCCCCUUCCCCUUCUUUUUUUUUAUUUUCUGCAAUUUUGUUAUACCACUUAGAGGCUAAACUCUUUUAUUCAGUUGAAAGUCAAUCAAAUUGAGAUUUAUUUAAAGUUGUGAGAUUUUAUUUUUAAUUUCUGUUCAUCUUAUUUAUGUUUUUAAGUAAUUUCUAUUUUCGAGGAACACUACCUCCAUUAUUAUCCUUUUAGGAAUUCAAGAAGUCUAUUAAAUUUCUUAGAAAGAUAAUAUAUUGCUAAUUAACCCAAAUAAAUAUGCAAUUGUUUAAUUGAGUUAAUACAAGUAGCAAUUAGCAUAUUCGUUUAUGUUAAGAAAUUAAUUGAUUUGGUUUAAAUAAUUCGCUUAAUAUUAUUGAUCAAGUUUGGGUUCUUAUCUUCUUAAAGCAGUUAAUUAAUUAAAUCUACACGCUUGAUGGGAUUAUUAAUUAACUAGGAAUCAAUUUAAGUACUACACAGAUUAAUUUAAUCAUAAGGAAGAAUUGGUGGAAUUCACUUGUUUGAACACUGUAACCAAACAAUAGAUAAUUAAGUGAGCUAUCUUUGAAUCAAUGAUCAACUACAAACCUCUCAAUUUUAAUUAUCUUCAGCUGAGUCAUUAAUCUGAUUAUUUAUUUCAUCAUCAAACCAUUUUAUUUCUUCUUUAGUUUUUUUAAACAAUUUCUCCAAUUGUAAUUUUCUUCUUAUCUCUUUUUGUUUUAAACUGUUUUUCUUAUUUUAAUUUUUAUUUAAUUUAAACAAAGUUAAAGUUUCUGUAGGAUCGACACUAAUUUACUCUAUUUGCAAAAUAUUUUAAAUCAAGAAAAGGGAAAUCAAUUUUAAUUGACGGAUUCGACGCCUAUCAAAUUUUGGCCCCGUUGCCGGGGACCUUUAAUAAUUUAUUUUUAUUUUUAUGACCAGGUUUGAAAAUAGUGGAAUUCAAUUUGAUCCAGAAAUCAAGACGACUGCAAAAUGGUUGAGGAAAGUAACCAAGAUGCAAAACCAGACCAAUUCGAAAGUCUCUCAACCACCUGCCUAAUCACCUCUACAUGAGAACGCCAAUGACUCCACAUCUUCAAGACCACCCGAACACCUAGUUGAGCUUAAUAGAAGAGAAACGAUAGCCGCAGUUGCUGAGAGCAACCUCUUACAUUACAUGCCCAGUGUUGAACGCAUUUCUAGAAUUGCAAAUAGGUGUAAUUCAUAUAUUAACAAAAUUCCAAGGGUUGGAGAAUGAAGACCCAUAUCGCCAUCUGAAAGAAUUUUACGUGGUUUGUUCAAGUAUGAGACCACAAGGGAUAACUGAUGAACAAAUCAAGUUUGUUGUCCCUUGAAGCAACCUAAGAGGGGGGUGAAUUGGGUUUAUAAAAAAUCUAAGGCAAAAAGACAAAUUAGAAGGCAAUAAGAAAGAAGAUAAUCAACACAAGGAUUUAUAGAGGUUCAGCUAUCUCAAGCCUACGUCCUCUCCUCAAGACCUCCUUGAGAGUUCAACUCCACUAUCAAAUCUUCUUUGGGUGAAGAUUAAAAUCCCUUACAAUCUUAGAGCAAACCUUUGCUCUUAACAAUUCUCUUUUUCACUCAAGAGCAAUCCUUUGCUCAAUACCACACCCACUACAAUAGAAACAAUCAACAACCUUCACUCACUCUUAAAAAAUCAACCAAUUAUAACUCAAGAUAGGCUUCCAAGAAAUUAAUGCUUUGGCUCAAGGUUUUAAGAGAGAGAGAGUGAAAAAUGCUUUAAUCUCAAUAAGUAUUUGCUUAGAUGGUUGUUGUAACCUUUUAAUAUCGAAAAUACAUUAUAUUUAUAGUUCAGUCAUAAAUAUGGCCAUUGGGGAUGCAUUAAAUGCAAAUAGAGUCAUUUGUGUAUAGAAAUAAUCGUUAUAUCGUGCUUAGAAAAACUCAGGUUUGACGGCCUAAGCUUAAAGUUCGACAACCGAACCAUUUGAGGUGAAGAACAUCCUCCUUAUAAAAACACUUUCGGUGACCGAAAGUCAAUGUUCCUCACUUUCGGAAGCCAAAGUUUUGACUUGGGGAAAUAUUGAAAACUCACUUUCGGCGGCCGAACAUAUGGGACUUUCGUCUCUGUCCCUCACUUUCGGAAGCCAAACAUUUAGCUUAGAGGGCAUCUCACCUUCGGCGGCCGAAAGUCAAUGUUCGGCGACCGAACAUAUGGAACUUUCGUCUCUGUCCCUCACUUUCGGAAGCCGAAGGUUACACUUUAGGGGGCAAGUUGAAAACAGACUUUCAGCGGCCUAAAGUCAAAGUUUGGCGGUCGAACAUAUGAGACUUUUGCCUCUGUCCUUCACUUUCGGAAGCCGAAAGUUUGACUUUAGGGGGCACAAAAAUAAUUCUUUAAAACUUUGAAAAAUCAUAACUUAGGCUAUAAAACUCUAAUUUUUAAUUCGUUUGAAUUUUUGCAACCUAUAUUUUUGAAUCUUUUAUUUUGAUAAAAAAAUUUUGAAAUCACUCCUUUUGGAAAAUUUCAUUUUGGUCCCUCAAAGUCAAUCACUCAAAACUCGGUCGUAUUUGUAAAACUUUUAGAAGUGAAAGAAACCUUGAGCCAUCACAAUUAAUUAAUUGAAAUUCACAAUGCAUAAAUUGACAAUGCAUAAAGAAAAAAUUACUUUCUGAUCCGUUUCUUGUGGUAUGCUUCCAAAAUUGGCACUUUUCACUUUUGAGACUGAAGGAAUUUCAUUUAUUUCAAUAAGGGGCCUAUAAGCUCAACACAAACACUUUUGAAGACAAUUAGUAGCACACCAAUUGUUUAUUAAUCAUCAAAAUAAGGAUUAGAACAUUUAGGUCCAACAAUCUCCCCCUUUUUGAUGAUGACAAACAAUUGGUAAAUAAUAAGAUAAUAAUCACAAGUGUAGUGUGUGCAUUUUAAAAAUUACUCUCCCUUAAUGUGCUCCCCUUUUCAAAAAUAUUUUAUGCCAUAUUUAAAAUUUGAGAAGACACAUAAGGGGGGGCUUUGACUCAAUGCAAUGAGAUGUAAUGGAUCCUAUAUGAAUGAAUGAACAAAAAAAUGCAUCUUAAGAAGAGCUAUAAUCAUACACAACAUUCAUAAUUCAAGAGAGUCAAAUAAAUGUCAAGGUAUCAACACAUCAUCUAAUAUCCAUAAAUCCAAAAAAAGUUAAAUAAAUGUCAAGGUAUCAACACAUCAUCUAAUAUCCAUAAAACUCAUCUAAUAUGCACAUAUAUGAUACCAUAAUACCAUCUCCCCCUUCUGACAUCAUGAAAAACAAAUAUACCACAAUACCAAAAGGGGAAUAACAAGAGCAACUAUAUAUAAAAAAAAUAUCACUGAGCAGGCUGAGGAGGUGGCACUCCAGAUGACUGCUAAAGGAAGUACAUAAUCUGGCUCUGCUGCUCUAUGAGGGUCUGCUGCUGGUCAGUGAGUCGUACUAACUGCUGCUUCAUCUGAGUCUGGCGAUCAGACAUCUGAGCAACCUGCAGCUCCAGACGACCCAUGGCAUCAUAAAGAUCAGAUGUAGUCCGGGAAGAUGUACCCUGCCCGAUAGACUGCCCUGUACUAGCAUCUCCUUUAGGAGCCUGCUCUGUCUCUGGAUCAGCAGGAGAACCAUCAUCUGACUCCUCAUCAUCAGAAGCAUCGUGUGUCUGCGCUGAUGAUCGUGCUGCUCUGCGUGCUGCAAAAUCUCUCCUAGAAUUAUAAAAUUCACUGCCUCUCCUAGUCAGACCCAUGUGGAGGAGAGUAGCCUCAGUGUAGGGGGUGUACUCACUAGAUAAGGGUAAGGCAGACUUAGUAUUUGGGUUAACUCUUAGGGCUCAGAGAAGAAGAGUAAGAUGGCAACCAAAGGGGAGACAACCUCUACUCAGCCUAAGGGAGUCUGCUAUGGUAUGAAUCAUGAUAUGUGGCAGGUUAAGAGCUCAACCCUCUAGCAGACAGGACACCACAAACAUAUCAGAGUAGGAGAGAGCAGUCCUAUGACCUGCUCGUGGGAGAACCUCAUAGGUGACAAUGUGAUGUACGACUUUAGGUAGGGUAGUGAGGUCACAGGUCAUAAGCCUAGAUGGCUGCUCACACUCGGCGUCUCCUGAAGGGAAGAGACCUCACCAGUGAUCCACUUAUGAGUAGUGGAGACGACAGCCCCAGAGUUACGGAUACCUAGGUGCUGAGUAAUGAUGUAAUACCCGGCUAGACUCCGGUAUCAGAAUUCCUACCGUCCGGUGGAAUCUCGGAUGUCGGAAACCUCUAGAAGGGUAAAAUCAUAUUUUUAUAAAAUGUUUUAAUGUAUUUUAUGGUUUUAAGCAAAAAGGAAAAUUGAGUUUUAAAUGGAAAAGACCAAGGAGACAUUUCCAGGUUCGGCCGCCGAACCUCAAGUUCGGCCGCCGAACAUUGGAUGGUUUAGGGGGGCAAGUUAGGCUUCCGAAAAUCUCAAAGGUUCGGCCGCCGAACCUUAUGUUUGGCCGCCGAACUUGCAUGAGAUGUGGGGGCACGUUCGGCUGCCGAAAGGUGGUCUGCCAGCCCUAUAUAAGAGCUCCAUGGCCGAAACGGGCGAAUUUUCUCCCCAUUUUCGGCCACGGUGAGUUCAUGCUCUCCUAUGGUUUGUUUUUUAUGUUGUUCCUCUGAUCUUUCAUGUUUUAACAAGCUUUAUGUUGAUUUGAAGAGUUUUGAGCAAAAAGAGCAAGUUUUGGAAACUUGGGGAUCAAAGAGCGGAUCUCUCCCAUCUCCGAGUUGGAUCGUCUCUCCUCUCGUUUCACAAGAGGUAAGAGUAGAUCCAUAGUUCAUUACAUGUUUUAAGUAAGUUUUAUGAGGUUUUAUGGGGUAGAAAUGCAUGUGUAGGUUUAUGUGAAGUUUAUGGGUUUACUGUGCGUUUAUGAACAAUGUAUGUUGGUUAUGCAUGUUUGAUGUGUAGUAGAUGGGGUUUAGGAUAGUUUGAAGCCCUUAGGAGCUUGUAUGCUUGAGUAUGUAUGUUGUAGAAUAGGAAAAUGCAUGAUUGUAUGAGUUGGGAGGCAUUUGUGCAUGUUGGAACUGAGUUUCUGCCCUUUGGGAGAAACCAGGUUCGGCAGCCGAAGGCUCUUUCGGCCGCCGAACUUGCCUUUGGUAGCAUGUAUCGGCUGCCGAACCCUGCCCUCGAAAGUGGACUUUCGGCUCUGGAAGGGAGUUUCGGCCGCCGAAGGUGCCGCCGAACAUGUAUGAGUUUCGUCUCUGGAGGGAACCUUCGGCCGCCGAAAGUGCCGCCGAAGGUGCAUGAGUUUUGGCUUUGGAGGGCCUUUCGGCCGCCGAACCUGCCGCCAAAAGUGCCCUGUUCAGCCCUCCUUUGCAUGAUUUCCAUGAUUGUUUUAAGGUGUUUUAGGGGGUUUUUGGGGGGUAUUUUAGAGUCAUGUUUAUGUAUGUUAGGUCCCUCAUUUGAGUCCACCUGUGUAGGUUCGAACCCGAGGAACCGAGGACCUCAGCAGUGAGAUAGUUGCUUCAGAGUCAUUAGAGCUUCAACCAGAGGUGAGUGGAAUAACUUCUUAUGUUUUAAAAUAGAAAUAAAUCAGUUUUAGCAUGAUUCACGCAUCAUGAAUGCCAUGAGAUAUAAUAGGAUGUUUGCAUUAGAAUUCACGAAUAUGUUGCAUUGCAUAUUAUGUUGAUGAUGUGGAUGAAUGUUGAAUGAUCCUUUAGUCCUCGUAUGGUAUGACUUGAUGUGAUAUGGUAUGGUAUGGAAGUCCAGGUCGAGGCCCAUUCUACGCCCCUGGCACUAUGUAAGAGAAAGACCAGGUCGAGGCCCAUUCUACGCCCCUGGCAUUAUUGGAAUGUUAUGUUAUGUAUGUUAUGAUAAGAGAAAGACCAGGUCGAGGCCCAUUCUAUGCCCCUGGCACUAUUGGAAUGUGUUGAGGACUAUUGGUGACAAAUUCAUCCUUGAUGUGAUUAGCUGUGAUGUGAUGCAUUCCAUAUUAUCAUGUGGUUUAAUUAUAAUAUUUUAUUAUUUUGCUCACUGGGCUCUAGUAGCUCACCCCUCUCCCUUAAACCCCAGGCUUGCAGGUACAGGGUAGACCAGGAGGUCAGCAGGAGUAGAGUCUUGAUGUAUGUAAUAGAUAGUUGUGGAUAUGAAUAUGAUGUAACGUAAAAGUAUAGUAUAGAAAUGUUAUGUAAUGAUGUUUAUGGAUGUUAGAGUUGUGCUUAACCAUAGUAUGUUGUAAAUCCCUUUUUAGUACAUGAUCUUAGGUGUGUAAUGAUGCUUAUAUGAACCAAACUCAAUACAUGUUAUGUCACCCCAUUGGAGCAUUGAUGAGACUCCAAGGAGGGGUUAAUGUUUAUGAUUAUGUUUAUGUAUAGUGCAUGCACAGGUUGAGUUUGGCGAAUGAAUGAAUGAAUGAAUGAAAAGAAAAGUUCAAAUUUUUUAUGUAUGUUGUUGAUCAUGUAUGGGAUUAAACAGGUUCACAGGAUGUAUGUUAGGCUUGCUACGGGUCCUGGCGGUCUUAAGCCGAUCUGGAUCCUAGCGCCGGUAGCGGUCCGGUUUCCAGAUCGUUACAAAUGAUGUCAGGAGUGAGAUAAACUCGCUGACCAUUAACAAAACUGACUAGGUGGGGGGGAAAGUGACGUGUGAAAGUGUGUAGGUUAGCAUAAAACUCCUUAACUAUCCUAGGGUGAGUGUCUGAGGGAGUGAUAAGAAGAUGCUCCCAACCCUGGACAAUAAAUGGCUGACGAAAACCAUGAGAGCGAAAUAACUGAACACUGUUAGCAUGCACGAUUCUCCCAAGAUGAACAAAUCUGAGAGAAAAAGGCUGAAAGGUAGGAUCCUCCUCUCUGACUAUUGGGUACUCAAAGGGUGGAGAUGUAAGAGGGUCUAGGGAGGUGGACCUAGGAGGCUCAGCUUGCCUACUAGACUGACCUCUAAAGUAUGGGUGUCUAUGGGCUAUUUGUUUUCUUCCCAUUUUUCAAACAGACAAGAGCUAGAGAGGAAUAUGAUAUAAACAAAACAAAAAAAAAAUGACAAACAAGAAAAGGUCAUCCCAUAAGCAACACAAUACCACAAAAACCAGCCAACAAGCAACACAAUAACAAAUAACAACCAGAUAUCUAUCAUUGCACCAACCCAUAACCAACAGCAGAAAUCAUCCCAAAAAAAACUAAGUUUUGAUUAUUCACAAUUUGCAAAAAAAAAAAAAAAAUUUGUAAAACUAAACAAAUCAGAUAAAAUAACCCAACUAACAAAAUGUAUUUAUAAAGAGAAAAAUAAAAAUUACCCAACAUAUUUUAUAUGCCCAUAUCAUCAAUUUCAUAAAAAACACAACCCUAGGCAGAUUAGAGAGCUAAAAACAAGAUCAAAUCAAAAGAAAAUAAAGUAAAAAGCAUAAAAAAAAAUAGAGAGAGAAAGGUUUCAUACCCAAACUUAAAAAGCUCCAAAUGGUUUCCUUGAGAAGAAAAGAAAGUGAUUUUGUGCAUUUGAGUGAAGAAAGAGAGGAAAAAUGGAGGUUUUUGGGGGGAAAAUGGCUUAGAUCAGCCGAUUUUCGAAGAGGAAGCUGAAGAGAGCUUCGGGGAGAGAGAGAGAGUCGCAUGAGGAAGAUGAAGAAGACGAUGAGCUGUUGUGGGGGUUUUUAAAAAACGCGUAGUUUCGGCGGCCGAACUAAGAUUCGGCGGCCGAAACUGGACAAUUUUUGGUGGCCAAACUUGGACAAUGUUGUAAGUGUAUUUACCCUAGGCCAUUAUCUUGGACCUUUUUGUAUGUCAUUUUGGUUAUUAAUAAAAGAGGUUUUUAUUAUCAUUAUUAUUUGUUUGCAUAUUACAUAAUAAUGAUUCACAUCCCUAGUUACUUAUUAUUAUGUUGCUAAUAAUAAAAUAUAGCUAGUAUGAUUAUUGAUUGAUAUUCAUGAGAUGAUUAUGUAUAUGUUGAUAUAAUUCAAUAAUCAUAGAUACUUGUUAGAGAACAAAGUAUUGGAUGGACUCGCACUGAGAUUACUACAUGGGUUAUUGUCAUAAGUGAAUCUCAAAGUAAUUAUGUCUUAAUCUUUUGACUUGAGAUUGUCAUAGUAUCCAAUAUAAGGACUGCUAUGCUUUGACAUAACCAAACAUUAUUUUUAAUCGGACAAUCAUAAAGGUUAUGAUUGAGCAUGAUAGAAAUUAUGUAGAGGAUAUUGAACAAUCAAGAUAGAAUUUGUCCAUCUCUCUAAGAGAGAUAUCUUCUGGGCCCCUCGAUAAGUGACACUGAGAAAUGCAUGGCCGUGCUCAAAUGAAUUGAUAGUGUAAUCAAUAUCAUUUGAAUUUAUCAGUCUACUUAGAGAUCGAGAAAUCAUAAGUUUGAACAUUAUAAGUUUGACAUUGACCAUGACUUAUGUUCAAACUAGAUAUCGUGUGACAAAGGGAUUAAUACAUAUUCUAUUCAUUAGGCUUUAUCAGACUAUUGAUUCUCAUAUUAGUUGAGUAGUCAUAAUGUCUUGUUAGAGGCCGCUUAUGACUUAUGGGCCUUGUGAGACUAGGCCUAUUGCCAAUUAAUGUGAGCCUAUUGGGUCACACACAAAAAAACAUUGUUGAUGUGCUAUGUCAUAUUAAUGGGCUAAAAGCCCAAAGCCCAUUAAUAUAAUUAAUAAUAAUAAAGUGUUAUUAUUAAUAAUAUUAAUCAUUAAUAUAAUUAAUAAUAAUAAAGUGUUAUUAUUAUUAAUUAUUUAUUAUUAUAAGAUAAUAAUAUUUAAAAGAUCUACGGUCUAUCUGUAACUGUACAGAUAAAGGACUCUAUCACAUAAGAUAUUUAAGUAUCUGUGAGAUUGUGAUAGUUGGUUAUGAACAUAACUCUAUCACAUAAGAUAUUUGAGUAUCUGUAAGAUCGUGAUAGUGGGUUCUGAACACAACUCUUUUACGAAAAGAAUUGUGGGAAAAUAAAAGACUAAAAACAUAUAAAACCUCUUCUGUGAAGUGGAAGACAAAUGUUUUUUGGGUUUUUAGAGAAAUCUUUUCUAGUUGCAGAUUGGAAGCACAUAGAUUAUCCAUCUCAAGAGAGCUAGCACUCUAGAAGGAUAAUAGACGUUCCUAUGGAUACCAUUGAGGGUGUUUGUUUGAAAAAGCAGCACCAUUAGUCUGGCAUUGUAUCUUCUUAACGAGAUUAACAGGUUAGUCUCAUAUCCUUCCUUUGAAAUAAACGAAGCACUCGGAUUAUGGGAAGGAAAUCAGAGUUUUUUAUUUUUUCGCUGCAUAAUUUGGGUUGUAAUAAUCUCUGGAUUUUCCAACAGUGGUAUCAGGGCCUACCUGUGCUUUUCGUUUAAGUUAAUUAUGCCAUGAUUGAUGUGAUAUAUGCGAUAUAUGCUUAUUUGAAUGGCAUAAUAAUUAUGUAAAAUUUUAUGGAUGAAUGAUAGGAUCUUUUAGGUAAUUUUUGUUAGAAAAAUUAAAUUAAUAAAUAAGUAAAAAAAAAGGAUGAAUUUGCAACUGGAUUCACGAUGAACAGUCAUCGUGAACCCAUAAAUUAGCGAGGCUGAUAGGCGGACAUGGAGGGCGUGUGACGACCCUUCCAUCAUCGCAUCCAGUCGUUGCUGAGUCCUGGUCCGACGUGGUUAACCACACACUUUGGAAUUUCAAUGUUGUGUGAAAGAAUCACGAUUGGGGCAUCAUUGCAGAUGUCGCGGGCUGAAGCUGCUGUUUGUUACAGGAGAUCGCGACUUCCUUUGCAAUGCCGUCGAUCUUGCGCUCGAUUGGCGAUGGACGGGACAUCGGUGGGGGCGCAAAUGUUGCGCGUGCUUCUGAGUGCUGGUCUCCCAACGCAUGUGUAGAGAUUCUCAUGCGGUGGCUAGGGCUUCUUCCUAAGGAAGAAGAUGAUGCUCUAAUUACAAUUCUGCCCGUGGAAAUUUAAAAUAAAUAAAAUAAAUAAAUAAAAAAUUUUAAAUGAGAAAAUAAAUUUUAAAAUUAUUUUCUUUUAGUCUUUAAAUCAUAUUUAAAUGACUAUGUAAAAUAGUUUUAUUAUUUUGUCAUAUAUUAGUAUAAGAUACUAUGAACUAUAGUCUAUAUAUAUGUAUGCAUAUAGGAUGCUAUAACGUAUAUAUAUGCAAGACAAUAUAAUUAAAAUUGAAAGUUGAACCCUCAAUAUAAAUUUUAAGUUUUAAUGCCACCUAUAUAUUAAAUGCCUAUCAAAACUAAGAUCACCAAAAUGCAGGUUUUGCCAAAGCAAAUUGCUUAGGUUAUCUUAGUAAGAUAGGAUGAGUAAUAGUUACUCAUUUAUUUAAUUUUGGUUGGACUUAAUUAGGCUAUCAAAACGGUUUUGGGCCUAAGGUAUUAGAAGAGGUAUAAUAUGUAUUUGACAUAUGAUGUCAACACCUCAUAAUCUAAGAGUUACAUUAGAUGUAAUUGGUAAGGAGUUGCCUACCUAAAUAACUUAAUUCUAAGCGUCAUGCCAAAACUGACUUGGAAUUAGGUGAAAUAUGGAUUUUAGCCCACUAAAAUAUUAUUAUUGUAAUAAUUCUUUUUGAGGGUUGUAUUUUAGUGGGAGAUUAUUAUCACCUUAAUAUUAAUUUACUGAAUUGAUUAUAUUUGAAUAUUUUGUAGAUCAUUAUGGCUGCUAAUAACAAUUCCACUUCAUCACUGUGAUCCAUCCUUGAGAAGGAUAAACUGAAAGAAAAUGGGAUUAAUUUUGUUGACUGGUUUAGAAACUUGAGAAUUGUUCUCAAGCAAGAUAAAAAGUCCUAUGUGCUUGAUGAAGCUAUCCUUGAACCACCUCCUGCUGAUGCUAUUAAUGCUGUUAAGAACAAGCAUAAGAAGCAUAUGGUUGAUUCUAAUGACAUUGGAUGUCUUAUAUUGGCAACUAUGUGCCCAGAACUUUAGAAGGAUCUGGAGCACCUUGAGGCCUAUGGGAUGAGUGUCCAUCUCAAACAGGCUUUCCAACAGCAAGCAAGGCAGGAUAGGUAUGAAACUACCAUUGCAUUGCAUGAUUGCAAAAUGGCUGAAGGUGAAUCAGUUAGUGCUUAUGUUUUGAAAAUGAAAGGCUACAUUGAUCACCUUGCUAGGCUUGUUAUCCUCUAAGUUUAGAACUCUCUACGGAUUUGAUCCUACAUUCUUUACCUGACAGUUUUUGUCAGUUUGUCAUGAACUAUAACAUGAACAAUAUGGAGAAAUCCAUUCCUGAGCUGCAUGGGAUGCUAAAGACAGCUGAAGUAAAUAUCAAGAAAAGGCCUACCCAAAUUUUGAAUGUCAAUAAGGGUAAGCCCAUGAAAAAUAAGGGGAAGCCCAAGUCUAAAGGUGGUAAUGGGCCUAAGGGACGAGGCAAGCCUAAAUGGCAACCCAAGGCAAAAGUUCCUAAGGAAAUAGUUCCUAAGGAAGGAAUCUACUUCCAUUGCAAGGAACCAGGGCAUUGGAAGAGAAAUUGCAAACUCUAUUUGGAUGAGUGCAAGAAGAAGAAGAGUAGUGAGACUAUGACUUCGGGUAUUUAUGUUAUAGAUAUUAAUUUAUCUAUUUCUACUUCAUGGGUAUUGGAUACCGGAUGUGGUUCUCACAUUUGUACAAAUGUGCAGGGUCUCAAAAGGAGUAGAAAACUGAAAAAGGGCGAUGUGGACCUACGUGUAGGCAAUGGAGCAAGAGUUGCUGCCUUAGCUGUAGGGACUUAUGAACUUGUUUUUCCCAAUGGGCUUUUGUUAGUUUUGAACAAUUGCUUUUAUGUUCCUACUUUGAGUAGGAAUAUUAUUUCAGUUUCUGUUUUGGACGAUGAAGGUUUUUCAUUUCUUAUUAAGAAUAAGAAAUGCUCCAUUUAUAAAGAUGAUUUGCUUUAUUGUAUUGCAAAUUCAUAUGAUGGCCUUUAUGUCCUUAAUCUAGAUGAUUCUAGAGACAACAAUAUCUAUAACAUAACUUCUAAGAAAACUAAGCCAAAUGAGUUAAACCUAACAUAUUUAUGGCAUUGUCGUCUUAGCCAUAUAAAUGAGAAUCGCAUAUCUAAGCUCCAUAAGGAUGGUUUAUUAGAUUCAUUUGAUUUUGAAUCAUUUGAAAAUUGUGAAUCUUGUUUGCUUGGUAAGAUGACAAAGGACCCUUUUAUUGGACAAGGUCAAAGGGCUUAAGACUUAUUGGGCUUAAUACAUACAGAUGUAUGUGGCCCACUAAGCAUUAGUGCCAGGGAAGGUUAUCAGUACUUCAUUACAUUCACUGAUGAUUUUAGUAGGUAUGGCUAUGUCUACCUAAUGAAACAUAAGCAUGAAUCUUUUGAAAUGUUUAGAACUUUUCAAAAUGAAGUACAAAAUCAACUUGGUAGAACUAUUAAAAUGCUUCGAUCUGAUCGAGGUGGUGAAUAUUUGAGCCAAGAGUUUGAUGAACAUCUUAGAAAUUAUGGAAUUGUUUCACAAUUAACUCCUCUAGAAACUCCACAAUGGAAUGGUGUUUUUGAAAGGAGAAAUCAAACUUUAUUAGAUAUGGUUCGAUCUAUGAUGAGUCAAACAAAUCUCCCUUUAUCAUUUUGGGGUUAUGCCUUGGAAAUAGCUGCAUUCAUUUUAAACUGAGUACCAUCGAAAGCGGUUGAAAAGACACCAUAUGAGUUAUGGACUGGCAAAAUGCCCAGUUUGUCUUUGCUUAAGAUUUGGGUUUGUGAGGUUUAUGUUGAACGCCCAAUUUCAGAUAAGCUAGCUCCAAAAUCUAUCAAGUGCAAUUUUGUGAGGUAUCCUAAGAAAACCAAAGGAUACUAUUUCUAUAUUUCCUCAGAGAACAAAGUGUUUGUUGCUCGAAAUGGUACCUUUUUAGAAAAGGAAUUUAUUUCUCAGAGAUUCAGUGGGAGUACAGUGUGACUUGAGGAAACUCAAGCACCACAAGAGAGCAUUAAACCGCCGAUAGAACCACUUUCAGAACCACAAAUAGUUGUGGAAACUGAAAGGGUGACACAAGUCCCACGCAGAUCUGAUAGGACACGUCAUCAGCCUGAGAAAUACAGAUUUCUCAUGACUGAUAGUCGUGAACUUUUGCUCCUUGAUCAAUAUGAGCCUACUACCUAUCAAGAGGCUGUGUCAGGUCUAGAUUCUGAGAAAUGGCUUUCUGCCAUGAAAUCUGAAAUGCAAUCCAUGUAUGACAAUCAAGUUUGGUCAUUAAUUGAUUCCCCUGAGGGUGUUAAGACCAUUGGUUGCAAAUGGGUUUUCAAGAAGAAAACUGACAUGGAUGGAAAUGUGCAUACCUACAAAGCAAGGCUUGUCGCAAAAGAUUUCAAAUAAACUCAUGGUAUAGACUAUGAUGAGCCCUUUUCGCCAGUUGCAAUGCUUAAGUUGGUUAGAAUUCUCAUUGCCGCAUACUAUGAUUACGAGAUAUGGCAAAUGGAUGUCAAAACAGCUUUCUUUAAUGGAAACUUGCUCAAGGAUGUGUACAUGACACGACCUGAGGGUUUUGUAAUCCCUGAGAAUUCUGGAAAGAUUUGCAAGCUUCAAAGAUCCAUUUAUGGAUUGAAGCAAUCUUCUCGGAGUUGGAAUCUUCAUUUUGAUGAGACAGUCAGGGACUUUGGAUUCAUCAAGAAUGAAGAUGAACCUUGUGUUUACAAGAUGGUUAGUGGGAGUGCGGUUGUGUUUCUAGUCCUAUAUGUGGAUGACAUAUUACUCAUUGGAAAUGAUAUCCCUACCUUGCACAAGGUUAAGACUUGGUUAGGGAAUUCUUUUUCAAUGAAGGACUUAGGUGAGGCUGCAUAUAUCCUUGGUGUUAAGAUCUAUAGGGAUAGAUUCAAGAGGAUAAUCGGUCUGAGUCAAAGUACUUAUAUUGACAAGGUGCUGAAAAUUUUCAGCAUGCAAGAUUCCAAAAGAGGAUUCUUGCCCAUGUCUCAUGGUAUUCAUCUCAGCAAGAAUCAAUGUCCUAUGACAUCUGAUGAGCGAGAACGAAUGAAUAAGAUUCCUUAUGCUUCUGCUAUUGGAUCUAUCAUGUAUGUCAUGUUAUGUACCAGACCAGACGUCUCAUAUGCCUUGAGCACAACAAGCAGAUAUCAGACAGAUUCCGGUGAAAGUCACUGGACAGCUGUUAAGAAUAUCUUAAAGUACCUUAGAAGGACUAAGGAUGCAUUCCUAGUUUAUGGAGGUUUGGAAGACGAGCUAGUUGUAAAUGGUUACACAGAUGCUAGUUUCCAAACCGAUAUAGAUGAUUUCAAAUCGCAGUCAGGAUUUGUAUUCACGUUAAAUAGUGGAGCUGUUAGUUGAAAAAGUUCCAAGCAGAGCACUGUAGCAGAUUCUACAACAAAAGCUGAGUAUAUAGCAGCAUCAGAUACAGCUAAGGAGACAGUCUGGUUGAAGAAAUUCAUCUCAGAGUUGGGAGUGGUUCCCAGCAUUGCAAAUCCUAUGGACCUUUAUUGUGAUAACAAUGGUGCCAUAGCACAGUCAAAGGAGCCCAGAUCUCAUCAGAGAUCUAAACAUAUACUCAGACGAUAUCACCUUAUUCGAGAGAUCAUUGAUAGAGGAGAUAUCAAAAUAUGCAAAGUAAACACAAAUGACAACAUUGCAGAUCCACUGACCAAGCCUCUCUCACAGGUCAAGCAUGAUCAGCACACUAGGUCUAUGGGUAUUAGAUACUUGUAUGAUUAGGCCUAGUACAAGUGGAAGAUUGUUAGUGUAUUUGCCCUAGGCCAUUAUCCUGGACCUUUUUUUAUGUCGUUUUGGUUAUUAAUAAAAGAAGUUUUUAUUAUCAUUAUUAUUUGUUUGCAUAUUACAUAAUAAUGAUUCACAUCCCUAGUUACUUAUUAUUAUGUUGAUAAUAAUAAAAUAUAGCUAGUAUGAUUAUUGAUUGAUAAUCAUGAGAUGAUUAUGUAUAUGUUGAUAUAAUUCAAUAAUCAUAGAUACUUGUUAGAGAACAAAGUAGUGGAUGGACCCGCACUGAGAUUACUACAUGGGUUAUUGUCAUAAGUGAAUCUCAAAGUAGUUAUGUCUUAAUCCUUUGACUUGAGAUUGUCACAGUUUCCAACAUAAGGACUGUUAUGCUUUGACAUAACCAAAAAUUUUCUUUAAUCGGACAAUCAUAAAGGUUAUGAUUGAGCAUGAUAGAAAUUAUGUAGAGGAUAUUGAACAAUCAAGAUAGAAUUUGUCCCUCUCUCUAAGAGAGAUAUCUUCCGGGCCCUUCGAUAAGUGAGACUGAGAAAUGCAUGGCCAUGCUCAAAUAAAUUGAUAGUGUGAUCAAUAUCAUUUGAAUUUAUCAGUCUACUUAGAGAUCGAGAAAUCAUAAGUUUGAACACUAUAAGUUUGACAUUGACCAUGACUUAAGUUCAAACUAGAUAUCGCGUGACAAAAGGAUUAAUACAUGUUCUAUUCAUUAGGCUUUAUCGGACUAUUGAUCCUCAUAUUAGUUGGGUAGUCAUAAUGUCUUGCUAGAGGCCGCUUAUGACUUAUGGGCCUUGUGGGACUGGGCCUAUUGCUAAUUAAUGUGAGCCCAUUGGGUCACACAUAAAAGAACGUUGUUGAUGUGCUAUGUCAUAUUAAUGGGCUAAAAGCCCAAAGCCCAUUAAUAUAAUUAAUAAUAAUAAAGUGUUAUUAUUAUUAAUAUUAAUCAUUAAUAUAGUUAAUAAUAAUAAAGUGUUAUUAUCAUUAAUUAUUUAUUAUUAUAAGAUAAUAAUAUUUAAAAGAUCUGCCAUCUAUCUGUAACUAUUACAGAUAAAUGACUCUAUCAUAUAAGAUUUUUGAGUAUCUGCGAGAUUGUGAUAGUUGGUUAUGAACACAACUCUAUCACAUAAGAUAUUUGAGUAUCUGCGAGAUCGUGAUAGUGGGUUCUAAACACAACUCUUUUACGAAAAGAAUUGUGGGAAAAUGAAAGUCUAAAAACAUAUAAAACCUCUUCUGUGAAGUGGAAGGCAAAGGUUUUUUGGGUUUUUAGAGAAAUCUUUUCUAGUUGCAGAUUGGGAGCAUAUAGAUUAUCCAUCUCAAGAGAGCUAGCACUCUAAAAGGAUAAUAGACGUUCGUGUGGAUACCAUUGAGGGUGUUCGUUUGAAAAAGCAGCACCAUCAGUCCGGCAUUGUAUCUUCUCGACGAGAUUAACAGGUUAGUCUCAUAUCCUUCCUUUGAAAUAAACAAAGCAUUCAGAUUCUAGGAAGGAAAUCAGAGUUUUUUAUUUUUCCGCUGCGCAAUUUGGGUUGCAAUAAUCUCUGGAUUUCCCAACAAAUGUUAGGCGGCCGAAUAAAAUGUUAGGCGGCUGAAAAGAAGAGAAGAAAAAGAGAGAAUUUCCCGCUUUUCGUAUUGCCUUUGAAACUUAAGGUUAGGGGGCCAAAUAUGCGUUCGAACCUGAAAUUUUUGGGCUCCUUUUUUUUUAAAAAAAAAAUUUUAAUUAAAGAAAUUUAGAAAGAAUUCUAAAGUGUUUUGAACAAAAAAUUAAAUCAUUGAGGAGAAUAAAUAAUUUAAAAUGACAUUUUCAUUACAAUUCAUUUUGGGUAUGUCAAAACAUGAAAAAACAAUAAAAAAGAUAUCAAACCAUUUGACAAACUAAAAUAUAGAACAAGUAAAGGAAAGAAAAAAAAAUUAAAAACACAUACUUAACAAACAACACCAUCUAACAUUCCCAAUUCCCUUUUAAUAAAGUUAAAUCUUUCUUCAUUUAAAGGUUUAGUAAAAAUAUCAGCUAAUUGGUUGUUUGUAUCCAUAAACUCAAGAACAAUGUCACCAUUUAACACAUGAUCGCGAAUGACAUGAUGUCUAAUGUCAAUAUGCUUAGUUCUAGAAUAUUGAAUGGGGUUCUUGGUUAGAUUGAUUGCACUAGUAUUAUCACAUUUAAUAGGAAUUUGAUCAAGAGAUACUUCAAAAUCUCUCAAUUGUUGCUUAAUCCAAAGGAUUUGACUACAAUAAAGACCCGCCGCCACAUAGUCGGCUUCGGCGGUUGAAAGUGCAACUGAAUUUUGUUUCUUGCUAUACCAAGAAACAAGAGAUUGUCCUAGAAUUUGACAAGUACCCGAGGUACUUUUCCUAUCAAGGAUGCUUCUAGCAAAGUCGACAUCCGAGUAGGAAUACAAACUAAAGGAAGUAUUUCUAGGAUACCAUAACCCCAAAUGUAAUGAACCAUUCAAAUAUCUAAGAUUGCGUUUAACGGCAUGCAAAUGUGACUCUUUAGGACAUGAUUGAAAACGUGCACACAAGCAUACAGAAAACAUAAUAUCUGGUCUAGAUGCGGUGAGGUAUAAAAGGCUUCCGAUCAUACCUCUAUAGAGCUUUUCAUCAAUCGAUUUACCUUUUUCAUCGUUGUCAAGCUUGGUGUUUGUGCUCAUUGGAGUUCUACUAGGCUUGCUAUUCUCCAUUCCAAACCUUUUGAUUAGCUCCUUUGUGUAUUUGGCUUGGUUGAUGAAGAUGCCAUCCUUAGCUUGUUUGAUUUGAAGCCAAAGGAAGAAUUUGAGUUCUCCCAUCAUGCUCAUCUCAAACUCGGUUUUCAUAACUUUUGAAAACUCUUCACACAAACACACAUUAGUAGCACCAAAUAUGAUAUCAUCAACAUAUAUUUGCACUACAAGGAUGUCAUUUUUAUGAUUUUUGACAAAAAAUGUUGUAUCCACUUUUCCUUUUGAAAAACCAUUUUGCAAAAGGAAAUUAUUUCAUACCAAGCUCUUGGAGCUUGUUUUAAGCCAUACAAAGCUUUUGACAAUUUAAAAACAUGAUUUGGAAAGUCAUGAUUUUUAAACCCCGGAGGUUGCUCAACAUAAACCUCCUCUUCAAUAAAACCAUUUAAAAAGGCACUUUUCACAUCCAUUUGAAAGAGUUUAAAAUUCAUAUAGUAUGCAUAUGCAAGCAAGAUUCUAAUGGCUUCUAAUCUAGCUACGGGGCAAAUGUUUCAUCAUAGUCUAUGCCCUCCUCUUAGUUAUAGCCUUUAGCUACUAACCUAGCUUUGUUUCUAAUGAUGUUGCCAUCCUCAUCAAGCUUAUUUCUAAACACCCAUUUGAUGCCUAUAGUGGGGUGAUGUUUAGGUCUAGUAACUAAGGUCCAAACCUUGUUCCUUUCAAAUUGGUUGAGUUCUUCUUGCAUAGCAAGAACCCAACUCUCAUCACUAAUAGCCUCAUCUAUAGAUUUAGGUUCUAUAUGAGAUAUGAAUGCAAUAUUAUUACAUACAUGUCUAAUAGAGGAUCUAGUUGUUACCCCUUGUGAUGCAUCACCAAUUAUUUGGUCCUUGGGGUGAUCCUUCUUAUAGGUCUAAUCCUUUGGCAAGUCAUGUUGAGCUCCUUGACUUUGUGUAAUUUGCAUUUGUUGCUCUUGGAGUCCAACCUCAUCUUUCUUUGUCUCUAUUGAAUCCUCUUUAGGUAGACUUUGAUCUCCAUGAGGUUGACGAUCUUCAAUAGUCAACUCAUCAAGGUUAUAUCUACAAGAUCAUCAUCACAAGCUACCUCCUUUCUAGGGGCAAAGGGAUUAGAUUCAUAAAAAACAACAUGCAUUGACUCUUCAACUAUCAAGGUUCUUUUAUUGAAAAUUCUAUAUAAUUUACUAGAUGUAGAGUAUCCUAAGAAGAUACCUUCAUCGGUUUUGGAGUCAAAUUUGCCUAAAUUAUCCUUGUUGUUUAAUAUGAAGCACUUACAACCAAAAACUCUAAAAUAACUAACUCUAGGUUUUCUUCCAUUCCAAAGCUCAUAAGGAGUCUUAUUUAAGAGAGGCCUAAUUAAAACUCUAUUUGAAACAUAACAAGCCGUAUUUAUGGCUUUCGCCCAAAAAUAAAUAGGUAGAUUAUACUCUCUUAACAUAGUCCUCCCUGUAUCUAAAAGAGUUCUAUUUUCUCUUUCAACAACACCAUUUUGUUGAGGAGUCCUAGGAGAUAAAAAGUUAUGAGAGAUUCCUAACUUAUUACAAAAGAUUUCAAAUCUUUCAUUUUCAAAUUCUCUACCAUGAUCACUCCUUAUAGAAGAAAUUUGAAAACUUUUUUCAUUUUGAACUUUCUUUGCAAAACUUUUAAAGGCAUCAAAACAAUCAUCCUUAUGAGCAAGGAACUCAACCCAAGUGUACCUAGACUAGUCAUCAACUAUAACAAACCCAUAAUGCAUGCCACCAAGACUAGCUACCCUAGUUGGACCAAAUAAAUCCAUAUGCAAAAGUUGUAAAGGCCUAGAAGUGAUUACCUUGUUAAUAGAUUUAAAAGAGCUUUUAACUUGCUUACCUAUUUGACAUGCGUCACACACUUUGUCCUUUUCAUAUUUGACCUUUGGAAGGCCAUCAACUAGCUCAUCUUUGCUCAAAUAUUUGAGAAGAUCCAUGCUAGCAUGAGAAAGUCUUCUAUGCCAAAUCCAAGAGUUAUCACUAAUAGAAAUAAAGCACUUCAUAUCUAGGUUAGUCAUAUCUUGUAAAUCAAUAAGAUAGAUAUUUUCAACUCUUUCACCAAUAAACAAUAUUUUGUUAUCCGACAUUCUAGAGACAAAACAUGAUUUUGGUUCAAAGAUAACUCUACAACCUUUAUCACAUAAUUGACUUACACUUAAUAAGUUAUGCUUCAAACGAUCAACUAAGAGAACCUUAUCAAGAAUAGGAGAGUUUUCCUUAUCGACUUUACCUAUUCCAAUAAUUUUACCUUUUCCAUUAUCUCCAAAAGUUACUUGUCCGCUUUCGUCUUUCUUUUUAAGAGAGAUGAAGUGACUUGGAUUUCCGGUCAUGUGCCUUGAACAUCUACUAUCUAGAUACCAUUUGCUUUCAAUUUUUAAGGAUUUCAAGCACACCUAAAGAAAAGAGAUUCAAAAACUUUUAGGUACCCAAAUGUACUUGGAUCCUUGGGGGUUAGUCAUUUCAUUUUCAAAUUUCCAUAUGCUACCAUAUCCAAGAUGUAAUUUUCUAAUAGUACACCUAUAGUUGGUAUGACCAAACUUGCCACAAUAGUGACAACGACCAUUGAACUUUCUUAUUCUAGGUCCAUAGGUGAGUGAGUGUGUUUGAGUUCUCAUGUAGCCAUUUCUCCCUUGUUUAUUAAAAGCAUGUGAGCAAGAGAUAUGAUGAGAGUGGUGAUUGCGUGAACUAGAAAUGUGUGUUCUAUAAUGAUCAUUUCUUUUAUAUGCAAAUCGCCUAGGUGUGUGUCUUAUACUAGUAUUGUAACUAGUGGAUUGGUGUACAUAUGCAUUCCUUAUAGGUGUAUUUCUUAUAGGUGCAUUCCUUAUAGACAUAUUACUACUAGAAGCUUUAGGUAUAUUUCAAUUAAAGCUAUAUACCUUAGGUUCAUUUAAGUUAGUAGCUUUAACAAAAACCGUCUUAGAAGAAUUUGCUUAAGUUGAUUUAUCAUAGCCAAGGCUAUACUUGAUGCUAGGAGACCUUUGAGAGUAAUAUUUCAUCAAGUUUGUCCUUGCCUUUUAAAAAUUUUGAAAGAGAAUUUUUCAACUCAAGGAUUUCAUUUUUUAGAUUUUUAUUUUCUAAUGAGAGCUCAUCUAAGGAUUUUUGUAAAUGAUCAUUUGAGGGUAAAGGUUCCUUAGGUGAGUUCUCACUUUUCCUUUUUAAGCUAGCUAACUCACAUUUCAAAAUUUUAUUUUUCUUAUGACUCUUUUCAAGUUCAUCAUUCAUCAAUUUUAAAGCACCAACAAGUUCAUCAUAAGAAAAUUCAACAACAUCAUCAUAUAAGGUAGUGUUGUCAAUAGUAGUUACCUCAUCGGAGCUUUUCUCUAGAGCCAUGAAGCACAUGUUGGCAAUUUCAUCACCAACGUCCUCCUCUUCGAUAUCACUUGACUCAUCCCAUGUUGCUUUGAAGGCCUUCUUCUUGAACUUUUUGAUAGGCUUCUUCAACUUGGGACAAUCCACUUUGUAGUGACCCGGCUUAUUGCACUCAUAGCAAAUGACUACUUCCUUUUUGCUUGAUUCACCUUUUUUCUUUCUAAAAUUCUUCCUUGGGAUGAACUUUUUAUUUUGGAGAAGCAACUUCCUUAUUCUCCUAGUCACUAAGGCUAAUUCUUCCUCACUUAUUUCUUCUUCUUCCUCACUAGUAUCUUCGGAGGCUACCCUUAGAGCAAUGUUCUUUUUUAUUUUGCUAGGUUCCUCUACUUGCACUCUCUUUAGAGUCAUCUCAUAAUCAAUGAGGUUCCCCAAAAGUUCAUCCAAUUACACUUUGCUCAAGUCUUUGGCAUCCUUUAAAGAAGUUACUUUUGGUAGCCAUUCUUUAGGUAGACAUCUAAGGAUUUUCUUCACCAAUUCUUCAUUUGUGAAUGUCUUCCCAAGAGAUGUCUUCCCAAGAGAUUUCAUCCCUCCAAUGAUCUCAAUGAACCUAUCAUACAUUUGACUAAUAGUUUCAUCGGAUUUCAUUUUGAACAAUUCAUAUUGGUAGAUUAGGGAUUCCAUCUUAUUUUCUUUGACUUGAUUGGUUCCUUCAUGAGUGACAACCAAAGCAUCCCAAAUUUCCUUUGCGGUAGACUUCAUGCAUACUUUGUUGUACUCACUUCUACUAUGAGCACAAAACAAGAUGUGAAUGGCUUUGUCAUUAAGGGCUAUCCUUCUCUUUUCUAGUUCACUCCAUUCACUCUUGGGUUUUUGCUCUUGGUUUCCUUCUAUCACUCUUGUGGGAAAGAAAGGACCAUUCUCUACAAUAUCCCACAAAUCAACUCCUUCCGAUUUGAGGAAAUAAUACAUUCUAUUUUUCCAAUAUAAAAAGUCACUUCCAUCAAAGAAAUGUGGCCUCACAACCGAUUGACCUUCUUGAGAAUUGAGGGUUGCCAUCCGAUCUUUUCUCCAAGAUGAUUAAAUCUUCAAGAUAGGGAGACUUAGCUCUGAUACCACUUGUUGUCCCUUGAAGCACACAAGAGAGGGGGUGAAUUGGGUUUAUAAAAAAUUUAAGGCAAAAAGACAAAUUAGAAGGCAAUAAGAAAGAAGAUAAUCAACACAAGGAUUUAUAGAGGUUCAGCUAUCUCAACCCUAUGUCCUCUCCUCAAGGCCCUCCUUGAGAGUUCAACUCCACUAUCAAAUCUUCUUUGGGUGAAGAUUAAAACCCCUUACAAUCUUAGAGCAAACCUUUGCUCUUAACAAUUCUUUUUUUCACCCAAGAGCAAUCCUUUGCUCAAUACCACACCCACUACAAUAGAAACAAUCAACAACCUUCACUCACUCUUAAAAAACCAACCAAUUACAACUCAAGAUAGGCUUUUAAGAAAUUAAUGCUUUGGCUCAAGAUUUUGAGAGAGAGAGAGUGAAAAAUGCUUUAAUCUCAAUAAGUAUUUGCUUAGAUGGUUGUUGUAACCUUUUAAUAUAAAAACCACAUUAUAUUUAUAGUUCAGUCAUAAAUAUGGCCGUUGGGGAUGCAUUAAAUGCAAAUAGAGCCGUUUGUGUACAGAAAUAACCAUUAUAUCGUGCUUAGGAAAACUUAGGUUCAGCGGCCUAAGCUUAAAGUUUGGCAGCCGAACCAUUUGAGGUGAAGAACAUCCUUCUUUACAGCGGCCGAACAUAUGGGACUUUCAUCUCUGUCCCUCACUUUCGGAAGCCGAAGUUUUGACUUGUGAAAAUAUUGAAAACUCACUUUCGGCGGCCGAAAGUCAAUGUUUGGCGGCCGAACAUAUGAGACUUUCAUCUCUGUCCCUCACUUUCGGAAGCCAAACAUUUAGCUUAGGGGGCAUCUCACCUUCGGCGGCCGAAAGUCAAUGUUCGGCGGUUGAACAUAUGAGACUUUCGUCUCUGUCCCUCACUUUCAGAAGCCGAAGGUUACACUUUAGGGGGCAAGUUGAAAACAGACUUUCAGCUACCUACAGUCAAUGUUCGCGAUCGAACAUGUGGGACUUUUGCCUCUGUCCUUCACUUUCGAAAGCCGAAAGUUUGACUUUAGGGGGCACAAAAAUAAUUCUUUAAAACUUUAAAAAAUCAUAACUUAGGCUAUAAAACUCCAAUUUUUAAUCCGUUUGAAUUUUUGCAACCUAUAUUUUUGGAUCUUUUAUUUUGAUAAAAAAUAAUUUUGAAAUAACUUCUUUUGGAAAAUUUCAUUUUGGUCCCUCAAAGUCAAUCACUCAAAACUCGAUCGUAUUUGUAAAACUUUUAAAAGUGAAAGAAACCUUGAGCCAUCACAAUUAAUUAAUUGAAAUUCACAAUGCAUAAAUUGACAAUGCAUUAAGAAAAAAUUACUUUAUGAUCCCUUUCUUGUGGUAUGCUUCCAAAAUUGGCACUUUUCACUUUUGAGACUGAAGAAAUUUCAUUUAUUUCAAUAAGGGACCUACAAGCUCAACACAAAUACUUUUGAAGACAAUUAGUAGCACACCAAUUGUUUAUUAAUCAUCAAAAUAAGGAUUAAAACAUUUAGGUCCAACAAGGUUAAUAGCCUUUCCUUUUACUUUGAUUGAAUCUGCUAAGAAUUGGCUCUACUAUUUGCCUCCAAGCUCAAUUACCACUUGGGUGCAAAUUAGAAAUUUGGUUUUAGAAAGGUUUUUUCCAGCAACUAAAACUUCAUCUAAAAGAAAUCAAAUAAGUGGAAUUAAACAAAGAAAAAAUGAAAUGCUCCAUGAAUAUUGGGAACGUUAUAAAAAAUUGAUUGCAAGCUGUCCAAAACAUGGAAUCACCGGAAAAUAACUCAACUCUCACUUCUAUGAAGGACUUUUGCAAUUUGAAAGGAGAAUAUGUUGCUAAUGGAGGUACUAUUUCGAAAAUGGAACUUGAAGAAGGUAAAACUUUAAUCUCAAAAAUAGCUGCCAACUCUAGACAAUAUGGCCGAGAUGAGGACAUUCUAGGAAUGCGAAUGAGAUAAGUAUUACAUCUUUAGAUUCUAAAAUUUCACAACUUAUCGCUGUAAUUCAACAAUUGGCUGUAGGAAAUAAUGUAAGAAUUUGUGGCAUUUGCAAAAAAAUCGACCAUCCCAUAGAUAUGUCUUACCCUUUAAGAAGAUUAGCAACAGGUAAAUAUAAUUGGAGGAUUCAAUGGACAGCAAAGAAAGUACGAUCUAUUUUUAAAUACAUACAAUCCAAGGUGAAAAAAUCACCCAAACCUUAGUUAUGGGAAUAGACAGCCAAAUUUUCAACUAAGAGCGAAUUAUUAAGCUACAAAAUCAAGUAUAUCUUUAGAAGACAUUGUACAAUCUCUUGCUAAUAGCACUCUUACUUUUCAAUAGGAAACGAAGUCGAGCAUUCAAAAUUUGGAUAACCAAAUGAGCCAACUUGUCGUAUAAAAGAGCAAGCUGGAAUCUCAAGGGAAACUGCCCUCCCAAACCGUUCCAAACCCAAAACAAAAUGCAAGCACAGUUACAUUGCGAAGCGGAAAAGAAUUGGAAAUUGCCAGCUUGAAAAGGCUUUCCCAAGGCAAUGCGACAAACCAGAUGCUAGAAGUAGAAAUGAAAAUUUCAGUAGAGAACCAGUCCUAGAAAUCAAAGGUAGAACAACCCCUAAUUCAAGUAACACGUCCUCCUUUUCUUAAAAGACUUGCUCAAUCCAAAAGGGAAAGGGAAGAAAAAGAGAUCUUGGAGAUUUUUUGCAAAGUCCAGGUGAAACUAUUAAGCAAAUAUCCAGGUAUGUGAAAUUUUUAAAAGAUCUCUAUACUAAUAAAAGGAAAUUGUAUGGGCAUGAAACGAUUAAAGUAGGUAAAAUGUGUCAGUUGUACUUCAAAGAAAAAUUUCACAAAAAAGUAAAGAUAAAGGCAUGUUUGCAAUAUCAUGUAAAGUUGGUAACUUUGAAGUUAGGAUGACAAUGUGUGAUUUAGGAGCUUCCAUAAAUAUUAUGGCUCUGUCUGUUUAUUUGUCUUUGGAUGCAAGUUCUUUAAAACAAACAUGAGUCACACUCCAACUCACUAAUAGAUCAAUAGUCUAUCCAAAGGGCAUAUUGGAGGAUGUCUUGGUUCGAGUGGAAAAUUAAUUUUUCCAGUAGACUUUUUUGUCUUAAACAUGGAAGACGAUAGUUCAUCCAACUCUACUGAUUUGUUGCUAAGGAGACCAUUCCUCAGCACAGCCAGAAUAAAGAUUGACGUGCAUAAAGACACGCUCACAAUGGAGUUUAAUGGAGAAGAGGUAAACUUUAAUGUCUAUGAUGCAAUGAAGUAUUCUGAUGAUAAUUUUUCUCUUUGCAGCAUAGAUAUUAUUUAUCCUCUCGCUCAAGAAGCAUUUGAAUUAAGUAAAAAAGACAAGUUGGAGGUAGUUCUAACCGAAAAGUUCAUGUUGGACUGCUUAGACAAUAGUACAACUCAACUCAAUGAGGAGAUCGUAGAAACAGUCCGCUCAUCAGACACAUCGAACCAUAAGGUAAGUGCUUCUAACUCACUUUCAAUACCUGAAACUCACCACAAACUUCUCUCAUCUAUUCUUCAGGGACCGAAAAUUGAGCUAAAAACACUUCCUAUGAACUUGAAAUAUGUAUUCUUAGGGAGUGAGAACACCCUUCUAAUCAUAGUUUCUAAUAAGUUAAAUGAGGGUGAAGAAGAUAAACUUGUUAAGGUAUUGAAAGAGUAUGAGGAAGCUGUUAGAUGGAUAAUCACAGAUCUCAAGGUAUUAAGUCUCUUUACGUGCAUGCACAAGAUUCUCCUUGAAGAGGAUAGUAAGCCGAAGAGGGAGGUACAAAGAAGAUUAAACCCUCCUAUGAUGGAGAUUGUAAAAAAGGAUGUAUUAAAAUUACUUAAUGUAGGAAUAAUAGAUCCAAUUUCAGCCAGCAGUUGGGUAAGUCCAGUCCAAGUCGUACCCAAUAAGAUAGGAAUAAUAGUGAUAACCAAUUUAGAAGGAGAUUCAGUUCCCACUCGUAUUCAAAAUGGGUGAAGGGUUUGUAUAGACUAUCACUAAAUUCAGUAACUAGGAAGAAUCAUUUUCCUUUACCUUUUAUUGAUCAAAUGUUAAAAAGAUUCGCAGAAAAAUCUCACUUUUGUUAUUUGGAUGAUUUUUCAGGUUUUUAUCAAAUACUAGUGGCCCCAGAAGAUAAGGAGAAAAUGACUUUUACAUGUCUAUUUUGCAUUUUCGACUAUAGAAGAAUGCCCUUUGGACUCUGCAAUGCACCAACAACUUUCCAAAGGUAUAUGGUCAGUAUAUUUUAGAAAUUUGUUAAGAAGAUAAUAGAGGUAUUCGCGGACGACUUUACAAUUUAUGGUAAUUCAUUUGAUGAAUGUCUAAUCAAUCUCAUUCAUAUUUUGAAAAGAUGUUUGGAGUUCAAUUUAGUCUUGAAUUAUAAAAAAUGUUAUUUCAUGGUGGAUCAAGGUUUAAUUUUAGGUCACGUAGUCUCUAAAAGAGGAAUUGAGGUUGAUAAGACUAAAGUUGAUGUGUUUAAGACUUUACCAUAUCCCACUUGUGUACGGGACAUUAGAUAUUUUCUUGGUCAUGCAAGGUUUUACAGGAGAUUAAUUAAGGAUUGCUCAGCCAUUAUGCAAGCUUUUGCAAAAGGAUGUGCUAUUUAAUUUUGAUGAAGAGUGUCAAGAAGCCUUUGACACUCUAAAACAAAAGUUAGUUGCUACUCCUAUCAUGCAAGCACUGAAUUGGGAAUAUCCAUUUGAAAUAAUGUGUGACGCAAGCAAUUAUGCCUUAGGAGCCGUCCUUGGUCAACGAAUUGAUAAAAAAACUUCAUAUUAUAUGUUAUGCAUCUAGAACCUUAGAUAAGGCCUAGAGCAAUUAUACCAUCACUGAACAAGAACUUUUAGCAAUUGUCUUUAUCUUAGAAAGAUUUACAUCAUAUUUAUUAAGUACUAAACACUACAAAAAAAGAGAUUUAGCGACCAAUUUUUUUGUCGCUAUUUGUGAAUUAGCGACCAGUUUGUGACUAAAAUAAUUGGUCUGAAUAUGCCCAGUUGCUAUAGAAGUAGCGACCAAUUUGAAUUCGGUCGGUAAUAUUAUGACCAAUCAGUGACGAAAAGCUAUCGCUAUUUGGGUGCUAAGACAAGAUGCCAUUUCAAAUUUUGAUUGCUAAAUUUGUCACGAAUUGGUCACUACCAUUUGGUCGCUAAUGGUGUUACAAAAGGGUCAUUAAAGUUGGUUUAAAUAGUUAAUUCAAUUUGAUCGGUGAUAUUAUCGCAAAAUGGUCGCUAUGAUGUGGAUGGUAAUUGGGCCCUAAUCUAUCGUUAUUUUGUCGCAAAAUAGUCAUUAUUUUGUCGCGGAAUGGUUGCUAAUUAUUGAUCACUAUAAAACUAAUUUAUCAAUAUUUGUUACCUAAUAUAUUCAUUGUAACGCCCCGGAAAUCCGGACCGCUACCGGCGCUAGGAUCCAGAUUGGCGUAAGGCCGCCGGGACCCGUAGCAAGCCUAACAUACAACCUGUAUACCUGUAUAGUCCCAUACAUGAUCAACAGCAUACAUAAAACUGUAAACAUUUUUCUUUCUUUUCCAAGCUCAACCUGUGCAUGCACAUAACUAUAGACAUAAACCUCCACUGGAGCCCUCAUCAAAUGCUCCCAUGGNNNNNNNNNNNNNNNNNNNNNNNNNNNNNNNNNNNNNNNNNNNNNNNNNNNNNNNNNNNNNNNNNNNNNNNNNNNNNNNNNNNNNNNNNNNNNNNNNNNNNNNNNNNNNNNNNNNNNNNNNNNNNNNNNNNNNNNNNNNNNNNNNNNNNNNNNNNNNNNNNNNNNNNNNNNNNNNNNNNNNNNNNNNNNNNNNNNNNNNNNNNNNNNNNNNNNNNNNNNNNNNNNNNNNNNNNNNNNNNNNNNNNNNNNNNNNNNNNNNNNNNNNNNNNNNNNNNNNNNNNNNNNNNNNNNNNNNNNNNNNNNNNNNNNNNNNNNNNNNNNNNNNNNNNNNNNNNNNNNNNNNNNNNNNNNNNNNNNNNNNNNNNNNNNNNNNNNNNNNNNNNNNNNNNNNNNNNNNNNNNNNNNNNNNNNNNNNNNNNNNNNNNNNNNNNNNNNNNNNNNNNNNNNNNNNNNNNNNNNNNNNNNNNNNNNNNNNNNNNNNNNNNNNNNNNNNNNNNNNNNNNNNNNNNNNNNNNNNNNNNNNNNNNNNNNNNNNNNNNNNNNNNNNNNNNNNNNNNNNNNNNNNNNNNNNNNNNNNNNNNNNNNNNNNNNNNNNNNNNNNNNNNNNNNNNNNNNNNNNNNNNNNNNNNNNNNNNNNNNNNNNNNNNNNNNNNNNNNNNNNNNNNNNNNNNNNNNNNNNNNNNNNNNNNNNNNNNNNNNNNNNNNNNNNNNNNNNNNNNNNNNNNNNNNNNNNNNNNNNNNNNNNNNNNNNNNNNNNNNNNNNNNNNNNNNNNNNNNNNNNNNNNNNNNNNNNNNNNNNNNNNNNNNNNNNNNNNNNNNNNNNNNNNNNNNNNNNNNNNNNNNNNNNNNNNNNNNNNNNNNNNNNNNNNNNNNNNNNNNNNNNNNNNNNNNNNNNNNNNNNNNNNNNNNNNNNNNNNNNNNNNNNNNNNNNNNNNNNNNNNNNNNNNNNNNNNNNNNNNNNNNNNNNNNNNNNNNNNNNNNNNNNNNNNNNNNNNNNNNNNNNNNNNNNNNNNNNNNNNNNNNNNNNNNNNNNNNNNNNNNNNNNNNNNNNNNNNNNNNNNNNNNNNNNNNNNNNNNNNNNNNNNNNNNNNNNNNNNNNNNNNNNNNNNNNNNNNNNNNNNNNNNNNNNNNNNNNNNNNNNNNNNNNNNNNNNNNNNNNNNNNNNNNNNNNNNNNNNNNNNNNNNNNNNNNNNNNNNNNNNNNNNNNNNNNNNNNNNNNNNNNNNNNNNNNNNNNNNNNNNNNNNNNNNNNNNNNNNNNNNNNNNNNNNNNNNNNNNNNNNNNNNNNNNNNNNNNNNNNNNNNNNNNNNNNNNNNNNNNNNNNNNNNNNNNNNNNNNNNNNNNNNNNNNNNNNNNNNNNNNNNNNNNNNNNNNNNNNNNNNNNNNNNNNNNNNNNNNNNNNNNNNNNNNNNNNNNNNNNNNNNNNNNNNNNNNNNNNNNNNNNNNNNNNNNNNNNNNNNNNNNNNNNNNNNNNNNNNNNNNNNNNNNNNNNNNNNNNNNNNNNNNNNNNNNNNNNNNNNNNNNNNNNNNNNNNNNNNNNNNNNNNNNNNNNNNNNNNNNNNNNNNNNNNNNNNNNNNNNNNNNNNNNNNNNNNNNNNNNNNNNNNNNNNNNNNNNNNNNNNNNNNNNNNNNNNNNNNNNNNNNNNNNNNNNNNNNNNNNNNNNNNNNNNNNNNNNNNNNNNNNNNNNNNNNNNNNNNNNNNNNNNNNNNNNNNNNNNNNNNNNNNNNNNNNNNNNNNNNNNNNNNNNNNNNNNNNNNNNNNNNNNNNNNNNNNNNNNNNNNNNNNNNNNNNNNNNNNNNNNNNNNNNNNNNNNNNNNNNNNNNNNNNNNNNNNNNNNNNNNNNNNNNNNNNNNNNNNNNNNNNNNNNNNNNNNNNNNNNNNNNNNNNNNNNNNNNNNNNNNNNNNNNNNNNNNNNNNNNNNNNNNNNNNNNNNNNNNNNNNNNNNNNNNNNNNNNNNNNNNNNNNNNNNNNNNNNNNNNNNNNNNNNNNNNNNNNNNNNNNNNNNNNNNNNNNNNNNNNNNNNNNNNNNNNNNNNNNNNNNNNNNNNNNNNNNNNNNNNNNNNNNNNNNNNNNNNNNNNNNNNNNNNNNNNNNNNNNNNNNNNNNNNNNNNNNNNNNNNNNNNNNNNNNNNNNNNNNNNNNNNNNNNNNNNNNNNNNNNNNNNNNNNNNNNNNNNNNNNNNNNNAUUAAGGCAUCAAAAACCCAUAAGCUCAACAUAUACCCUAACAUGCAUUCUACCCCUUAAAACUUCAUAAAACUUGUUUAAAACGCAUAAUAAGGGUGGAUCCGAGCUUACCUCUUGAAGAAACGAGAGGGAAGACGAUCCUAGCUUGGAGAUGAAGAGAUUGAGCUCCUUGAACCUCCAAGCACAUACUUAAAACAUUAAAACACAUGAAAACAUUUUAUAAAAACAAGCUUUUACCCUUCUAGAGGUUUCCGACAUCCAAAAUUCCACCGGACGGUAGGAAUUCCGAUACCGGAGUCUAGCCGGGUAUUACAUUCAUAAACCUGUUGUAACAACAAUAUGUAAAUAUAUAUUUUCAAUCCACAGUUCUUCAAUCUAAAAUAAUAUGUACAAAAUUUUUUAAAUAAUAAUAUGGACAUAUAUAAUUCAGUCCACAAUUCUGCAAUCUAAAAUAGCAAAAAAUAAAAUUUAUUAUAAUAACAAUUUUUACACAUUUCAAUCCACCAUUACGCAAUUAAUUACUGCCCCAAAACUAAUUUAUCAAUAUUUGUUACCUAAUAUAUUCAUAAACAUGUUGUAACAAUAAUAUGUGCACAUGUAUUUUCAAUCCACAGUUCUUAAUCUAAAAUAGUAAAAACAAAACUUGUUAAAUAACAAUAUUUACAUAUAUAAUUCAGUUCAAAAUUCCUCAAUCUAAAUAGCAAAAAACAAAACAUAUUAUAAUAAUAAUUUCUACACAUUUCAAUCCAUCAUUAUGCAAUCUAAAAUAGCAAAAACAAUAAUAUUAUCCAACAAUAAAAGUUUAAAUACUAAAAAUACACAAUAAAUAUAAAUAGUACUAUACGAAGUUAGAAUAUUUAAAAAGCACUAAUAGUUUAAUGUAGUUUAAUAACAUACAGAGAAUCAAUGUCAAGCUAGAAGUGAGUCUCAUCUUAUUCCAUAUGUGAAGUAUUAAAGGAUCCAUGAGCUGGAUAAAUAUCAGAUGUACAUAUAUAAUUCAGUCCACAAUUCUGUAAUCUAAAAUAGCAAAAAAUAAAAUUUAUUAUAAUAACAAUUUUUAUUCAUUUCAAUCCACCAUUAUGCAAUUUAUUACUACCCCAAAAUUAAUUUUUCAAUAUUUGUUACCUAAUAUAUUCAUAAACAUGCUGUAACAAUAACAGGUGCACAUAUAUUUUCAAUCCACAGUUCUUAAUCUAAAACAGUAAAAACAAAACUUGUUUAAUAACAAUAUGUACAUAUAUAAUUCAGUUCACAAUUUCGCAAUCUAAAAUAGUAAAAAAUAAAACCUGUUAUAAUAACAAUUGCUACGCAUUUCAAUCCAUCAUUACACAAUCUAAAAUAGCAAAAACAAUAAUAUUAUCCAAUAAUAAAAGUUUAAAUACUAAAAAUAUACAAUAAAUACAAAUAAUACUAUACGAAAUUAAAAUAUUUAAAAAGCACUGGUAGUUUAAUGUAGUUUAAUAACAUAUGUAGAAUUAAUGUCAAGCUAGGAGUGAGUCUCAUCUUGUUCCAUGUGUAAAGUAUCAGAGGAUCCAUGAGCUGGAUGAAUAUCAAAUGAUGAUGGCAUUGAUGAAGAGGCAUGUUGUCCUGUCCUUGAUGCCCGUAGUUCUUUACGCAUUUCAGCUAACAUGCAAUUUUGUUCCUCCACAAUUUUUUACAAAGAAUUAUACUUCCCUUCCAUAUCUUUCUUUCAUUCUGGUGAUUGGGAUGAUGACAUAUUUGUUGAUGUACUCCCUGAUCCUGACUGAGAGAAGGCAGAGGAGACAACAUUUCCUAGACCAUAAACUCAACUUCCUUUUCACCCUCCCGCUGCUUGUAUGAAAAACUCAUUGUCAUUAGUUGCUGCUCCAACUCCUUCAAUAUCUGAGGCCACAAGUAGGCUCACCUGUUGUUCUUUUAGUUUCAAAUAAUUUUUAUGAAAAAUCACAUAGCAAUAAUAUUAGUUAUUUAUGGAUAUUUAUUUAUUUACUUGGUCCCGUGAGCUACCUUAAAAAAAAUCUCUUUAAAAGAGCACAACUAUACACACAUGUAUUUACAUAAUAAUAUUCUUUGGCCUUCAAUUAAAAUAUAAUAUCCACAAAAAUCAGGCUCAAUCUCAAUUUUUACAAUACAAGUACGAAGACAUCAUAUAUAAUUCCUAGUACAAAUGUAAUUUAAAUAAUUCUUAUUUAGUUAGAAACCUAUAUAAACAAUCUCAACUCAUUUAUUAAUAAAUUUGUUGUGGUCACUCUUCUUCGUAUAGGUAUUCAUAAACAACUCAGCUGCUGUUGGAGGAACUUUGUCUGUAGAUGCAUUUUGCAUGGACUCUGCAUGCUCCUCAUGUGUGAUGGACCCACCUGUAUGCUUAGAAGGACCAGCUCCUUCACCUCCCUUUUCAGUUAGGUGAUUCUUCGAGUACUUCAUCGACUUUGCCACAAAUUCUGGAGUGCUCCAAUCUAAGUUCCAUUUGUCCCAAACUUCAACUGAUAUAUAAACACUCCUUUUUUUUUUUUAUUCUUUUCAUUAUUGUGGAAGUCUUUAUACUGAAUUGCUGAUUUUUUAUUCCAAUAUUUUCUCAAUAUAGCAUCACUUUCACCAUCCCAAUAAAACUCUUUCUGUAAAUUUAUUUUAAAAAAAUGUAUAUAAUACAAUAUAGGUUAUAAGACAUAUAAUGUUUUCUAGAAUGCAUAAUAAAUAAACUUUUUAAUAUACUUGAAACUCUUUGAAAUAAAAACCUUUAGUGGAUUGUGGGAUAUUCUUCCAUGAAGAACCACAUCAACAUUAUAUUAUUGAAAAAUUCUUGUGUAUGCACUGGAUGUCUUCUCAGAUGGCACAACACUAUAGUAAUUUAAUAAUAACAACAUAAUUUAAAGUAAUCAAUAUAAAUAAAAUAAAUUAGACAUAUAUAUAUACACAAAAAAGUAACUAAUAUUAAUAUACUUACUUUCCACUUGCAUUCACAUAACAAUAAGUCCUAGUCACAUGCACUACGGCUGUAGAUGAGUGAUCUCUUAUGAUUGGUGCAGCUUUACUAGCACCUGAACCAGAAAUAGAACUUGAAGAGAUUGUUAGAAGGGCUACAGGGGUUGAUGGAUCAAGUGAAGGGGUUUUUGAAGUAGGUUCAGGGGAAUGGGAGCAGGUGUAAGUGCUAUAGGGGCUGUUGGAGUAGGUGAAGGAGCUAUAGGGACUGCUAGAGCAUGUACAGGUGCUAUAGGGGCUUAUGGAAUAGAUGUAGGGGCUGAAGUGCCUCAACCACAACCUAAUGCCUCACUUUGACCUCAACCUAGUUGAACACUAUGGCCAACAUUACAUGUGUCUUAUUUGCCUCUACCCCUUGCCAUAGCUGUAAAAAAAAAAAAACAAAUUGGAGGUUAGUAUAUUAAAGGAAUCAAAUACAAUAAACAAUUCUAACAAUAAGAAUAAAGGCAGAAAAGUUUACUAUGCAGUUUGGAAUUUUCUAAUCUAUGUCAUUUUCAUUGUUGUCUGAACUAGAAUAAAUAUAUAUCUCUUCAUCUUCAUCUUCUACCACUUCAUUAAUAUCCACUUCACCACCCUCUGGAUCAUUUAAUGCAUCAAGUAAUCCCUCUUCAUUUAAGUCUACUGGAUGCAAAGUUAUAUUAUUUUCUUGAUAUGCAACUACAAUUGAAGCAUUUGAAGGUGUAGCAACUUUCGAUAAUUUGAUGACUGGCCUAGCCUUAAUUUUUAUCACAGAUUGCCAAUCAGACUUUACUUGUCUCAACGAUGGAUAUGGAACAAAUAAACUUGUUGUGCUUGGCUUGCCAAAAUAAAUGGCUCAUACUUAUGAAAUCUCCUUCUCUGAUUAACAUCCAUAAUAUUAUACCUCUGAUGAAUUUGCAUUCCGACAUUCAAUGUGGGAUCGAACCAUUCACAGUGGAAUAAAAUUAUCCACUUGAUAGGCAAAACCGAAUACUCUAAUUCCAAAACCUCUAUCAACUUACAAUAGUAAUUACUUGAUUGAUCAUUGUAAUUUGUUUCUGUAAUGCAUACACCACUAUUCAUCAUCAUUCGAUUAACACUUCAUCCCUCAGUGUGAAAUUUAUAUUCAUUUACAUAAUACUCUGUAUAUACAUUGACUGUAUUUAGAGAUCCUUUAGUUAAAUCUUGGAUGAGGAGAUUAUUUAUUGCAUUGGCUGGAUCAUACACCUAUGAGACACAAAUAUAUAUAAUAAAUUUCAAUCCUUUGAUUGAAAUACAUUAUAUUGUAGUAUUAAAAAUUACUUAUGUAUGUUUUUAACUAUGUGGGAAAGUUGUUCUCCAACCUAACGUCUACUUCACCAUUGGUAAUGUUAGGUGAUGUCCUUCGUAGUUCCUCAAUGUAUAUUCUUGCAAUUAGAGAAGUUCUAAAACAUUAAUUAUUUUCAUUAAUUUGUAAACAUUAGUAAUUUGACUUUACAACACUUACUUGGUAAAUGGCGAAACUUCUUCAUAAUUUAGUAAGAUAUACAAUUGUGCUAUUUUUCUUUCCUCCUUUGUUAGUAUCCUUUUCUUUGAUUGUCUUAUGGGCCUAUCCGGAUAUUUGAAUAUUGAUAAAUUUUCUUCUCCCUCGUGGCCUUCUACCAGACCACCAUCACCAUUAUGCGGAACCCGCCGAUGCCUUGUGUAAACAUGUGACUCAAAAUAGUAAGCACAAAAAGAAGUUGUUUCUUCUACUAAGUAUGCGUUAGCAAUUGAUCCUUCAACUUUGACUUUUUUUUUAACAUUCUACUCCAGAACUCUAUUGUACCUAUAUUAUGGAAACAAAUUAGCCUACCAAUUAAGAAUAUUUAAUAGUAUAAUACUUUAAAAAUGUAACGACCCGAAAAUCGGACCGCUACCGGCGCUAGGAUCCGGGUCGACUUAAGGCCGCCGGGACCCGUAGCAAGCCAAACAUACAUUCUGGAAACCUGUUUAAUCCCAUACAUGAUCAAGAAAAUACAUAAAAAUUUAAAACUUUUCUUUCAUACAUCCAACUCAACCUGAACAUGCACUGCACAUAGUCAUAAUCAUAAACAUGAUCCCUCUAUGGGAUCUCAUCAAUGCCCCAAUGGGCGAAACAUCAUAAGAUGAGUUGGCUUUCAUGAACAUAAUAAAACUUUUUUUUUUGAUCAUGUAAUAAAAGGGAUACCUCAUACACAAUGUCAAGCACAAUAUCUAAUCCUCAAUAUCAUUACAUGACUGAAACUGUACUUUUACAUAACAUUAACACAUUUAUCAUGUCCACACUAACUAUUACAUACACGUGACUUCAUUACUCUUGUAAACCUCCUGGUCUACCCUGUACCUGCAAUCCUGGGGAAAUUGGGAGAGGGGUGAGCUACUAGAGCCCAGUGAGCAGAAUAAUAAAACACUUAAAACAUAUGAUAACAUGAAAUGCAUCACAUCACAGCUANNNNNNNNNNNNNNNNNNNNNNNNNNNNNNNNNNNNNNNNNNNNNNNNNNNNNNNNNNNNNNNNNNNNNNNNNNNNNNNNNNNNNNNNNNNNNNNNNNNNNNNNNNNNNNNNNNNNNNNNNNNNNNNNNNNNNNNNNNNNNNNNNNNNNNNNNNNNNNNNNNNNNNNNNNNNNNNNNNNNNNNNNNNNNNNNNNNNNNNNNNNNNNNNNNNNNNNNNNNNNNNNNNNNNNNNNNNNNNNNNNNNNNNNNNNNNNNNNNNNNNNNNNNNNNNNNNNNNNNNNNNNNNNNNNNNNNNNNNNNNNNNNNNNNNNNNNNNNNNNNNNNNNNNNNNNNNNNNNNNNNNNNNNNNNNNNNNNNNNNNNNNNNNNNNNNNNNNNNNNNNNNNNNNNNNNNNNNNNNNNNNNNNNNNNNNNNNNNNNNNNNNNNNNNNNNNNNNNNNNNNNNNNNNNNNNNNNNNNNNNNNNNNNNNNNNNNNNNNNNNNNNNNNNNNNNNNNNNNNNNNNNNNNNNNNNNNNNNNNNNNNNNNNNNNNNNNNNNNNNNNNNNNNNNNNNNNNNNNNNNNNNNNNNNNNNNNNNNNNNNNNNNNNNNNNNNNNNNNNNNNNNNNNNNNNNNNNNNNNNNNNNNNNNNNNNNNNNNNNNNNNNNNNNNNNNNNNNNNNNNNNNNNNNNNNNNNNNNNNNNNNNNNNNNNNNNNNNNNNNNNNNNNNNNNNNNNNNNNNNNNNNNNNNNNNNNNNNNNNNNNNNNNNNNNNNNNNNNNNNNNNNNNNNNNNNNNNNNNNNNNNNNNNNNNNNNNNNNNNNNNNNNNNNNNNNNNNNNNNNNNNNNNNNNNNNNNNNNNNNNNNNNNNNNNNNNNNNNNNNNNNNNNNNNNNNNNNNNNNNNNNNNNNNNNNNNNNNNNNNNNNNNNNNNNNNNNNNNNNNNNNNNNNNNNNNNNNNNNNNNNNNNNNNNNNNNNNNNNNNNNNNNNNNNNNNNNNNNNNNNNNNNNNNNNNNNNNNNNNNNNNNNNNNNNNNNNNNNNNNNNNCCAUAAACCUAACCAUGAGCUAAACAUGCAUUCUACCCCAUAGAUCUUGCAUAAAACUUACUUUAAACAUGAAAUGAGCUUAAGAUCGGCUCUUACCUCUUGAAGAUCGAGAGAGAGACGUCCUAAACUCGGAGGUGGGAGAUUUUUGGGUUCUCGAACCUCAAAGCUCCAAAACUUGCUUAAAACUCGGAAAUCUUCAAAACAAGAUGAAAACUAGUGAAAAACUUGAAAGAUUUGAAGGAAAAGACUCAAGAUCGGUGAGGGGUGGCGGAGGACUCACCUGGGCCGACAACGGGGAGAAAAACUCGCCCGUUUUCGGCUAAGAGACCCUUUUAUAGUGGCUGGCCAGGCCACGUUCGGGGGCCGAACGUGCCUCCGCAUGCAUGCCAUGUUCGGCGGCCAAACUUGAGGUUCGGCGGCCGAACUUGGACUUUCCUCACUUAUGCUUUCGGGGGCCUAAAGGCGUUCCCGAAGGCAUGCAUGUUCGGCGGCCGAACCUGAGUUUUCCUUCAAGGUUGUUUUUAUGCAAAAACUCAUUUCUAUUUUACUUAAAACCAUGAAAUACCUUAAAACAUUUUAUAAAAACAUGAUUCUACCCUACUAGAGGCUUCCGACAUCCGAGAUUCCAUCGGACGGUAGGAAUUCCGAUACCGGAGUCUAGCC